Molecule: long non-coding RNA, 114119 nt
Filed under: Citrus x clementina
Lineage: Eukaryota; Viridiplantae; Streptophyta; Magnoliopsida; Sapindales; Rutaceae
Description: Citrus clementina (C. clementina) long non-coding RNA (CCLE_LNC002338)
Source: RNAcentral
AUAAGAUAAUAUUUAAUCGGCGAAGGUGUCCCUUGGAAGUACAUCCUUCUUUUUCUUUUAUUAUAUAAAUUCUUGCAAUGAGCUUAGUGAAGCUGUUGUGCUAAUCAUGCCACUGCAUAAUUUGGCCCCUAAUGUGGGUACUCUGUUACAUUGUUCUGCAAAUUCUCCAGAAGUUAAAAUCAAUAAAUUUUCUAUUAGCUCUAGUGCUUUGACCUAAAUGCUAUUCUAUAUUCUGAUUACAAUGUUUUAACCUUUAAAUUAACUACCCCUAGAUGUUGGAUUUUCUAGAACUUCAAAUUAUAUAUAACCUUUAAAUUAUAUAUUUCUGUGUCUCUAUUUAUAGAUGACAUUUAAGCAUCCAUAAACCGUCAGACAGAGGAAGGGGGUUCAGUGCAAAGAUUCUGUUGACCUAGGGUUGACUGCAUAUGUCACUUGUUCGCAAUCUAAUAUUUAUUUUAUAUUUUGAAAAAUUUAAUGGGUAAUCCUAAUUGUUUGUUUUGGCAGGUAUGUGUUGUUAUCUCCUUCUAUCUUACAGUCGUACCUAAAUAGCAUAGUUUCAUCUGUGUUACCAUGUGAUGUACAUAAUUUCACAUUUGCCUCAGAUUAAGCUUAAUUUCCCACAGAAUAGAGCUGUCGCGACUGGACUUAGUUUGAUGUCCAAAGAGGUAAAUUAUUGGCAUGCCUAGAUAAUUUGGCCAUUUCCUAAUUCAUAAGUCUACAUUAAUUUUGAUUUUGAGUUGACUGAUUUCUUUUCAAGGUCUGCUUCCUUAACGGAGUGACCAAUGUUUUUCAACUAAAUUUAUCAUAUGAUGCAGGAAGCAGGGCAGGAUAUGAAAUGAGAAGCUCAUUGGUGGAAGUAUUGCCAGUAGCAGAACCCAAUGAAAAUGAAACUAUUUCAAGGCAGCAGUUGGCAGUUGCAAGUGAAUGGAGGCCCUUGACAAAAUUCUCAAGCAGUUGCAAUGCAAUUACGAUCAUCCUCAGCCUCAGGUAAUUUCUUCUCCUGCUUUGUUUUUAUUUGUUAUCUAAUUAGGAAGCAUAAAGUAUCUUGAAUCAUUUUCUGUAUCUGGAAUAUAUGCAAGAGUUUCUAAAAUUUUGAUAUGAGUGUAAUGAUGGUAAUUUCUGUUUUCUGUCUGUCAUCAAAUGUUAGAAAACUUUCAUUGAGACCCUUGAACCGAGUCAUUUUUGACAAGUGAAGUGCCGAAGAGUGAAGAGUAAGAAUGGUGCUAGAUUGGGGAAUAAAGCAAAAGGAGGUAAAUUAUUGGCAGCUUCUUCAGCCUUAUUUUCUUUGGACCAGUGCCUAAUUCACAAGUCUCCAUAAUUCGGCUUUUGACCAGUUGAUAGAUAAAAUUUUAAUUUCAUUGGUGCUAAUGUACCCGUGAAGCAGGCAGAGAAGGACUGUGGAAAAGAGAAGGUUUUUAGUGAAAGCUUAAACGCAGGUAAUUCUAUAAAUUAUAUGUUUUUGCUGAUUUAUCUAAAUCAGGAAAUUUUAUUUCCAUCUGUUACAAUAAAACAGAAACAGAACACAAAGAAAAAUAGUCUACCUCUUGUGGCAAUCUUGCCUUCAUUCAGACUAUGAAACCAUUUCCUUUCACCAAUUUCUUCCAAAAGUUUGAACACGUUUCAUGGUUGGACAUAGUUAGCUUCUUUUUCUUUUGGUGCAUUUAGGUGCUAUCAAGUGACAGCCAUAAGUAUGAUUGCAUUAUUGGGAAAUUUUAGGUUUUGAUGGCUCCCCAUGUUAUUGCCAAGAAAUUUUAAGUCCUCAUGUCAGAAGCUGCGUUUCUUUUCAUCAGCCUGAACCCGAACUGAGGUUUUUGUCAUCAACUAUAUCAUCUUUUUCACUGUUUUGAAACUCUUAAGAUUAAACUUCAGUAAAGUUGUUUCAGUUAUCCAUGUAAUCAGGCUAAGGAUAUUUAGCAGCUUAUUUAGGCAACUGCCAGAAUUCAGUUUGUUUGCUCGAAACUUGUAUGGUGACAAGGAUACUGGCAAGGAUAGUGAGAUAGAUUUUUGUGUGAGUGAAUUUUGAAAGCUUGGGUGUUCUGGGAUUUGCAAUUGCAAUCAUCCUCUGCUUUAGGUGAUUUCUUCUCCUGUUCUGUCUUUAUUUUCUCUCUAAUUGAAAGCAUAAAGUAUUUCAAUCAAAUUCUGUACCAGGAAUACGAAAAACUUACUAAUAUUUUAUUUCCAUCUGUUUGCAUUGAUAACUUGGCCGCAUAUGUACUAGUUAAAGAACAAACAGAAGCAGAGUUCAGGAAAAAGUUUCUUCGGCCACCAUAUUUGAAAAUGAAACCAUUUCCAGGAAGCAGUUGGCAGCAAAUUCAUACAAAGUACAGACAAUGAUGAGCAAAAAGGUGAUUCGCAAUUUCAUUUUUUAAAAAUGAAAUUAUUUGUUAAGUUGGAGCUGAUAUUGUUAGAAGGCCAUUGAGCUAACCUAUGACACUACUUGCCUAGAUUGCAGGAGGUCAAGACUCAAAAGAUGCACUGAAUUUUAAAAGGCAUGCAAUAAUUCUUAUGGCCAUUUGUCAAUGGUGGAAUGCUUUUAGCUUCUUUUCCUUUCGUGCAUUUUGGGGUUCUAUCAAGCGACAGCCGUAUGCAUGGAUGGAUAUAGCCGCUGCGUUGAUUUCUAAUGCGUUGUAUGAUGUUAUAGCAACUAUCCAUCUGGUCAAUGUUUCAAAAGAAUAAAACACAGGGAAAAAGAGAAAGCAAGUGGCCAAUCAAGUAUUCAUGUCCCAAAGAAAAGAAUGAUUCGACAAUAGCAUUAAGGGUUAAUUGGACACAAGAGAAGUGUUUUAACCACUUCAAGGAAUGUAAAUGUAAUUUUCUAUUCUGAAGAAAAAGUAAAUAUAUGCACUGUCAAUUAAUCUUUGGUCAACCAGCAACAUUCAUAAUUUCGUGUAAGUUUCAUUUCUGUUUGUUGGAAAUAGCAGUGUAUUUCUUAGAGUUUGUAAAAAAUGGAAAGAUUUUAAAAUAUAAAUUUCACAUCUGUUUAUUACUGUUGUUUGAUCUAUUUUCUUAUGUAGAAUUUUCGGAAUCUGUAGGACAUUAAUUUAUAAUUUUGAGAUUUUGUAGCCAUAAAUGUUUUUGUUCUUUUUUUCUUUUUUUUGUUGGCAUUUUAUUUUGCUCCUUUAUCUAUAUGCAUGUUGACUAAAGCUAAUCUAGAAUCAAUAGAGAGGGAUAUUUAUCUAUUUUGUUUAACAUAAGAGUGCUGUAUAAUUUUUCACUAAAUACACCUACAACAAACUAUUAAUAAUAAAGUGAUAGAAGAAUGCCUAAUUUUUCGUACUUUUUAAUUUCUUUCAGCCCUAAAAUAUAGGUAUUAAUGUCAUAAUAAGCCCAUGUGGAUCUCAGUGCCGCAAGUUCGAUAAAUGGCUAUCAAGGAUUACUUAUUAAGUCAAAAGUAUUCAAAGGACAAAAUGGUAAAACUAUAAGGGUGGAGUAAGAUGGCUACCUUGGGUUACAUAGUAAGUCGACUACAUUCAAAGGAUAAAAUAUUAGAACCUGAACGGCGGAGUAGUCGUCGUUAGAACCUGAACGGCGGAGUAAUCGUCGUUAGAAUCUGAAUGAUAUGUCUAAGACGUUGCAUGCAUCAAGAAAAUUGCAGAUGAUUAAACCUUGCCAUCCAUGCGUUGUAUGAGGUUAUAGCAACUAUCUAUCUGGUCACCGUUUUAAAAGAAUAAGACAAAGGGAAAAAGAGAAAGAAAAGAAUGAUUCGACAAUGGCAUUAAAGUUCAACGUACCCCAAGAUCUUGUAAUAAUGCCAUUAAUCAUUCUCUAGCUAGGCUAGCCUUAGAGAAAAGUGAAACUGUUGCACAGGUAGAAUCACACCCCUCAGAGAUAAUGUAUUUAUUCAGCUCUUCGAAUGAAUGAAGUUUAUUUUCUCGUCAAAAAAAAAAACUGCUCGCUCCGCUGGUUUCAUACAAUGUCAACUAGAAACAUCAUACUUUCGUGUAAGUUCAUUUCAGAAUAUUUCUUAGAGUUUGUAUAAAAUGAAAAGAUUUUAAAAUAUAAAUUUAAUAUUUGUUUAUUACCGUUGUUUGGUCUAAUUUCCUCGGGAGAAUUUUCAGAAUUUAUAGGACAUUAGUUUAUAAUUUUGAAAUUUUGUAACCUAAAUGAUUUUUUUUUCGGUUACCAUUUUGUUUUCCUGCUUUAUCUACGUGUAUGUUGACUAAAACUAAUCUAUUUUGUUAAACCUUUACCACUCUAGACAUUGCACUAAAUAUGAGUUCGUGAUGCUUGCAUUUUAUUGAUGCUGAUGAUUCGUUGAAUGUUUUAUGUUUUUGAUUUUUAAGUAUUCCGGAUCGAAGUUUGUGUCUACGCGGAAAUUGUAAAGGCAGCAUAUAAAGUACUCGUCGUUCUUUAGAUUUUAUUGAGUACACUUUUGUCACAUUUAGCGUAUGCUAUACACUACUGAUUUGCGCAUUGACAUAUAUCUUUUUUUUUUAUGAGAGGGGGCUCGUCAAAACGAGCUAAACAGGAACAAACCGGGGGUUAGAAAUCCCAAACAAGUCUUGCGAAAUGAUAGAAUAAACACCCAUAGGAGGGUUAGAGAACACAUGGAGGCCAAGAGGAGCUGAAUGAGCCAUAUUAGCCAUGAAAUCCGCAGCUGAGUUUGCUUCGCGAUAAAUAUGGGUGAUAGCAGUCUGCCAAUUUCUACUUAGUAAUUCCCGGACAGCUGAUAAUAAAGCAGUGAACGCAUUAGGAACAACCACCUGCUUAGAAAUCAUUUGUGUAAUACAAAUACUAUCCACUUCCACCAACAACCGUUUUAUGCCUACAUCCCAAGCAAGAAUUAGGCCCUGAUACAGCCCCCAAAGCUCAGCCAUAAGCACUGACCUGUCCCCAAUUUUCAUACAAAAGCCGGAUACCCAAUGACCAACUGAGUCUCGAAUAACACCUCCCGCUCCUGCUUCCCAAGUAUUUUUACAGGAGCCAUCUGUAUUUAAUUUACACCAUGGCCAAGGCGACGGCAGCCAAUGAAUAUAAAUCUCCUGUCUCCUCGGCUGCUGGCUUAGGCAAGAAUUAUUUACUCUGCAAAUUUCUUUAGCUCUCGCCAUAACAUCCAUAUAGAUUGUUAGACUAUCCACCAGCUUUCCCUCAAAGAAAAAAUGGUUCCUCCAGAACCAUAGCCUCCAAACUACCACACCAAAGAUACAAUCCCAGGGGAGGGGAGACCCAAUCUUCCAUUUAUUUUGCAGGUUCCCAGCAAUCCAUUCUCGUAAGUUCGAAUUGAAGAAAGUGUUAUGACUGGCCAUCGGAACAAGCUUCCGCCAAACCUGCUUGAUACAGCUGCAGUCUCUCAAUGCAUGGAGGAUAUCUUCAACCGCACCCCCACACCUAUCACAAUCCUCAGGAACAUUAAUAUGGCGCCUAACAAGUUCAUCACGAGUCUUGAGUUUCCCAUGCAUAAGCUGCCAAAGAAAAAGGCGGAUGGAUUGAGGCCCCUUCCAACUCCAUGGAAGCUUCCAAUUUCUGUCAUGAACAGCAGCUUGAUGAUAGCAAAGUGAUUCAUAAGCUGACCGAACCGAAAACAUGCCGCUUGGAUCAAAGCCCCAGUAAAUAAUAUCAGCCCCAAGAUGAGGAGCCGGAGGCAAGACUGAAGCAAUCUGCAUGAGAAUACCAUGCGGCAGAAGAUGCUCAAAGCUCGACCAAUUCCAUCCCCCAUGCCCAUUCGUAAAGUCACUCACAGUGGCAUUGAUAAGCUCGUGAGGAAUCGGCAAGAUGGCAAGGCUGAUCAGAGGAUAUUUCGUAGCCCAACAAUCAACCCAGAAUCGAGUUCUAACACCAUCACGAACUGACCAGCGAGCUCCCUGCACUGUUGCCAACCACGUGCUACGAAUAGCCCUCCAAAUCUGAGAACCCGGUUUGUCUGAAAGAGACAUUGGUAGGUUGCGAGACUCCAAACCAUAUUUGGAGCAGAAGACUUGCACCCACAGUUUAUCCGAAUUGGAAACAACCUCCCAGCUCAAUUUCAUCAACAUCGCCUGAUUCAUUUCGUCCAUUUUUUUGAAUCCCAGGCCUCCAUGUUUUUUCGGCUUGCAAAUUUUGUCCCACCCCACCAUACUCAUCUUGUGACUCUUUGAAUUCCCAUCCCAAAUAAAUCUUCGACAAGCUUUGUCUAUUUUAUGUCUCACUGGAGAAGGAAGUAAGGUCGUUUGCAUGGCAUAAACAGGCAUUGCUUGCAGGACUGAUUGAGCCAGAGUGACGCGUCCAGCAAAAGAUAGAUGAGCCGCGUUCCAACCAGUUAACCGCUUAUCCACUUUAUCAAGGAUGGAUUGAUACGUGUAUUUAUUAACCCGCGAAUGGAUUAAGGGCAUUCCAAGAUAAUCACCCAAAUUAUUUGUGGCCGAAACUCCCAAAGUCGAGCCUAUGAUAUUGGCAUCCCGAGAAGCGACAUUUUUUGAGAAGAAAACUUUAGUUUUCAUUUUGUUGACUUUUGCUUCCGAACUCCUACAAUAAUUAUCCAGAACAGCAUCUACGACAUAAGCUUGAUCAAUUGAAGCUUCCGCAAAUAAAAGCAAAUCAUCUGCAAAAAAGAGAUGCGUUAAAGGAGUUCCAUAUUUGGCCAACCGGAUAAGCCUCCAUCUCCUCUCCAUCACCGCUUGGGUUAUACCAUGGCUUAACCGUUCAAUGCACAGAACAAAAAGAUAAGGCGAGAGGGGAUCGCCCUGACGGAUACCCCUUCCCGGAGUGAAAGCUUAUGUCGCCUCGCCAUUCCACAAAAUACGCAUACUAGCUGAAGUUACGCAUUCCAUGAUUAGUCUAGAUAAGUGAAUUGGAAUACCAGUCUGGUUAAGCGUAUCAAAAAUGAAAUCCCAACUGAGCCGGUCAUAAGCCUUCUCAAGGUCGACCUUAAUGGCCAUAAAUCCUUUCCUGCCAGUUUUUCUGCGCAUAGAGUGAACUACUUCCUGAGCCACUACAAUAUUAUCUACUAUAUGCCUCCCAGGAACAAAGCUCGUCUGAUUGGGGCUUAUUAGAUUGGGCAGCAGUGUUUGCAAUCGAGUGGCUAUAAUUUUAGUCACCGUCUUGUAGGCCACUGUGUAUAGGCUUAUGGGCCUAAACAUCUUUAAGCUAGUGGGGUGCUCCUCUUUAGGAAUCAAAACCAAGAGGGUAGUAUUUAUCUCUUGCGGCACCUUCCCCGUUGUAAAAAUAUCAUGAAUAAACCUGCAAAACGACGGACCAACCACAUGCCAUUGGGAUUGAUAAAAUAUAGCGUGCAAACCAUCCGUACCUGGGGCUUUCAGCGGCUUCAUGCUAAACACAACGUUCCGAAUUUCCUCCCUCAAAAUUGGGGCUGCAGCCCCAUCUACGUCAUGAGAAUCCAAGGCUGGGAAAAAGUUUGGAGCAUGGUAAUUCCGAUAAGUUGCAUUAUCACUUGUAAAUAGGUCAGAAAAAUACCCCACUACAUGCCUCCUUAUAUCCUCCUCAUCAUAUAGCCAAUUCCCCGAACAGUCUCGGAUGGCCUCAAUUCUAUUCCGCCGCCUUCGAGCAAUGGUUUUUUGGUGGAAAAAAUUCGUAUUUCUGUCCCCAUGCAGAAGCCAAUCCUUUCGAGAUUUCUGAAGCCAAAGAAUUUCCUCCGAUUCAUCACCAUUUCGAGCUCAUUUUGCAUGCGGGCUUAUAAGCGCAACAAACUGUUAGAGCUAUAAUUCUCUAGAGUAGCUUGAAUUCCAUUAAUCCGAGCCAUAAGCCGGCGUUUUCUCUGAAAGAUAUUCCCAAACACAUCUCGAUUCCAAGCUUGAACCUCCUGGACAAAAUGAGAGGCUGCUGCACUAUAAUGGAUUUGCGGAUUCCACACCCGCUUAAUAAAGUUAUGAAAAUGCUCGUGAGUUAACCAAGCAGCCAAAAAGCGGAAAGGCCUGUUCCUCCUGUGACCGGCCACAGCUCUCUCAAACCGAACCAGCACCGGCCUGUGAUCCGAGGCAACCUUCGGGAGGUGGAGGACAGAAUUAUUCGGAUACUUAUGUAGCCAAUCACUAUUGCACAGAGCUCUAUCAAGCCGUUUAAAGAGCAAUCCACGUGACCAAGUAAACCUUGGACCUUUAAACUUUAAAUCAAAAAUUUGGUGCCCAUCAAACCAUUUCCGAAACAGAUUACACACUCCUGGGUUCCUGGCCUCACCCCCCUGCUUUUCAGAGGCAUAUAAGAUAGAAUUGAAAUCCCCACCUAUCAGCCAAGGGCCUCGAAUUGAAGGCGCAAGGUUCUCCAUAUGGCUCCACAACUGUCUCCUUAGCAUUGGAUUUGGGCUGGCAUACACAGCCGUUACCCAAGACACAAAGGUCUUAUUCAUACAAAAUUUAAAGUGAAUGAACUGCCUAUGAUUAAUUAAGACUUCCACCUCUAUGGAAUUUCGCCAAAGAAGCCAAAUUCCUCCAGAAAAACCCACAGCUUCCACCCGGUGCGAAUACUCAAAUCCACUUUUCUUUAUAAAGUCAUCGGCUUUAGCACCACUAGUGCGAGGUUCCAUUAACACCACCAUCGAUGGAUUGUAGUUUUUAAUAAUUGUUUUAAACGAGCGCCUAAAUACCCCCGAGGCUGCCCCUUGUACAUUCCAGAACAUGAUACUAGCUGACAUAAUAAAAAUAACAGGAGAGAAACAAACGUCUACUGCUGCUGUCCAAGGACUUCCUCCAUCCACGCCAAUGGCGUUUCUUGAACCAUCUCAACUUCAUUCUCAACCAUCCCAUCGCCAUCAACACCAUUUAUAGGUACAACUGGAUGGUUAUGAGCACUGUCACCUUCAUUCACCCGAUGGAUGGUUUGAUCAUCUGGAGGGUCUGCUACUUGUUGUGGAUCCGGACCUUGCCUCUCUAUGUGUUCCGCGGUCACGUCCCUUUCAUCACCAUUAGGAAGGGUUUGGGAGGAGCAAACAAACACUGUGUGUUUAGAGGGGUCCAGGGUGGUUGCGAAUGGUGCCACGAGUUGAUUGCUAGAAGCUUUCUGAGGGAAAAUAUGGGGUUCAAAGCUUCGGUUUGCAUGAGGUAGGAUGGAUAUUUCCUUCUCUCUGGUGCUGAAGACACUAGGCUGGAGAGGGUUACAGGUAGGAGUUACUGGGACGUUUGGUUUCCUGCUCUGAUUCCUUGCUGCCACGGCCUUAUUUUGCGGCUUACGACGAGCCAUAGUCUUUGCUGAGGUAUCUGCUCUGGCUGUGAAAGUAUGGUUUGAUGCGGGCAUGAAAGGUUGCCGUGAGGUGGAAGGGAAGUCUGGGCAAGCCUCAUGCACAUGGUUUCCACCUUCAUCCGAGACUUUGGAUAAUAUGUGAAACCGUGAGGUACCAGCUCCAGUAAACUCCCUAUUACGGUUUGAGUCUCCAGUGUUCUCCUUACCAAUAUUCGGCUUCCUUCCUCUCCUAGUGGCAAUCAUCCAGGGUCCGAAUAGUUCCACAUUAUUAUCACCAUUACUACCUACAGCCUGCUGGCCAGGAGCCUCAUUUUCCGGCACUGCCUGUUGGGGUUGACCAGCAUCUUCAGGGCUUGUCGAACUCUUAGCAUCCUUACAGUUGCUGCUACUAUGCCCGUAAGAUUCCACACUUAUAACAAAUUACUGGCAAUCCCUCGUAUUCCACCUUCUGGAUCUUCCCAUCCAAUUCAAACUGAGAUACCAGCGGCCUUGUUAACGAGAUACUUACUGCAAGACGUGCAAAUCUUCCACGAGAUGAGGAGGCUGUAUUCGAAUCGAUUUUAAUCACGUUACCCACUAACUGACCCAGCUUCUGUAGAACUUUUCGAUUAUAAAGAUGAACCGCAAGGCCUGGUAAACAGAUCCAUACCGUGACUUGAUCAAGAUCCGCAUUUGUGAAAUCAAAAGAGGGUGUCCAUGGCUGCACAGUUAAAUAUUGACCCAUUAUAAGCCACGGUCCCUUAGUUAAAACAUCCAUAGCAUCCCCUACCGAUCUGAAACGAACCAGAUAAUAAUUGUUUUCCAAGUCAAUCACGGAAAAACCCAUGGCUGAUUUCCACAUGACAUUUAAUCUUGCACACAUAGCUCUAUAGCCAAUUGUGCGGCCAAGCAACUUCACAACCACCGAGUUCUUCCAAGGCUCACUUAACUUAGCAUGAACCCUAGCCGAAAAAGUGAUGGAUGGCAUGGGUCCCUCGUUAGUUUCAAUAAUGUCUCCUUCCUCAAAAUCCCAGUCCUCUAGUCCACCUCCAAUUCCUUGCUCCAUCGCUUGUGUUGCAUUCACUAGGGUUUCUUUGUACGAAAACUGUACAGUGGUAUCCCCAGCAUGUUCUUCAUCACGAAAUCUUGCUUUUUUAAUCGUUCUAGCCUCCCUAAACGGCGGGGGAAAAAUCCCUCCGGAGUUAGGGUUUCCUUCACGUCCGAGGUUUUCGGAGCCUUCCAUAUGGUGUUGAUCUUUUUAAGUCACUCGUUUCAAUAUUUCAUUUAUUUCCUUUUCAAGCUAACAAUUAAUGUAUAUGAAUGUGCGGAUGCAUUGACAUAUAUCUUAUUUUAUCAUUUUGAAUGAAUUGCACGGCGAGGCUUAUCAACUUUGGAUGAAUCCUCCAAUUGUCGCAGUCCAAGACUGGCUGCAGUGAGUGAAAAUUUACCCAUAUAUAUGCUGGCUAUUUUUAUUGGCGACGAAUUCGUUGUAGUUGGUCCAUCUUGCUAUUCUCGGACAAUAUUAGAGAAAAUAAUCAUAUUAUUUCGCGUGAUGUGACCUUCCAUAACGUAUCAAUUGAAUUACUGUAAAAUUAUUGUGUAAGUUUAGGCCCAAUGGCACUUUAGUUCAUCACAUGAUAGCCUGGAUUUAAAAGGAAAACUAUAUUGCAUUGCUUCAAAAAAAAAAUUUAAUGUUUUUAAUAUGAAUAUUUUUAACUAUAUUCAGUUAAAAUAAUAUAUUCUUAAUAUUAAUAUUCAUAGAUGAAAUUCUUUUGCGGAUUUAAGAAUAAAAUAUCAAAUAGUUUUAUUUUUCUUUUGUUGUGUAACUUGGACCGAAAAAGAAAAUGAGCUUAACAUGACCCUCCUUCCGGCACUAUGCAUGUUUUUCUUUUAUUUUUCUUGUAUUGAUGACAGUGCUCUUGGUGCUUCUCAUCUGCUUCUUGCUUUGGUUUCAAACAAGUCUUUCUCCGUCGAGACAUUUAUUGUAAUUUGAUUUGGAGACAUCUGUCGUUCAAAUAUAUUUCAUAUGCAAGCUGUUGAUAAUUCUGCUUGAGAAAGCCUUCAAAGCAGCUGUGUGAUGUAAUAGAAGACUAUAUAUGCAAGCGGGUACCGAGCUCGAAUUCUUUCUUGAGUUUCUUUGAAUUAUUUGUGAAUGAGUUCUUAAUCGGCUGCUGCUCUUCAGGAAAAGGAAAGUGUUGCAAACUGGUGAAGCUGAUCGAUAAAAGCAAUGUACCAUCUUUGCUGCCAUGGAUCGAUGCCAGUGAGUUUUUUAAUUUGUCAACCUUUUUAAUAAUGCAUAUGUGUUUCUUCAACUUGAAGCGGCAUUUAAGACGAAAGAAGUGAUCUUUAAAGCAUUCUAUAGCAUUAUCCUUUCCUAUUAUAUAUAUCCAAUUGCUCCAAAUUAUUUGUAAAUUACUGAACACGAAUGCUGAUGAAUAAACUGAUGGCUCUAUGUAUGUAUGCACAUGCAUGGAGAAAUUUUAAGUCAGACAUUCCCAUAUAUAACUCGUGCUACCAAAUCAUUAAAUAAUCUUGAAAUCAAAGUAAUAAUUAAAUACAAAUAAAUUGCUCGAAUUGUACAUAUAUCUGAAUCAUGUAGUGAAGAAAAUACAACAACAACAACCAAUGGCUCAAAUUCCCCAUCAACUUCUAAUCUCAACACUUUUGAGUGUCAGAAGCAUUACUCUGCUACCAGUUAACAAACAUAUAAUUAGUAAUUUGCCAUUCACUUCCCUUUUAGGCCUAACACAUUUUCUAUAAAGGAGCCACAGAGUGAACUCAGCAGGAAACACUCAAUUUCAACCUACGUAGGACCAGGAAUUUCAACCAAAAAAAAAGUGUGCAAUUGCUUAUCCUAUCCUAUUGCUACUAGAAAGAAAGUGAACAAUUAAUUUCAGUGAAUAAAUUAAAAAAAAUUACUUCUGCAGAUACUCAAGCUAAGAACACAUUAACCCAUUAAAGACUCCAAAUUGCAUCAAACAAAUUGUUGUUAAACAAGUAAAACAAAGAAAGAGAGUUAAGGAAGCUGACCUAGUAGUAGGGGAGCUGAAGAAAGACUGCCAGUGAAUGUAAGAGAAAAUAAAAUGCAAUAAAUGGUGAAGUGCAGCUUUUCAUGUCAACUUGAAAUUGUUUCUUCUGUUUUUUUUUUUUUUAAUCUUUUGGAUUUUUAAAACAAAGAAAAUGAGGAGCAACCAGGGAGAUAAAAAGGGCGCCAAGGCAACUGUGUGUUGGGUUUAGAGCCCAAAAAAAAAGGAGGAUAAGACAUCGUGUUCUUGUGGAGACCAGACCUAUUACGUAACGUCCCCUUCAAUACCACUUGUUCCGUAUCUGGUUUUUUCUUCGUCUUUUACAUAUUUAUCCUGUGAUUUUACAAUAACUAAAUAAUCCCCGCAUAGUUUGCAAUUUUAUUCAUUUGAGCCCUACAGAUUUCAGUAAUAGGUAGAGUUGGCAAAACGGGUCAUCGGGUCGUGUUCGUGUCAUGUCAAAUUUAAGUCGACCCAAACCCGACCCAUUUAAUAAUCGUGUCAAAAUAUUGAGACCUAAAUCCGACACGGAAAAAUAAUCGGGUUACCCAAUAACUCGUUUAAUAUCAAUAUAUUGAACAAAAGUUACAUCAAAUAUUUACACACUAUCAUACAUACAUACAUAAUUUAUCGAUAUUAUAAAAUAUAUAUAUCUACUAAUAUAUUACACAUUUACACUAUUGAGGUUUUAAUUAUAUAUAUAUAUAUAUAUAUACCUACGAUGAUUGUUUAAGCCGCGGUAAACGCUUCUAGAACGCCCUCUGGCAGGAAGGAAGGUACUCAAAGAAAGUGGAGAUGAGGGAAACUCCGCUGGAGUGAGGGGAUUUAUCGGAAUCUCGUUCAGAGUGAGGAGUCAAUGAGGGUUUGCUUGUACUUGUGGUUCUAUUGAUAGGUGUUUGCAAUGGGCUUUCGUCUCAGGUAGUUCAGUCUCCGGGGUUACGCUUAGUUUCAUAUAAAAUAAAUGAAGAAGACAGCUGGACUUCAGAGUGGGAUCCUCCUAUGUUGUCGGCUGUUUGUUUGUCCGCAGCUAUUACAGCUUGUGCUCGAAUAUAUAUGUAUCCAUAUAUUUCCAGAUAUUAUAUAUCAAUAUAUAUAUAUAUUAUUUAUCAAUAUUAUAAAAUCUACAUAUCUAUCAAUUUUUUCACAUUUACACUAUUGAAGCUCUAAAUGUAUUUAAAAUUUUAUAAAUAAAAUAUUAUGUUUAUAUUCACCCUUUUAAAGAAUAAAAAAGAAAAUCAUUACUAAUAUUUGAGUUUUAAUGAUAAGAAUAUGUAAAUUAUUUUAAAAUAGAAAAUAUAAUCGGGUCAUUGAUCGGGUAAAUGGGUCAAGAAUUUUAACUCUAACCCGACACGGAAAAAAAUCGUGUUGACCCGGACCCGACCCAUUUAAUAAUCGUGUUAAAUUUGACGACCCAUAUUCAUUUAUUUAUGUCGUGUUCGUGUCGAGUAAUCGGGUCGUGUCAAAUUUUGCCAGCUCUAGUAAUAGGAAUUAUUAAGGGACAAGAGCGCAAAACAAAAACUCUGUCCACUACUGAUGAUAUAACAACGAACCUUUGUUUUUUUCUUCUUUUUUUUUUACAAAAUAUCAUUAGAGAAAUGAAAAUAUUAACUAACAUCACCCUACUGAUGAUAUAACAACGAACCUUUGUAGUUUCUGCCUGUUAAUAUGAAUUGAUCAGGAGUGUUUCCUCACUUAAAAAUUACGAAUUUACAAAUAUGUAUGUAAGUAUGUAUGUAUGUACGUACGUACGUGAGUAUGUAUGUACAUAUAUGCAUACACCUAUGUAACAUUUACUUAUCCAUCCUUUUGAGUUUAAAACUUAAUACACAUUUUCAUGAAAUUUUUAUUUUAUUAAGUAUACAACUACAGUAAUGUAUAUAUUUUUUAUAUAAGACAUGCCGUCAUAUUAUUCAUAAGUAAAACAAUGUGUUGUAAAUAGUUUAAUUAUUAAAUAUCAUACAAUAUCUUUCAACAACCGGCAAUAGACCUUUACCCAUUUUUCUUUUUCGACCAUUAGAUUCAUUCAGUUUACAUCCAACGGCAGUUUAGGAUGGAGACAAAAAGUGUGGUACGUUACCACAGUGGUAACAUUGGAUUGGGAUUGUAUGUCGUGUUUAAUUUGAAUUGGUUGAUUCCUCUAAUGAAUUAUUUUGAUAAAUUUAGUAGCAGUAUUUGGCGGCAAAAGUAUCAUUAAUUUUUGGAAAUAUGAUUAUGUUAUUAAUUAUUUUAGCAUUCUAAAAAGUCAAUGGUUAUGUUGGAAAUACUCUAAGGUAGAAUAGAGUACAAAUCACAGUCACACAUACAAAAUGAUAAAUAAUAAAAAAUAUAUUAUAUUUUUGAUCAUAUGAUUAUGAAGACGUAUUUUACCUUAAAGAAGUUCUAAUAAGCGAAUUCUUCUAAAACAAUAUAAAAUUUCUUUUUUAUCAUACUCAACCGCUUCAAACUUCUAAGAAGUAGAUAUACAAUGAGUGGAAUACUGAAUUGAGUGCGAGCUGCGGAUAAUAUAUAAAAUUGGGAUACAAGCUUCAAGGAAAGUGUAUUGCUAUUCAAAUGUAGAUUUCAAAUUAAGAAGAUAUGCCAGCAAAUUGUAUAAAAAUGUAUAAAUUGAUCAGUAACAUUAAUUCCAAAUGAUGAAAUGAGUUAUCUUGAUCAAAAGGUCAAGAACCUACCUUACUUCUCUUAGAGAUAACUUGCAUCAACCGUUGUGGUAUUGAUACUUGUCUUCAGCUAGUAAAAGACUAAAAGUGAAAGUUUCACAAUUGAAAUAAAGCUAAGGGAAGAUGCUAUGCUCCAUUUAUUAUUAUUAUUAUUGAUGUGGUCGAGAAGUAAAGCCAUGCAUAUGAUGAAGUAUAAAUAAGAAUGCAAUAGCCCGGAAUUCAUUUACACAAACACUUCAAUAUCCUUUUGAUCACUUUUGCAAACAUCAGUUUGUCUCUUGUAUUCACCAUGGUUGAUGCCAUCGUUUCCUCUCUUGUGGAGCAGCUGACUUCCUUCGCUGCUAAAGAGAUAAUACAACAGGUGAUCGAAGUUACACCCCCCAUAUUAUAAAUACUUCUAAUGAUUUUAAUUGGUUUUGUUUUUAUCGGAAACAUUAACUUUGCUUUAUUUUAUUUAUUUAGGCAUUUUAAAUUUUAAAAUUUGAAUUGAAUUCAAUUAAAAUGUGAUGUAGCUAGUAACCACUUUUUUUAUUUCAUUUAUAUUCUCAAUAACUACCCAUAUUUUGGUAACUUACUGUAACCCCCGUAUCUAAGAAAUGAUUAAAACCCACAAUUUUAACUCCACAUAAAUAUUCCAUGUUGAGCUAAGUUUUUGCAUAACAUUCAAGUUUGUUAAAUAGUCAUUAAUUUAAUGUUUAGUAAAAACUUAUCUCUGAAAAUUUUCAUAAUUUUCUUACAUUCUUUGAGUUUGGUGAGUGACUUCAUAUAAUUUCUUUUCAAUUUAAAUUUUAAUUUGGUUUCUGAUAUAGUCUCUUUACUGAAUUUAUAUCUUUUAUGAUUCUUGGAUUUUGGGCUCCAACUUUUUAGGAUUUGAUAGUCACAUUUUAUGGCAUGCUUAGAUUGAUUUUCAUGAUUUGAGUACUCGUUAAGUGACUGAGAAUUUGACAAAAGUUUGAAAGGAAAUCCGUUUCACGAUUCUUAUGUGGAAGGUUCGUAAAAUCAUGAAAUUUGGAUAGGAUUCGCUAGCAAUAUGUACAAGACUCUUCAUGAAGUUUCAUAAUUUUUCGUUCGGUCUGGGGUGGUACAGGUGAAACUUGUGGUUGGUGUUAAAGAAGAAGUGAAAAGCCUUAUCAGCCACCUUCAAGCCAUUCAAGCUGUGCUCGAUGAUGCAGAGGAAAAGCAAGUGAAGGACAAAGCUGUUAGACAUUGGCUGGGCAGGCUCAAGUAUGCAUCCUACGACAUUGAAGAUGUGUUGGAUGAGUGGAUCACAGCUAGACACAAAUUGCAAAUUGAGGGUGGCGUUGAUGACAAUGCUCUUGCUGCUCCUCAAAAGAAAAAGAAGGUAUGUUUCUGCUUUCCUGCCUCUUGUUUUGGAUUCAAACAAGAAGAAUUUGGUUUCAGACAAGUCUUUCUACGUUAUGACAUUGCCAACAAGAUCAAAGAAAUGAAUAAAGAGCUACAUGAUAUUGCCACUCAAAAAGACAUGUUUAAUCUUGUUAAGAGUGGCAAUAAAAGUGGUGAAAGACCAAGGCGUGUACAGAGUACCUCCUUGAUUGAUGAGGAAGAGAUUUGUGGUAGAGUUGGUGAGAAGAAUGAACUCAUAAGCAAGCUGUUGCGUGAGAGUAGCGAGCAACAAAAAGGCCUCCAUAUGAUCUCAAUUGUUGGUAUGGGAGGCAUAGGGAAAACUACUCUUGCACAACUAGCUUGUAAUGAUGACGUGGUGAAGAGAAAGUUCGACAAAAUUCUGUGGGUGUGUGUAUCAGAAACUUUUGAGGAGUUUAGGGUUGCCAAAGCAAUCGUUGAAGCUUUGGAUGGUCGUGAAUCUCAUUUAGGUGAAUUCCAAUCUCUUCUUAAACAUAUUGAUGAAUCCAUUGCAGGGAAGAGCUUUCUUCUUGUCUUAGAUGACGUGUGGGAUGGAAAUUACUUGAAAUGGGAACCAUUCUAUCGUUGUCUAAAGAAUGGUCUCCAUGGAAGUAAAAUUUUAGUUACCACACGUAGUGGGUCCGUUGCAUCCACGAUGGGAUCCAUAGAUAUUAUUCCCAUUGAGAAAUUAGCUGAAGAGGAAUGUUGGUUGUUGUUUAACAAGAUAGCAUUUUUUGGUAGGCCUAUCGAGGAACGUGAAAAAUUCGAACGAAUUGGGCGAAGAAUUGCUGGCAAGUGCAAAGGUUUACCUCUUGCAACAAAGACAAUAGGUAGUCUCAUGCGUUCUAAACAAACUGAAGAAGAGUGGAAAAGAAUUUUAAAUAGUGAUUUAUGGAAAGUAGAAGAGAUUGAGAAAGAUGUUUUGUCCUCUUUAUUGUUGAGUUACAAUGAUUUGCCAUCUAGAGUAAAAAGAUGUUUUUCAUAUUGUGCUCUCUUUCCAAAAGACUACGAUAUAGAAAAAGACAAACUAAUCACAUUGUGGAUGGCUCAAGGUUAUCUUAGUGCAGAAGAAGAUGAGGAGAUGGAGACUAUAGGUGAAGAGUAUUUUAGCAUCUUAGCUUCUCGCUCUUUCUUUCAAGAGUUUAAGAAAAGUUAUGAUAAUCGGAUUAUAGAGUGUAAGAUGCAUGAUAUGGUACAUGAUUUUGCCCGAUUUGUAAGUCAAAAUGAAUGUUUUUCGAUGGCAAUUAAUGGUAGUGAAGAACCAAACGCCACAAACUCUGUUGAUGAGAAGGUCCGUCAUUUAAUGUUAAUCUUUAGUAUAGAGGCUUCAUUACCUGUUUCCACUCCUAGAGUUAAAAGAAUGCGUACCCUCUUAAUUAACGAUAGUAGAUCUGAUCAAUCAUUAUUAAAUGGUGAGAUCCUAGAAGAAUUGUUUAGGGAAUUGACAAGUUUAAGGGCAUUAGAUUUUGACAAAUUGUACCACUCAAUUUGGUCUUCGACUCUGGAGAUUCCGAGAAACAUAGAAAAGCUGGUACAUUUAAGAUACCUUAAUUUGUCUUCUCAGAAAAUAGUGGAGCUACCGGAGACAUUGUGCGAGUUAUAUAAUCUAGAAAAGUUAGAUAUUAGUUUUUGUUUUGAUCUUAGAGAAUUACCUGAAGGGAUUGGGAAGUUAAUAAACAUGAAGCAUUUACUAAAUUAUGAUACUGAUUCUUUAAGGUACAUGCCAGUAGGGAUUGGGAGAUUAACGGGUCUUAGGACCUUGGAUGAGUUCCACGUGAGUGCAGGAGGAGCUGUUGAUGGUAGGAAAGCAUGUAGGCUUGAAUCUCUUAAAAACUUGGAACACCUUCAAGUAUGUGGUAUACGUAGACUGGGUGAUGUAUCAGAUGUGGGCGAGGCUAAGCGAUUAGAACUUGACAAAAAGAAAUACCUCUUCAGUUUGACCCUUGAGUUUGAUAAGAAGGAGGAAGAAGAAGGAGAAAGAAGGAAGAACGAGGACGAUCAACUUCUUCUUGAAGCCCUGCGACCACCUCUGGAUUUAAAGGAAUUAGAGAUACGGUUCUACCGAGGCAACACUGUUUUCCCCAGCUGGAUGACGUCAUUAACCAACUUAAAGAGUUUAAAACUCUCUUUCUGCGAAAAUUGCGAGCAGCUGCCUCCUUUGGGAAAAUUGCCGUCCCUUGAACAGCUCUUCAUAUCGUACAUGUCGAGUGUGAAAAGAGUGGGUGAUGAAUUUUUGGGGAUAGAAAGUGAUCAUCAUGGCUCAUCUUCAUCUUCAUCGGUUAUUAUUGCCUUCCCCAAAUUGAAAUCACUUUCAAUUGAGUUUCUGUGCGAAUUGGAGGAGUGGGAUUAUGGGAUUACAAGAACGGGAAACACCGUCAUCAACAUCAUGCCACGUCUUUCUUCCUUGACAAUUGCUCUUUGCCCCAAAUUAAAGGCACUGCCCGACCACAUUCAUCAAACGACAACAUUGAAGGAAUUGCACAUUUGGGAUUGCAGGCUUCUGGAAGAACGUUAUUGCAAGGGGGAAGGAGAAGACUGGCCUAAGAUAUCACACAUUCCCAACCUCCAUAUUGGGCAUUGACAAGUAAUUUCUUCUCUUACUCUGAUUUGCUUUGUUGUUGUUUUUAAUCUAAUUAAGAAGCGUAAAUAGCAUUUUGAAUCAAACUCUAUAUCAGAAAUCUGCAAUACUUACUUUCUAAUAUUCUGAUUUUCAUAUCCUAUGAAUAUACGAUUUUUAAUUUGUGAGAUGGGUAACGUUACUGUAAAAGAUUAUUAAUGCAAUAUGAGUAAUUCUUUUGCAGGACAAGUGACCUACAUUUAGUUUGGCUUUGGAGUUGAAUAAUAACCUUUCGGGAACUGGUGUGGACUGGCAAAGGAUGAUGAGAUAGUUUUUUGAGUGAGUAAAUUUUGGGAGCUUGAGUGUAUUGGGAUUUGCAAUUACAAUCAUCGUCUGCCUCAGGUGAUUUCUUCUCCUGCUCUGUCAUUGUUUGUUCUCUAAUUCAAAAGCAUAAAAUAUUUCAAUCAAUUUUUAUGCCAGGAAUAUGCAAAAGUUUCUAAUAUUUUAUUUCCAUCUGUCACAAGAUCAAACUGAAGCAGAACUCAAACAAAAGUAUGCUACUUCUUGCGGAAAUCUUGCCUUCGUUCAAAUUAUGAAACCAUUUCCAUGCAGCAAAUUCAUCCAAAAGUUUGAAUAAGUUUCAUGGUUGGACACUGUUGGCUUCUUUUUCUUCUGGGGUGCAUUUAGGUGCUAUCAAGUGACAGCUGUAAGUAUGAUUGCACUAAGCUGCUGCUGGGAAAUUUGAGGUUUUGAUGGCUGCCCAUGUUAUUUUCAAGAAACUAUUGAUGUAAGAAGCCGUGGUUCUUUUCAUCAGCUUGAACCUGAAACUGUCGCUAUGGAUAACUCAGGUUUUUGUUAUCAACUAUAUCAUCUUUUUCACUAUUUUGAAACUCUUAAGAUUAAACGUUAGUAAAGUUGUUUCAGCUAUUCAAAUGAAAAACUCAUUGAUUUGAGACUUCCUUCAUUAUUGUUUCUAAUUACAAUGCUAACGAUCCAGAUAAAAUAAUAUUUAAUCGGCGAAGGUGUCCCUUGGAAGUACAUCCUUCUUUUUCUUUUAUUAUAUAAAUUCUUGCAAUGAGCUUAGUCAAGAUGUUGUGCUAAUCAUGCCACUGCAUAUAAAUUCUCCAGAAGUUAAAAUCAAUAAAUUUUCUAUUAGCUCUAGUGCUUUGACCUAAAUGCUAUUCUAUAUUCUGAUUACAAUGUUUUAACCUUUAAAUUAACUACCCCUAGGUGUUGGAUUUUCUAGAACUUCAAAAUGAUUAAUGGAGAAAGAUCCCAUUAUCGUUAUUGCUAUAAGAAAUUGAUUUAUGCAUCCAAAGAUACAUUAUAUAUUUCUGUGUCUCUAUUUAUAGAUGACAUUUAAGCAUCCAUAAACCGUCAGACAGAGGAAGGGGGUUCAGUGCAAAGAUUCUGUUGACCUAGGGUUGACUGCAUAAUGUCACUUGUUCGCAAUCUAUUAUUUAUUUUAUAUUUUGAAGAAUUUAAUGGGUAAUCCUAAUUGUUUGUUUUGGCAGGUAUGUGUUGUUUUCUCCUUCUAUCUAACAGUCGUACCUAAAUAGCAUAGUUUCAUCUGUGUUACCAUGUGAUGUACAUAAUUUCACAUUUGCCUCAGAUUAAGCUUAAUUUCCCACAGAAUAGAGCUGUCGCGACUGGACUUAGGUUGAUGUCCAAAGAGGUAAAUUAUUGGCAUGCCUAGAUAAUUUGGCCAUUUCCUAAUUCAUAAGUCUACAUUAAUUUUGAUUUUGAGUUGACUGAUUUCUUUUCAAGGUCUGCUUCCUUAACGGAGUGACCAAUGUUUUUCAACUAAAUUUAUCAUAUGAUGCAGGAAGCAGGGCAGGAUAUGAAAUGAGAAGCUCAUUGGUGGAAGUAUUGCCAGUAACAGAACCCAAAGAAAAUGAAACUAUUUCAAGGCAGCAGUUGGCAGUUGCAAGUGAAUGGAGGCCCUGACAAAAUUCUCAAGCGGUUGCAAUGCAAUUACGAUCAUCCUCAGCCUCAGGUAAUUUCUUCUCCUGCUCUGUUUUUAUUUGUUAUCUAAUUAAAAAGCAUAAAGUAUCUUGAAUCACUUUCUCUAUCUGGAAUAUAUGCAGCAGUUUCUAAAAUCUUCAUAUGAGUGUAAUGAUGGUAAUUUCUGUUUUUUGUCUGUCAUUGAAUGUUAGACAACUUUCAGUGAGACUCUUGAACCGAGACAUUUUUGACAACUGAAGGACAAUUGCUGAAGAGUCGGAAUGGUGCUAGAUUGGGGAAUAAAGACAAAGGAGGUAAAUUAUUUGCAGUUUAUUCAGCAUUAUUUGCUUUGGACCAGCGCCUGAUUCACAAGUCUCCAUAAUUUGGCUUUUGACCAGUUAAUAAAUUUUUAAUUCCAUUGGUGCUAAAUGUACACGUGAAGCAGGCAGAGCAGGACUGUGGAAAUGAGAAGGUUUUUAGUGAAAGCUUAAACUCAGGUAAUUCUAAAAAGUACAUGUUUUUGCUGAUUUAUCUAAAUCAGGAAAUUUUAUUUCCAUCUGUUACAAGAUAAAACAGAAACAGAACACAAAGAAAAAUAUUCUACUUCUUGUGGCAAUCUUGCCUUCAUUCAGACAAUGAAACCAUUUCCUUUCACCAAUUUCUUCCAAAAGUUUGAAUAAGUUUCAUGGGUGGACCUAGUUAGCUUCUUUUUCUUUUGGUGCAUUUAGGUCCUAUCAAGUGACAGCCAUAAGUAUGAUUGCAUUAUUGGGAAAUUUUAGGUUUGGAUGGCUCCCCAUGUUAUUGCCAAGAAAGUCCUCAUGUCAGAAGCUGCGGUUCUUUUCAUCAGCCUGAACCCGAACCUGUCGUUAUGGAUAACUCAGGUUUUUGUCAUCAACUAUAUCAUCUUUUUUACUGUUUUGAAACUCUUAAGAUUAAACUUCAGUAAAGUUGUUUCAGUUAUCCAUGUAAUCAGGCUAAGGAUAUUUAGCAGCUUAUUUAGGCAACUGCCAGAAUUCAGUUUGUUAGCUCGAAACUUGUAUGGUGACAAGGAUACUGGCAAGGAUAGUGAGAUAGUUUUUUGUGUGAGUGAAAUUUGAAAGCUUGGGUGUUCUGGGAUUUGCAAUUGCAAUCAUCCUCUGAGUCAGGUGAUUUCUUCACCUGCUCUGUCUUGAUUUUCUCUCUAAUUGAAAGCAUAAAGUAUUUCAAUCAAAUUCUGUACCAGGAAUACGUAAAAGUUACUAAUAUUUUAUUUCCAUCUGUUUGCAUUGAUAACUCGGCGGCAUAUGUUCUAGUUAAAGAACAAACAGAAACAGAGUUCAGGAAAAAGUUUCUUCGGCCACCAUAUUUGAAAAUGAAACCAUUUCCAGGAAGCAGUUGGCAGCAAAUUCAUAUGGAGUGUAGACAAUGAUGAGCAAAAAGGUGAUUCGCAAUUUCUUUUUUUUUUUAAGUGAAAUUAUUUGUUAGAUUGAAGCUGAUAUUGUAAGAAGGCCAUUGAGCUAACCUAUGUCGCCACUUGCCUAGAUUGCAGGGGGUCAAGACUCAAAAGAAGCACUGAAAUUUAAAAAGCAUGCAAUAGUUCUUUUGCCAUGUGUCAAUUAAUGCAAGUUUGAAUAAGUUUAUUGGCUGAACGAUGUUAGCUUCUUUUCCUUUCGUGCACUUUGGUAUGCUAUCAAGUGACAGCCGUAUGUAUGGCUUGCAUAUAGCUGCUGCUGGGAAAAUUGACGAUUUCAUGGCUGGCCGUGUUAUUGUCUUAAAUUAGUUGUGAUAAGCUGUUGCUUGGAGAUUCUGUUGCCAAGAAUUUGCUCACAUCAGAAGCUGUGGAAUCUGAACCCUUCGAUUCUGUUGCCAAGAAUUUGCUCACAUCAGAAGCUGUGGAAUCUGAACCCUUCGUUAUGUAUCAUCUUUUUCAUUGUUUUAAAACAGUAAACUCUCAGGACACUGAGCAGGCAAAUGUUAUAACUCGGUUUGUUAGCCAAAAACUUGUUGAAGAUUCUUGACAAAGCUGCGUCGAGUGAAUUGUCGGAGCUCUGAGGGUGAGAGAAAUUAGAGGGUGUAUAGGGAUUUGGAUUUGUUAGGAAGUUAUCAUUUUUAUUUGUCCGAUUCAAAACUUGAUAUUCCAAUUAUAUUCAUAAGCUUCUACAGUUAUCUUCAAAAAGACAUUCCAAUUAUAUUCAUAAGCUUCUACAGUUAUCUUCAAAAAGACAAAUGGAAGGCUUUGAACGGCUUGGGUCUGAGUAUUGUAGUUUGAUUUAUUUUGAUGAAAGAACCUUUUGACAUUAAGAUUCUUUCAUGAGUUAAACAUUCUUUUUAAAACCAACUUAUUAAAAAAAAAGUAACGAACAUAUAUUAUUUUGUUAGUGCUUUUUAAAUCAAAUAUAAAAAAGAGAACUGUAAUUCUUAGCAACCAAUUUUUCAUUGAGUACACCUACAACAAAUUAUUAAAAAAUAAAGCGAUAGAAAAUGCCUGAUUUUUCGUACUUUCUAAUUACUUUUGGUCCUAAAAUAUGGCGAUUUGUGUAAUAAUAAGCCCAUGUAUAUCUUUAUGCCAUUAGUUUGAUAAAUAACUAUCAAGGAUAACUUAUUAAGCUAAAAAUAUUUGAAGGAUAAAAUGGGAAAACUAAAAGGGUGGAGUAAUAAAGUUAUUUAAGAUUACAUAGUAAGUUAACUAUAUUCGAGGGAUAAAAUAUUAAAACUUGAAUAGUUAUAUUAAAAAUAUCUCGGCUAUUAUACUAUUAAACCAUAUGCCGUAAUAAUGUUUUUUUUCAAACUUUAAAAAAUUCAGGAUUUUAAAUUAAAACAUGGAUUUCUUUAAGAUGCUAUAUGUGUUUUUACAGUAUUGAUAGUGGGAUUAGUGUGUACCCUUAUAUGAAAGAGUUUUAAUCUGAAUCAUUCAUUUAAUAUAAUAGAUAAUUAAAUAAUUAAUUAAAAUAUAGCAGGUAACUUAUAGGUUGCAGGUAAAAAAUUAAUUUUUUAAUUUUAAAUUAAAAUUAAUUUGGAACAAAACCAUCCACACCCCUAAGGUUUACUUAAAUGAUCAUAUAAAUCCCUUUAGUUUCUACAUAGUUAUACAGACCCUCUUAAUUUCAUAAAUUAUUAUUAUACUUUUAAUUAAAACAACCUAAAUGAAUAUAAAUAUAGUAAUAGGAUAGAAAUAAUAAAUAAAUAUCAGAUGAAACAAAUAAAAUAUUACAAUAAAUACAAUUAAUUAAAUAACAUGUAUGAUGAAAAUUUUAUUCAUAUUAAGUUAUUAUUAGUCUAUCCCGAUGGAUUUACUCAAAUCAAUUAAUCCAAAAUUUAAUUUUAAGAUUGAUAUUAAUAUGGACAUAAUUAAAUAAGAUGUUGUAAUAUAUACUACUUUGAAUGUUAAGUAUAAUUAUCUAAUAUUAUUAGUAUGUGAAAUAGAUUUUAAUAUUAUUAAAGAAUAUGACAAUAUAUAAUUUUGAAUUAAAUUUUUUAGUAUUCAUGAUAUUUUAUAAAUUUUAUGUGAUUUUAUAUAUUAUAUUUUUUAAUUUUAAUGUAUUAUAUAUGAUCAUUUAAGCAAAUUUUGGAGGUGCGGUGGUCUUUUCCCUAUUAAUUUUGUAGCAUAUUUAAAGUGUUAUAUCAUACAUGAUACAUCACACUUUUGUUAAAGUGUUAUGUUAUUAAAAAUUAAACUUUGCAUUUAUAAUAUACUACCAUUUUAAUGUAAAGGUAAUAGAAAAUAUGAAGAUAUUUUUAAGUAGUCAAUUGUAGCUUUCUUUUACAAAAUAGCAGUAUAGAAAUACAAUUGGUAAAAUGUAAUAAAAAUGGUAUGGAAAAAAGUUAGUAGAGGCAAUUAUUCUUGUAGUUGCUAAAACAUAUGAAGUGACACACACACACACACACAUAUCAAGUACUUGUAUGUUCCCCUAACUUUUAUUAAUGGGAAGGAAAUUAAAUUCGUAAUUUUCCCGGUGAAUUAUGAAUUGAUAAAUGAAAUAUAAAUAUUAGUAAAAAUUAAUUUGUCGACUAAAGAAGUAAACCAUAUUUUAUGGGCAUUUAAUACAUUAAUUUAAGGUCAAAUGAGAUAAUAUCACAUGAUAUUUGAUACAAGAGUCCAAUUUUCAACAUUUGCAUAUAGUUUCUAAGCUAGUAAUCUAAUAAAAUAUACCAAAUGAGAAAUUGAAGGCUAUUAUUUAUAUUUCACCAUUGGACAAACACCAUACAUUAGAAUAAAAAAAUCUCACAGUAGAGACGGCAUCUGUUUGCAUGUUUUGAAAAUAGAUUUUGAAAUUAGUUUAAUUACAUGAUAAUUAAAUUAUAUUAUAAAAUUAAGAAUAUGAUUUAAGUACUAUUUUAGCAAUUUUGAGUCUCACAUUGAGUAUUCAAGUUAAUUAAAUGUUGAAACUCUUUUCUAUUUGGCUUGAAAUCACUACUAAAUAAAAUUACAAAAAGUCAAUAAUGAAUGAUGUAGGACACAUAUGUAAAAUAAAUUUUAAAGUGUAAUUAAACAUUCCUAUCAAUAUUAGUUUUGCAUACAUAUUCAUAUAUUUUACCGAAACCAUAUAUAAUUAAAUUUUGUGUAAUUAAGUAAAAUAUAUUAUUCAAGUGAAUUUAUGAGAAUAUUUAAAAUUGUAGGGGUCGUCACUGAAAUUUGCCAAACUUGAGCCAACCGUGCAUGAUCCAAACAGUUUAUUUUAAUAAUUCUCAAUAUGUUAGUCUGUUUGACUGUUGGCAAAAUAAAUUCCUAUCAGCAAUGCAACACAAUUCAAAAUCAUAUCUGCAUACAACGAACAAUAUCUCAUGAAAGAUCAAAUUAUACAUUUUUUACACCAAACCAUAAAUAUCUAAAUUGUCCCUCUUCAACUCACCAAGCUCAUACCUAACAACAGCAAGAUUAAAUGUCAUUUGAUCCAUCUUUUUUAUUAAGCUUUAUCAAUUCUUCUCAUGGUUGCAAUUUUGAAAGCUCGCUUCGCUAUUUCCAUUUGCUUUUAUGCUUUGUUUGAGCUCCAUCUUUUCUCUCCAUCUACAUUUUACACUGUAAAAAAAAUUUUAAAAAAAUUACAAAGCUUCUUAUGCUAGAAUAUGAGCAACAAUAUAAAUAAUAAACAAUAAAGUUAUGAUAGCACAGCAUGCUCAUUAAAGUGCUUCUUUUUUUUUUUUUUCAACAAGAAAUUACUACUGAAUUAAAGAUUUGGCUUUGCAUUAAGGUUUGCCUUCAAUAACUCAACUCCCCACUUGGGUUUUGUCGUUUUCUUAAAAUCUCUGCUCAAUCAAUUUAAAGAUCCUUUUUUUUUUCUUUCCAAAGAUCUAAAAGCAAUGUCUUUUAUUGGUACCCAACAAAAAUGCAAGGUCUGUGAGAAGACAGUUUGUCCAGUUGAGCAGUUAUCUACUGAUGGGGUUGUUUAUCACAAGUCUUGCUUCAAGUGCUCUCACUGCACUGCAAAGGCACACUCAAGCUAAGCAAUUACUCAUCCCUGGAAGGUGUUCUUUACUGUAAGCCUCACUUUGAGCAGCUUUUGAAGGAGUCGAGUAACUUCAACAAGAAUUUCCAAUUACCUGCAAAGUCAGCUGAGAAGUUAACUCCUGAGCUGAAAAGGUCGCCUAGCAAAGUUGACAGCAUGUUCUCUGGGCCCAAUAAAAAUGUGCUUCUUGCAGUAAAACAGUGUGUCCGUGGGAGAAGGUAGCAGCGGAAAACCAAGCCUCUCACAAGACAUGUUUCAAGUGCUCACAUGGUGGUAAUUCCAUUAGCCCGUCAAAUUACGCAGCCCUAGAAGGCAUCUUGUAUUGCAAACAUAAUUUCUCCCAAUUGUUCAAGGAAAAAGGCAGCUACAACCACCUUCUAUCAAAUCUGCUUCCAUGAAGCGUGCUGCAGUCUCUGUUCAAGAAGCUUGAACAUGUUAUGUUAUCUUCCAUAAAUCUUAUUUGGCGUGGGUUUUCUCUGGCUUGAGGGUGUGCUUUCUAUUUUGAUCCCUCUUGUUGUUUUUGCGGGGAACUACCAAACCUUCGGUUCCCUCUGCUUCUUUGGAUCAUCUUUGUUGGGACAAAUUUCAUGUAAUUAGAGAUACUGAUUUAUGGGAGGCAUAAUCCCAUGGUUGUAAAUUGACCAUUUUCUGGCAAUGUUCUUUUUAAAAAGAGAUGAGCAGUUGUUUAACAAAAAAAAUAGCUGGCCUUCAUCAUGGUAUGUUACCAAACUGCUAUGUAUAGCUGCUAACUAUGAGCAUCCGAAAAUAUGGUGCAUCGUGAUUCAUGUCGUGCAAUAUGGCUACCAACGCAUCCUAAAUGGAGUAUUACUCAGUUAGUCAGCAAAAUAAGACAACAGUAAGAUAUUAAAAAAAUAAAAACUACAUUAAUAAGUGGGCAAGAUCAUGCCAGUUUAACUUUUCGCGCGUCGCUGCUGGAGAUAAUCAAAUCGGGGCAGAGAAAAGGAGAAUGGAAUCAGAGGCUAAGAUUAAUAAGUGGGCUUCUGCUUGCUUUGCCCCUCUUUCUUAAACGAUUGGUAGACUGCUGCUUCCACCGAUUAACCGGGUCUUCAACCACUGCUUUUAUUGCCUGCCAUCUUGUUGUUUGUCGAAGGGAUGAAUUCGAGUCGAAAAGAGAAAGCGCGCUGAAAAAGACAAAUCACUAGUGGUUAACUACUGACUCAGCCAAGUGUUGGCUUCACUUGAUUCACCGAUUGAGGUUAUUUUGUCUUCUAUCUAAUGCAGCGAAGAAGCUUUACUGCUUAACAUGCUGCAAUGCAACUUUAUCUUUUGAAGUUCACACUUCAGGGCUGCGCACUUUAUGUAAUCCUAUGAGUAAAAAGAAUUUAUUUUCAAAUGUGAAAAAAGAAAAUGUAAGGUAGUAACUAAAUAUAUUAUAGCAUCAAAGUAAGAUUUGAUAUGAAUUUAGUACAACAAAGAACAUUAAAUCUGUGAUUCCUUGUCUAAUGUCACCAUCGAGCAACAAAUUUAAAAGCCUACCUAUCAAAUACACGAGGCAAUAAACGGAGAAAAAGUUGAAUUACAAGAACAAGUUUACAAUUCUUGUCAAUGGUUAAUGAUUCGUGAAUUGAGAUAGCAUUCAAGAAUCCAAUUUCAAUACAACAACGUAAAAGAUAAACAGAUGAUGAAUUUUAUGAGAUAAAGAAGGAGAUUGUGUUUUAUCGUAUCUCUAUUUUCUUUCCAUUUAAAUUUAAAAUAAGCUUUUCAACCGGUUAUAAUAUUUUUUGAAAUAAUUAAAUAUUUUUAUUAUUAAAAAUAAUGUGUACCGUUGAUUACAUCUAACGCUACAUAUUUCUUACACUAUUAAUACCGUAAAAAAAAUCAUAGAGGGACCCUUAAAACAUUUUCAUUUGAAAUUAUUUGGUGAAGUGAAAAAGUUAAGAAAGAAAUAGUUGUCCCUUUGGUCAUUUCACAAAAAUGAAAGCCCCAUAUAACAUGGACUUGAAUGGAAGCCCAAUUGUUGUGUUUGAUUUCAAGCUUUAUCGGACCUUUGGACCUGGAUACUUUACUGCGGCCUCUAAGCGCUACAAAUUUUUUUUUUGGGAUAAAAGGCGCUUCAAUGAAAAAGCACUUUAAAACUUUGGAUUUUGCCAAAACUUCAAAGCGGUUGGUCCAGUUACGGUGUUAUGCUAACGGGUUUAAAGGUUCCGAUCCAAUGAGUUAGGGUGGAAUAUGAAUAUAUAAAUCCUAGUCAUGUAAGGACUAGGAUUUGUUUGUUCAUAUCAAGAAAAAAAAUCUGAAAAUUUGAUGAUCAGAAGAUAAAAACACUUAAACACGUUUAUUACAGAGAAACAAACGACAACAUGAUGCUAGUAGUAAUUUUAUUUUUCUUUUAUUGUGUAACGUGGACCAAAAAAAAGGAAAUGAAUUUAAUAAAACCGUCAUUCCGCAAUAAUAAUGUACCAGCCUGGUUUUUAUAAUCCAUACCAUCCUGAUAUAAUUAAACACCAUUAAUAAUGUACCAGCCUUUAAAUAGUAAUUAAUUUAUUUAUCUAAUUCACCAAAUGUCAUUUCCGGUACAUAUCUCCUGGUAUCAAGAAGAGGCAGAACCCAAAGAAACGUUUCUUGUAUCUUCAUAUUUGUGCGAAUUCAUCCUUUCAUUGAGAAUAACCAUUUCCAGGCGGCAGUUGGCAAUCAAUUCAUGCGCAAGUCGAUGCUAUUCAUAGAUAUUAAAGACAAUGAUGAACCAAAGGUGAUAAAUCAUAAAUGCAUAAUUACCAAACCUCCAUCCUUCUCUCAUUAUGAUUUGAUUUUAAAUGAAUUAUUGCUUGGUAACAUUAUUUCCAACCAUUGCAAGAUUAUUAUUAUUUUUUUUUGGGGAGAAAUUUCAAUUGAAAGUGAAACCUUUAGACAUUUACCUAAUGAAGUUAGUUAAUGGGGAGGGUUGGAAAAAUUCCCAAGCCGUUGCACAGCAAUUACGAUCAUCCUCGGCCUCAGGUAAUUUCUUCUCCUGCAUUUUUGUUAUUUGCUAUCAAGUGACAUUCGUAAGUAUGAUUGUAUUAAGCUGCUGCUGGGAAAUAUAAGGUUUUGAUGGCUGCCCAUGCUAUUGUCAGAAGCUGCGGUUCUUUUCAUCAGCCUGAACCUGGACCUGUCGCCAUGGAUAACUGAGGUUUUUUUUUUUUUAAAUCAACUACGUCAUCUUUUCCACUGUUUUGAAACUCUUAAGAUUAAACUUUAGUAAAGUUGUUUUAGUUAUCCAUGUAAUCAGGCUGAGGAUACUUAGCUGCCUAUUUAGGCAAAUGUCAGACUUUAGUUUGUUCGCUGGGAACUGGUGUGGUGACAGCGUCCUGGCAAAGGAUGAUGAGAUAGUUUUUUGAUUGAGUAAAUUUUGGGGGCUUGAGUAUAUUGGGAUUUGCAAUUACAAUUAUCCUCUGCCUCAGGUGAUUUCUUCUCCUGCCCUGUCGUUGUUUGUUCUCUAAUUCAAAAUUAUAAAAUAUUUCAUCAAAUUUUAUGCCGGGAAUAUGCAAAAGUUUCUAAUAUUUUAUUUCCAUCUGUUUGUCUUGAUAACUUUGCAGCAUAUGUACUAGUUAAAGAACAAAUCGAAACAGAGUUCAGUUAAAAGUUUCUUCUGCCGUCAUAUUUGAAAAAUGAACCCAUUUCCAGGAAGCAAUGGGCAGCAAAUUCAUAUAAAGCGUAGACAAUGAUGAGCAAACAGGUGAUUCACAUUAAUGAAAUUAAUUGUUUGGUUGGAGCGGACAUUGUUAGAAGGCUAUUGAGCUAACCUAUGUCACUACUUGCCUAGAUUACAGGGGGUCAAAACUCAAAAGCGGCAUUGAAUUUUAAAAGGCAUCCAAUAAUUCUUGUGGCCAUAUAUCAAUUCAUGUAUGUUUGAAUGUAAUUAUUGGUGAAGGGGUUUCACUUCCCGUCUCUAAAUAAAAAUACUGAUUCUUUAAGGUACCUGCCACUAGGGAUUGCGAGAUUAAUGAGUCUUUGGACAUUGGAAGAGCUCCUUGUGAGUGGAGGAGGAGGUGUUGAUGGUAGCAAAGCAUGUGGGCAGUGGGCUUGAAUCUCUAAAAAACUUGGAACUCCUCCAAGCGUAAGUAUACGUAUACUGGGAAAUUUGUUAGAUGUGGAUGAGGCUAAGAGAUUAGAGCUUGACAAAAUGAAAUACCUCUUUCAUUGAGACUUAAAUUUGAUGGGGAAGAAGAAAAAGAAGAGGGAAGGAGGAAGAAUGAGGAUAAUCAACUUGUUCUUGAAGCCUUGCAACCACCUCUGAAUUUGAAGGAAUUAGAGAUUUGGUCAUACAGAGGCAACAUUGUUUCCCCCCGGAUGAUGCAAAAAUUGAAGGAAUUUACCAAUCUAAGGAGUUUGACACUCUUUAAAACUGCAAAAAUUGAGAGCAGUUGCCUCCUUUGGGAAAAUUGUGAUCCUUUGAAAAUCUCAGCAUAUUGUACAUGGAGAGUGUGAAAACAGUGGGUAAUGAAUUUCUGGGAAUAGAAAGUCAUCUUCAUGACUCAUCUCCAUCUUUAUCAGUUAUUAUUGCCUUCCCCAAAUUGAAAUCACUUUCAGUUGAGGGAUUGAUGGAAUUGGAGGAGUGGGAUUAUGGGAUUAAAAGAACAGGAAACACCUUCACCAACAUUAUGCCACGUCUUUCUUCCUUGGAAAUUAGUGUGGGGUUAUGGGAUCGCACAACCACGUUGAAGGUAUUGCAGAUUGUGGCAUGUGGUACUCUAAGAAGACGUUGCAGACAGGGGAGAGCAGAAGACUGGCCUAAGUUCUCUCACAUUCUAGACAUCAUGAUUGUGUGAAAAGAGGCCCUUGACAAAAUUCUCUAGGCGGCUACAUGGAGUACAAUCAUAAAAUGCUAAUGUGGCCACCCUGGUUCUUAAUUAAGGUUGUGAAAUAUUAUUGUAAAAGAUGAUUAAUUCAAUUUGAGUCAUUCGUUUGCUUUGAUAAUGAUAGUAAUUUUAUAUUUUGACAAUUUGCAAGGUGAGAAUGGUGCUGAUUGGUGAUACAGGAUACGGUUCAAACACCAUUGAAUAAAGCUACGGACAUGGUGGCUCAACUUAGCUAUUGCUGUCAAAAUUGGUAAGUUGGCUUGUCAAUGUAUUGAUGCUUUUGUUUUCUCUCAACCCUAAUUACCUUACCUUCAUUUAGUUUGGCUUUGGAGUUGAGUAAUAACUUUCAAGGUUCUCAAACAGAGCAGGACAACCGAAAAAAAAAGCUUAAUUUGCUACUGAUCACGUGUUACCAAUUAUUAAGGUAAUUCUCGUUUACUUGCUUCUACACUAUAGAGUACGUGUUCUGGCUGGUUUAUCUAAUUCAUCAAAUGUUAUUUCCUUAUUGUUCCAUUGAUAUAUUUGUUAGAAAGUGAAACCAUUUCCAGGCAGCAGUUGGCAGUGAAUUCAUGCAAAUGUUGAUGCCAUUCAUAGAUAUUGAAGACAAUGAUGAGCCAAAGGUGAUAAAUCAUUAAUGCAUAGUUACCAAAACCUCCAUCCUUCUCUCAUUGUAAUUUGAUUUGAAAUGAAUAAUUUCUAGGUAAUUGAAGCCAAUAUUGUUAGAAACGGUGUUGAGCUACCCAAGCUAAGAAGUUGGCUGCCAAAAAAUGCAGGGGAUCAAAAGAAGCAUUGCAUUUGAAAAGGAAUGAGAUUCUGGUUGCUACAUGUCAAUUCGUAGAAGUUUCAAUAAAUUUAAUGGUUCAAGAUUUUAGUUUCUGUUUAAAUUUGUGCUACUGCAGUGCUGCAGUGCUGCUACUGGGAAAUUUAAAUCCCAUAUUAGACUUUCCUCACAUAAGAAGCUGUGGAUCUUCGGACAUCAGGUUUUUUCACAGUUCUGAAACUCUCAGGAUUAAACUCUAUUAAAGUUGUUGUAGUUGUCUACGUUCUCAGGUCAAGGAUUCUAAGCUGCCGAUUAAGGCAAAAUGUCAGAAUUCCCCUAUUAUUUUUUUUUUCAUGUAAAAUUAUGUUGUUGUCUUCGCCCAUGAAUCUUAGCUAAAUUCUGAACCAAUUGUUUGCUAUUAUAAAUUUCAUUGUUAAAUAUUAAUUGUGAUGUUGGUGUUGAGUUUCUUUUAAAGUCAGAGAAGCCUGACGAUUGAGUUCCAUGGGAUUCUGAGAAGCAGUAAUAUUUUGAACAAGUGAAGGUUCUUCGUUUUUACAGUAUGUGCAGAUGUCUAAGAGGCAGGAUUUUUAUUUCUGUAAUGCUAAAUUUCGCAAAACAAUAAAAAUAAAUAAAUGCAUGACAGUGACUUCAAGAAUUUAGAUUAUUGAAUUUGGUCAUUUUAAAAUUGUUGGAAUGUUGAACUUAAGUAAUUUUUAUAAACCAGAGCUCAGAAAUGUAGAAUAUAAAUAUUGGAGAUUUGGACUUCAAUCAUUAGACUUGAAGCUAAAGAGGUAAGCCAUUAAUUAUAUCAAAGGAUUUGGAAAAUGGAGGGAUUGGAAAAAGGAAACAUUUUCAUAAACUUCAAGAGGAACGUCACAGAAAGGGGUAAAGAGAAGAGUAGCCUAAGAUAUUAAAGACAAUGUUGAGCCAAAGGAAACAUAAAUCCCAACCAUUGCAUGUGAACAUGAUCACAAUAAGGUCAAAAACCAUUUUUUUGAGAAUUUUCAAUUGAAAGUGAAACCUUUUGACAUUUACCUAGUAAAGUUAGUUAAACGAGAGAAAUAAAGGGGAAAAGAAAAGUUGACUCAAGUCAAUACAGAAUAAUUAGUUCAAUCUGGAGUAACUAAAACAGAGCCACUAUAUUUUCAAAAAUAUCUGCAUUCAUCACCUUCUCCUCCAGCUAGUGAGCUACACACGAAUCCUUUCCUUUUAGCAUUUUUGCAGCAUCAAUUUCUCCCCUCGUUUGUCAUCAAUUUCUCCCUUCGUUUCACCAAUACCAUGGCUGAUGCAAUCGUUUCCCCUCUCUUGGAGCAGCUGAUUAUCUUUGCUGCUGAAGAGUUGAAACAACAGGGGAAGCUGGUGAGUGUUGGAUGAGUGGAUCACAGCAUGCGCCAAAUCGCAAAAUAGAUCAAUGCUCUUGGUGCUCCUUAUCUGAAGAAGAAGGUGCAAAUUGGGAGCUGCAUUUCACUGUCAUAACAUUUAUUGUAAUUUCAUUUGGAGAUAUGUAAUAUCUGUUGUCCAGAUACAUAUCAUACACCAGUUGCUAUGUAAUUUCGUUUAGGUUCAUUUUUGUUUCUUAAGAGUUUGUAAAAAGAAUGGAAAGAUUUUAAAAUAUAAAUUUCAUAUCUGUUUAUUACUGUUGUUUGGUCUAAUUUCUUAUGUAGAAUUUUCAGAAUCUGUAGGACAUUAGUUUAUAAUUUUGAGAUUUUGCAGCCAUAAAAAAAAUUUUUUUUUUUUGCCAUUUUAUUUUGCUCCUUUAUCUAUGUGCAUGUUGACUGGCUGCAGUGAGUGAAAAUUUACCUAUAUAUGCUGGCUAUUCUUGGACAAUAUUAGAGAAAAUAAUCAUAUUAUUUCGCGUGAUGUGAACUUCCAUAACUUAUCAAUUGAAUUGCUGUAAAAUAUUAAAUAGUUUUAUUUUUCUUUUAUCGUGUAACUUGGACCAAAAAAGGAAAUGAGUUUAACACGACCCUCAAUAUAACCUCCAUUUCAGCACAAUACAUGUUAAUUGUUCCCCAAGGACUUCUCCUGUUUCCCAUUCCCACCUCCAUGCUCUCGAGAGGAAUUUAGCACCCAUCAAUUUUUAUUUUUGAAAACUCGUAAUGGUCUGAUAAAAUUAAACAACAUCAAUAAUGUUACCAGUCUUUAAAUAGUAAUUAAUUUAUUUAAUUUGCCACCUAAAAGAAUCCUGCUGGAAAUAGAGGUUAAAAAUUUUAUUAGAUCUGCUUACCUUUGUUCAUUCAGCAAAAACACUUACAAUUCACAGCUAGAGAAUCUAUCCAUUGACAAUUGUGGAUUAAAAUUAUAACACCUGAAUUCAAACAUAUCCUUAUGAAGUUAUGAAUUUGUUCAUACUUCAAAUGAUUUUUUUUUCCAAGCUAAUAAAGCAACCACUUUGAUCAAACGACGACGUUGAAGGAAUUACGUAUUUUCAAUGUCCUUUUCCAGACAGAUGUUGGAGAGAGGGAAAGGAGAAGACUGGCCUAAUUAAGAUAUCUCACAAAGAUUAUUGAGUUAAAAUGUUAUUGUAAAAGAUGUUUAAUACAAUAAUAGUAAUUCUUUUGCAUUGUUAUAAUGAGGCUGGUGGGUUUCCUCAGAGGAUGGAUAUGGCUCGCUAGCAUGCAUUUGGGAAGAUGCUAAUUAUCGGCCAUAAAAAGUCAGGGGGUUGUGGCUCUUCCGUCGCCCAGAAAUUCCUAAACUCAUAUAUCAAACUUCAGAUGAACUUGGGCAUUAUGUAAAUAUGUAUUUUUGAGAAUUAAACUAGUGCGUUCGAAAAAUUUUGAGCCAUUGUAAUCAUUUUAUUUUGCUAAGAGAAAAUUUUACUUUGUUUCGCUUUGCCUUUUGUUUUUUCUGUGAUAAUAUGAUUCAUACGAAUGUGAUUACACACUAUCAUGCAUCUAUUUUCAUUUGCUUGUCAUGAAUGGUCAACAUGCUCGAAAUAUUUACUUAGGUUGGAAAUAUUUGAAUCCACUAAAAUACUAUACAAACCCAUUUUAAAAUUAAAAAAAUGAUUAUCAUAAUACUCGUGAAGAUAACACGAUAUCAUACAUAAAAUAAAAUAUUUCGCAAAAAAGAUAAGAUACAAAUCUUGAGUAAAUAGGUACAAAAAAUAUUUUAGUGGGUUAAGUAGCACUAAUGCCCCCUUAUCAAAAAAUAAAUAAAAAUAACUAGUCUGAUUGGGUAUACCGUUUAUAUAUAUGUACAUAUUCUUGAUAAUGUGUAAUGUACAUUAUAGACAAAGAUUUUGAAAGCAAUAUUUUUUAAAAAGUCGAGAGAAUAGGAAAAGUCUAAAUCAAUUUUCUAAUCUCUACCUCCUUUAUGAUUUAAACUUUAGUGUUUAGUGUCGCGAGCCACUCAAAUUUUCUAAUCAAAGAGACUAAAUUGCACGAAAUUGUGCUAGCUUAUUUGAUUCUAGAAAUUUCUACUACACUGUAACACACUCUCACGUAGGGAUGGCAAUGGGGAGGGGAGGGGAGGGGACCAAUCUCCCCAUAUCCAUCCCCGAUAUUUUACAUAUGUCCCCGUCCCCGUCAGAAUUGCUUGAGAGAAUCCCCAUCCCCUCCUCGAAUAAUAACAGGGGAUCCCCGAGGGUCCCCGGUCCCCGAAUAACUAAUAAUCUAAUACAUUUUUUUAUUUUCGAUUUUAAAUUAAUCAUAUUAAAAUAAACUCAUACCGCUAUUGUAAGCUCGUAACCAAUUUUGACAGCACAUUAAGGCCUCCAAUGUGCUUGGAUGAAGUCUGUUAUGGUAUGGGCUCACAACUCUACCACUAGUGUUAAAAGCUGAUUCAGAAGCAACUGUUGUAAUUGGAAUUGCCAAAAUAUCUCUAGCAAUUCGAGCUAAUGUAGGAUACCUAUUAGCAUUUGUCUUCCACCAACUCAAAAUAUUAAAAUCUUCCAUCCGAGGUAUAACUUUCUCAUCCAAAUAUGAAUCUAAUUCAUCUGCAACAACUGCACAAUCUCCAUUGUUUACAUAAUCAUCAAAACCUAUCAUCCAUUUGGUUGCUUUCUUAUAAGAAUCCCCUGUAGAUCUAGUAGAAGAACUACUACCAGUAUAAUCAAAGCAAUAAACAGUUGGUGAAAACUUCAAUUAAUACUCUUCAACUAAUUCCCGGCAAAGGAUGACCACUUUCCCAACAUACAACUAUUUUGAUAUUUAUUAUUUUUAACAAUAUUUAUAAUUUUGUUAUUUAUUUAUUAGUAAUUUUAAAAAUAAAAAUAAAAUUAAAAAUUAAAAUGGGGAAAUGGGUAGGGGAUGGGGAUUCCACCUCAUCCCCGUCCCCUCCCCGAAUAAAAAAUUGGGUAAAAAAUUUUCCCCGUCCCCUCCCCGAAAAAAAAAUUGGGUAUAAAAUUAUCCCCGUACCCUCCCCGAAUGGGGAAAAUCCCCGAGGGUAUCCGUCCCCGUGGGGAUUUUUGCCAUCCCUACUCUCACGCUUGUACAUACCUCGAAAUUCUCUAGAAUUUACUAGAGUAGUGUUGCAUGUAGCUUGUACAUAGGUUUUUCUGGAACACUCCAGGCAUUACUAAGCAUGAGAGCCUUGAGAACUCUCUAGCCAUAAAACAUUCUAGGGUAAGCCUACCCUAAAAAUAGGGCAUGAUGCUUGCCACUUGAGCAUACAACAAGUAAGAACAAAUCAAGCAUACUUGUGAGCUCUCAAACUCUCUUAUACACACUUUUAUGAAUAAUAUAUUCUCUCUUUGGCUAUAUUGCUCUCUCUUCUCUCUAGUUUUUUUCGCAAGCAUCAAACCUUAGUUAGUCGAAAAAUUCAAGGCUUACUUUAUAGCUAUCUCGUAAAAGUUGUUUAAGUACCAUAGAGAUUUGCUGUGCAAAAUACUCAUCACAUGACAUUAGCUAAAUAAAAUUGUUUGAAAGCCACUUACCCAAACUAUUAAACGAAUAUUGACUUUUGUCUUAAUUUUCUAUCUCCUACGAUAAAUUUUAUAGUUAAAAAUUGAAAAAAAUUAAUAACUAUUAGAUAGAGCAUUCUUUAUUGUUAAAAGAAAUCUAUAUAGAUAGAUAGAUGGUAAUAUAAAAACUUACUUAUUGUAGUAUAAUGUUUUUAGUUUUUUGAAACACAGAUUCUCACUUUUUAAAGAUAAAAUUCAAAGAAAACAAGUUAAAUGUUGUAGAAAAUCUUCCAGCCAUACAAGAAAUUGUGAUGGCUAAAUGCAAACCUAACUAAAGUAUUAGUUGUUUUAUUACAAUCUCCAAAAAGAUGAGCAAUUCCAAAAUCUUUUUUUGUGACAAUAAACACUACACGUCAGUAAUUAUCCAGGUCAAAAGCAAGCUACUCUAUUAAAAAAAAAAAAAACUUGCAGUGAAUUCGAAGAUAAACCAAUUUUACUAGCAAGUUGGAUACAAAAGAGUAGGGCUUCGGCCUCAAUUACUCAGUGUACCAACAACUCAAUCUCGGUGAGUUAAAAUCAACUUCCAUCAGUCUUUUAUUUGUUGAUAGAUCGAUUAAGGUACCAAAAAGAAUAAUUAAAGAUGUAUUAGUUCAAGUUAAUAAAUUCAUAUAUCUUGUGGAUUUUAUUAUUUUGGAAACUGAACCAAUUGCUAAUGAAUGCAAACAAAUUCCUGUUACAUUGGGUCGUCCAUUUUUAACUACUGCUAAUACAUUGAUUAAUUGCUGGAAUGGAGUAAUGAAUUUAUCUUUCGGCAACAUGACAUUGGAACUUGAUGUGUUCAACAUAUGUAAACAACCUCACCACCAGGAAGAUGAUGAUAAUGAGAAUUAGGAGAUUGAUUUCAUCGAGCCAAUCAUUGAGGAACACAUUCAGAAUAAGAAUUUUACAAAUUCUGUGGAAAUUUAUUCUUCUUGUUCUUUUGAAUCGAGUAAAGAAUUAAAUUAUGAUACUGCUAACAUAUAACCUACAAUUGAUUCUAUGCAGGUACAUGCUGACAAUGGCCAAUCAAACUUUAAAGAUACAGAACAACCUGAAGAACCAAACGAAGAGCAAGUACCAGAGCUCAAAUUAAAGCCCUUACUGGAAGAAUUGAAGUAUGUCUAUCUUGGAGAACAACAGAUUUAUCCUGUGGUAAUUUUUUUCCCAACUCACGCUUGAUCAAGAAGGUAAGUUGUUGUCUGUACUAAAAAGGCAUAAAACUGCAUUUGGCUGGACUUUAAAAGACAUAAAAAACAAUAAUUCUUUAAUCUGCACACACCGAAUACACUUAGAGGAAAAUACCAAAACAACCCAUCAACAUCGACAUUAUAUGUGUAAACAUUAAAUACCAAAAUCAACCCCAAAAACUAUAAAUAAAAUAUCAUGAUUAAAAUGAAGUUUUUUUUUAGAUAUUCGUUGUAGUAUCUCUUUAGAUCGCAAACAAGAGAUAAAAUAAAUAAAUAUUUGCUAUGUAAAUAAAAAUAAAUAAUUUUUUUUAACUGAAAAAUAUUCUCAAAAACUAAAUAGUUCAAACUUUUUUUAACAUCAUGUGUUUCUAGGGUUGGGCAUUCAGUUCGGUUUUUACCGAACCGAACAACUAAAUUAAAUCGAAAUUACCUGUUCGGUUCAAUUGAAUAGACAAAAACCGAAGAGUUUAUAUUUUCAUGAACUGAAUGAUUUGUGUUUCAGUUGAGUUCGGUUCGAUUCUGGACCUGAACCGAACCGAACCGAUCCGUGAAUCGUAAACUGCCCACCCUUACGUAGUAGUUUCCGUUAACCGACGUUGUAUUGCUCGUAUAAAAUUGUUCAAAUGUUCAAAUCACAGUCUCCCGCUCUCAGCUCAGUCAGAGUUUCCAGGUCCAGAGACUUCCCGCUGACUGAGAACUUUUUCGUAGCAGGUCUACAAAUAAUGGAGUAGAGCUGAUUUUAUGAUUAAUUUAUUUCCUUUUUCAAUUUCUCUUGAUUGCGAUUUAAUCUGGAAAGUUAAACGUGAAUUGUUUAGUGCGGAUUAAAUGUUCGACGAAUUUCCCACAAGAGUAUUAAGUUCAAGAGAAAAAAAGAAAACAAUUGAGCGUGAGCGUGAGCGAGAAUGGUGUUUGGGCAAGUGGUGAUUGGUCCGCCCGGCUCGGGAAAGACCACUUACUGCAAUGGCAUGUCUCAGUUUCUCAGCCUUGUUGGCAGGUAACUUCGUUUCUUGAUUUCAAGCAGCUUUAUCUUCGAUGACCAAAAAUAUUGAUUUGGGCUUUGCCAUUAAAUGAAUGUAAGAGCAGUAGGGAAUAACUGAGUUAUAGGAUUAGCUUUAAGUGAACAUUGAUGGUAAUGUGAAGGUUGUAUGUGUUCAGUGGCAAGCUGUAUGCCAAUUUGGUCUAUAUGGUUGCUUAGGUAGUAACUUAUUAAUUUUUAGGCAGGAAGGUUGCAGUCAUCAAUUUAGUUCCUGCUAAUGAUAGUUUGCCGCAUCCUUUGUCAUUGAACUUUCUUACAAAUGCUGUGGUUUGUUGUAGUAUAAUUAGUUCAAUUGGAAAUUUCCUUGAUGUUAAUAUAGAAAUGAGUGUGCUGUGAAUAUUGAGGACCUCAUUAGACUAAGUGAUGUGAUGAUGGAGUAUUCACUUGGUCCCAAUGGAGGUUAGUCAGCCUAUUGUUGUUUACUCUUUCUUGCUUUAUCACGCAAUGAUAUUCCUUUGCUUUACAACAAAUUUCAUGAAAUUAACUUCAAUCAAGUGGCAAUGUUCAUACGCUGUUGAGAUUUUAUGGACAAUGAUUUGGUAGAAUUUAUAUGCCGUCUUCUUUCUUUUUGCAGUGAUAUGCUUGUAUUCAAUGAGCUUGUACUUAUUCUAUGGUUUCUAAAGUAGGUGUUUUUAUGAUAAACUAGGUCUUGUGUAUUGUAUGGACUAUCUAGAGAAGAAUAUUGACUGGCUGCAGUCGAAAUUGGAACUACUUUUGAAAGGUAAGUAGAGGCCAUUUUCCUUCAUUCUAAUGCCAAUAAUGCUGUCAUGAGACUCAUAAAAAUUGUUAAAACGUUAAUGUUUUUGGUAUUUUGCAGAUCGUUAUCUUCUGUUUGAUUUUCCUGGCCAAGUUGAAUUAUUUUUUCUUCAUUCCAAUGCCAAGACUGUUAUAAUGAGACUCAUAAAUAAGUUAAAUCUCAGGGUAUUGUUACAUCUUACAUCUAUGAAGGGACUCAAAGAGUUGAGAUGAAUUCAUCUUUGUUAUUUUGAUGCCAGAAUUGUGCAAUUCUCAGUUUGUUCCUUUCACAUGCAGUUGACUGCAGUGCAUCUAGUUGAUGUGCAUCUUUGCAGUGACCCCAGGAAGUAUGUUAGUGCUUUGCUUCUCUCAUUGUCUACGAUGCUACAUCUGGAACUUCCCCAUGUCAAUGUCUUGUCUAAUCGAUCUGAUUGAGAAUCAUGGAAAGCUAGGUGUGGUUUUAAGUGUAGCUCUCCUGCUUGUUUGUUUAGUUUGAAAUAUCAGAUAUUGUCACAAGAUCCUAUUUGCUACAUUUCCUCACCAAUCAAUUAUUUUGGGUCUGUUGCAGCUUUUAAUCUCGAGUACUAUACAGAUGUGCAAGAUUUGUCAUAUUUACAGCAUGCUCUCGGUCAGGACCCUCGUUCUGCUAAGUACAGGUUUGAAUUCUAGCUGAAUCAAUGAUGCAAAUUAUGUCCAUUGUUAUUUCUGCUGUUGUUUCUAUCAUUUUCAAUUGUUACUUCCCCUUUCCAUCUACUACCACACUACAAUACCCACACAAAUGUUGUGAAAUUUGUCAAUGGAAAAAAAACAGUUCCUCUUUUAUUUUGAUCAGACUCAAUGAAUAAGUGGUUAAAAUGUGCCUGUCCUAGAAAUAUAGAUGUGUGGUUUCGUAAAAUUUUCUUGAUCUUAAGAAAGAGUUAUCUCGAAAAGAAGAUAACAUGGAGAAUUCAACAACUAUACAGUCAUAUUGAUGUCUGUCAACUUGGGUCAUAUGGUGUCGUUUGGAUGGAGAUGUUAGGUCCCAGAUGGUAAACUUGUUAUCGAAUUCCAGUCUACUUCAUUCAUGCUUUGAUGACAUAUACGGUGCAGCUUCUUAUCUAAGACCUGCAUAUGUUCAAUCAUCAUUCUGUUCUGUAUUUGGCUGCCAUUCUUUUCAAUGAAUUCAAACCACUUCUGAAUACUUGCAAAUUCAUCCAGUGUUGUCAUUGAGAUGCCAAUAUGAAAGGAAGCCAUAAUUGCCCUUGAUAGUAUGCUUAUUGAUUGCCUCUUGCCUCACUCAGCCUCAUGAAUCUGCUUGUAUGGUGUUCUUGUAAUUUCAUUUGGAGAUUAGUAAUAUCUGUUGUUCAAAUGUAUUUUAUAUACCAGCAGUUAAUAAUUCUGCUUGCAGAAAGCUUACAAAGGAGCUGUGUGAUGUAAUUUUUCAACCUUAGAUAUCCAGGUCAUCAGUUUCUCUUGAAUUCUUUCUUGAAUUUCUUUGAAUUAUUUGUGAAUAAGAUCUUAGUUGGCUGCUUCUCUUCAGGAUAAGGAAAGUGUGGCAAAACUCGUGAAGCUGAUAUAUAAAAGCAAUGGGUACAUCUUUGCUGGCAUGGAUGCCAGUGCAGUUGAAUUCAGCAAGAUUGCCGUUCGCGAUGUUGAUUGGGAUUAUUUCGGAUAUCCUUCUUUUCACCUAUUUUCAAUGUUGUUAUUCUCAUAUUCAUAAAAUUUUUUGGUUAUUUAAUUAUGGUUCAUCAUAUGCAUCUGCAUCUUCUAACUUGUUCGUUUGAGAAACUAAUUUUGCCGUUAGGUAGGCUUCGAGCUUGAUGAGUUGAUUCAUGCUUUUUUCAUAAAUGUACCAAAAUCAUGGAAACUUCUUUUUCCCAGAUAUUGUAUCCACACUUUUUCCAUGUAAUUGGGUCAGACAAGUUUUGCUUAACAAAGAUAUCUACAGUAGCCGAAGUGCAGGAGAAGUACAUUAAGGAUGAUGAUGAUGUUAACUAAAAUGAGACGUGAAGAUAUGUGGUGUGCGAACCGUAAGCCUGCCUCUUAAUUUUGUGCAUGUUUACUUGCUUGUGAUUCACGUUUGUUAAUCUAUUUUGCUCUCUUGCAGGAGUUAUAAAGUUUUCAAUCAAUCAAACAUUUAACUUAAGUCCUUACCUCUUGCUGCAAAGACAAUGGGAAGUCUCAUGAGCUCUAAAAAAACUGAAGAAGAGUGGAAAAUAAUUUUAAAUAGUGAUUUAUGGAAGGUAAAAGAGAUCGAGAAAGGUGUUCUAACCCCUUUGUGGUUGAGUUAUAAUGAUUUGCCGUCCAGAGGAAAAAGAUGUUUCUCGUAUUGUGCUGUCUUUCCAAAAGACUACAAUAUAAAAAAAGACAAAUUAAUUACUUUGUGGAUGGCUCAAGGUUAUCUUAGUGCAGAAGCAGCAGAACAAGAUGAGGAGUUGGAGACUAUAGGUGAAGAGUAUUUUGGCAUCUUAGCUUCUCGCUCUUUCUUUCAAGAGUUUCAGAAACGUUAUGAUAAUCGUAUUAUAGCGUGCAAGAUGCAUGAUAUGGUACAUGAUUUUGCCCAAUUUGUUAGUCAAAAUGAAUGUUUUUCGUUGGAAGUUAAUGGUAGUGAGGAACUAACCGUCACAAACUCUACAAACUCUCUUGAUGAGAAGGUCCGUCAUUUAAUGUUAAUCUUUAGUAAAGGGACUUCAUUACCUGUUUCCACUCGUAGAGUUAAAAGAAUGCGUACCCUCUUAAUUAACGAUAGUAGAUCUGAUCAUUCAUUAUUAAAUGGUGAGAUCCUAGAAGAAUUAUUUAGGGAAUUGACAAGUUUAAGGGCAUUAGAUUUUGGCAAAUCGUAUAACUCAAGUUGGUCUUCGACUGUGGAGAUUCCGAGAACCAUAGAAAAGCUGGUACAUUUAAGAUACCUUAAUUUGUUUUAUCAGGGAAUAAAGAAACUACCGGAGACAUUAUGCGAGUUGUAUAAUCUAGAAAAGUUAGAUAUUAGUUUAUGUUUUAAUCUUAAAGAAUUACCUGAAGGGAUUGGGAAGUUAAUAAACAUGAAGCAUUUACGAAAUAGAGGUACUAGUUCUUUAAGGUACAUGCCAGUAGGGAUUGGGAGAUUAACGGGUCUCAGGACCUUGGAUGAGUUCCACGUGAGUGGAGGAAAGCGUGUAGGCUUGAAUCUCUUAAAAAAUUGGAACACCUUCAAGUAUGUGGUAUACGUAGACUGGGUGAUGUAUCAGAUGUGGGCGAGGCUAAGCGAUUAGAACUUGACAAAAAGAAAUACCUCUUCAGUUUGACCCUUGAGUUUGAUAAGAAGGAGGAAGAAGAAGGAGAAAGGAGGAAGAACGAGGACGAUCAAGUUCUUCUUGAAGCCCUACAACCACCUCUCAAUUUAAAGGAAUUAGAGAUAGAGUACUACCGAGGCAACACUGUUUUCCCCAGCUGGAUGACGUCAUUAACCAACUUAAAGAGUUUAGAUCUCUCUUCCUGCGAAAAUUGGGAGCAGCUGCCUCCUUUGGGAAAAUUGCCAUCCCUUGAAGCACUCAGCCUAUGGGACAUGAAGUGUGUGGAAAGAGUGGGUGAUGAAUUUUUGGGGAUAGAAAGUGAUCAUCAUGGCUCAUCUUCAUCGGUUAUUAUUGCCUUCCCCAAAUUGAAAUCACUUUCAAUUGAGGUUCUGCGCGAAUUGGAGGAGUGGGAUUAUGGGAUUACAAGAACGGGAAACACCGUCAUCAACAUCAUGCCACGUCUUUCUUCCUUGACAAUUGCACUUUGCCCCAAAUUAAAGGCACUGCCCGACCACUUUCAUCAAACGACAACAUUGAAGGAAUUGCACAUUUGGGAUUGCAGGCUUCUGGAAGAACGUUAUUGCAAGGGGGAAGGAGAAGACUGGCCUAAGAUAUCACACAUUCCCAACCUCCAUAUUGGGCUUUGACAAGUAAUUUCUUCUCUUACUCUGAUUUGCUUUGUUGUUGUUUUUAAUCUAAUUAAGAAGCGUAAAUAGCAUUUUGAAUCAAACUCUAUAUCAGAAAUCUGCAAUACUUACUUUCUAAUAUUCUGAUUUUCAUAUCCUAUGAAUAUACGAUUUUUAAUUUGUGAGAUGGGUAACGUUACUGUAAAAGAUUAUUAAUGCAAUAUGAGUAAUUCUUUUGCAGGACAAGUGACCUACAUUUAGUUUGGCUUUGGAGUUGAAUAAUAACCUUUCGAGGUCCCGACAACCAAAAAACGAAGCUUAAUUUGCCACAGAUUGCACGUAUUGCCAUUAUUGACAAUUUUCUGCACAAGCUUAGGUUGAUGUCAAAAGAGGUAAAUUAUUGGCAUGCCUGACUAUUUUGACCAUUACACGAUUCAUAAGUUUACAUUAAUUUUGAUUUUGAGUUGAGUGAUUAGUUUUCUAGGUUUGCUUACUUUAACUGGGUGACCAAUUUCUUGUAACUAAAUGUAUGAUGUGAAGCAGAACUCAAACAAAAGUAUGCUACUUCUUGCGGAAAUCUUGCCUUUGUUCAGAUUAUGAAACCAUUUCCAUGCAGCAAAUUCAUCCAAAAGUUUGAAUAAGUUUCACGGUUGGACACUGUUGGUUUCUUUUUCUUCUGGGGUGCAUUUAGGUGCUAUCAAGUGACAGCUGUAAGUAUGAUUGCACUAAGCUGCCGCUGGGAAAUUUGAGGUUUUGAUGGCUGCCCAUGUUAUUUUCAAGAAACUAUUGAUGUAAGAAGCUGUGGUUCUUUUCAUCAGCUUGAACCUGAAACUGUCGCUAUGGAUAACUCAGGUUUUUGUUAUCAACUAUAUCAUCUUUUUCACUAUUUUGAAACUCUUAAGAUUAAACUUUAGUAAAGUUGUUUCAGCUUUUCAAAUGAAAAACUCAUUGAUUUGAGACUUCCUUCAUUAUUGUUUCUAAUUACAAUGCUAACGAUCCAGAUAAGAUAAUAUUUAAUCGGCGAAGGUGUCCCUUGGAAGUACAUCCUUCUUUUUCUUUUAUUAUACAAAUUCUUGCAAUGAGCUUAGUGAAGCUGUUGUGCUAAUCAUGCCACUGCAUAAUUUGGCCCCUAAUGUGGGUACUCUGUUACAUUGUUCUGCAAAUUCUCCAGAAGUUAAAAUCAAUAAAUUUUCUAUUAGCUCUAGUGCUUUGACCUAAAUGCUAUUCUAUAUUCUGAUUACAAUGUUUUACCUUUAAAUUAACUACCCCUAGAUGUUGGAUUUUCUAGAACUUCAAAAUGAUUAAUGGAGAAAGAUCCCAUUAUCGUUAUUGCUAUAAAAAAUUGAUUUAUGCAUCCAAAGAUACAUUAUAUAUUUCUGUGUCUCUAUUUAUAGAUGACAUUUAAGCAUCCAUAAACCGUCAGACAGAGGAAGGGGGUUCAGUGCAAAGAUUCUGUUGACCUAGGGUUGACUGCAUAAUGUCACUUGUUCGCAAUCUAUUAUUCUUUUCAAGGUCUGCUUCCUUAACGGAGCGACCAAUGUUUUUCAACUAAAUUUAUCAUAUGAUGCAGGAAGCAGGGCAGGAUAUGAAAUGUGAAGCUCAUUGGUGGAAGUAUUGCCAGUAACAGAACCCAAAGAAAAUGAAACUAUUUCAAGGCAGCAGUUGGCAGUUGCAAGUGAAUGGAGGCCCUUGACAAAAUUCUCAAGCGGUUGCAAUGCAAUUACGAUCAUCCUCAGCCUCAGGUAAUUUCUUCUCCUGCUUUGUAUUUAUUUGUUAUCUAAUUAGGAACCGUAAAGUAUCUUGAAUCAUUUUCUGUAUCUGGAAUAUAUGCAAGAGUUUCUAAAAUUUUGAUAUGAGUGUAAUGAUGGUAAUUUCUGUUUUCUGUCUGUCAUCAAAUGUUAGAAAACUUUCAUUGAGACCCUUGAACCGAGUCAUUUUUGACAAGUGAAGUGCUGAAGAGUGAAGAGUAAGAAUGGUGCUAGAUUGGGGAAUAAAGCAAAAGGAGGUAAAUUAUUGGCAGCUUCUUCAACCUUAUUUUCUUUGGACCAGUGCCUAAUUCACAAGUCUCCAUAAUUCGGCUUUUGACCAGUUGAUAGAUAAAAUUUUAAUUUCAUUGGUGCUAAUGUACCCGUGAGGCAGGCAGAGAAGGACUGUGGAAAAGAGAAGGUUUUUAGUGAAAGCUUAAACUCAGGUAAUUCUAAAAAUUAUAUGUUUUGGCUGAUUUAUCUAAAUCAGGAAAUUUUAUUUCCAUCUGUUACAAUAAAACAGAAACAGAACACAAAGAAAAAUAUUCUACUUCUUGUGGCAAUCUUGCCUUCAUUCAGACUAUGAAACCAUUUCCUUUCACCAAUUUCUUCCAAAAGUUUGAACACAUUUCAUGGUUGGACAUAGUUAGCUUCUUUUUCUUUUGGUGCAUUUAGGUGCUAUCAAGUGACAGCCGUAAGUAUGAUUGCAUUAUUGGGAAAUUUUAGGUUUUGAUGGCUCCCCAUGUUAUUGCCAAGAAAUUUUAAGUCCUCGUGUCAGAAGCUGCGUUUCUUUUCAUCAGCCUGAACCCGAACCUGUCACUAUGGAUAACUGAGGUUUUUGUCAUCAACUAUAUCAUCUUUUUCACUGUUUUGAAACUCUUAAGAUUAAACUUCAGUAAAGUUGUUUCAGUUAUCCAUGUAAUCAGGCUAAGGAUAUUUAGCAGCUUAUUUAGGCAACUGCCAGAAUUCAGUUUGUUCGCUCGAAACUUGUAUGGUGACAAGGAUACUGGCAAGGAUAGUGAGAUAGUUUUUUGUGUGAGUGAAUUUUGAAAGCUUGGGUGUUCUGGGAUUUGCAAUUGCAAUCAUCCUCUGCUUUAGGUGAUUUCUUCUCCUGUUCUGUCUUUAUUUUCUCUCUAAUUGAAAGCAUUUCAAUCAAAUUCUGUACCAGGAAUACGAAAAAUUUACCAAUAUUUUAUUUCCAUCUGUUUGCAUUGAUAACUUGGCCGCAUAUGUACUAGUUAAAGAACAAACAGAAGCAGAGUUCAGGAAAAAGUUUCUUCGGCCACCAUAUUUGAAAAUGAAACCAUUUCCAGGAAGCAGUUGGCAGCAAAUUCAUACAAAGUAUAGACAAUGAUGAACAAAAAGGUGAUUCGCAAUUUCAUUUUUUUAAAAUGAAAUUAUUUGUUAAGUUGGAGCUGAUAUUGUUAGAAGGCCAUUGAGCUAACCUCUGACACUGCUUGCCUAGAUUGCAGGAGGUCAAGACUCAAAAGAUGCACUGAAUUUUAAAAGGCAUGCAAUAAUUCUUAUGGCCAUUUGUCAAUGGUGGAAUGCUUUUAGCUUCUUUUCCUUUUGUGCAUUUUGGGGUUCUAUCAAGCGACAGCCGUAUGUAUGGAUGGAUAUAGCUGCUGCGUUGAUUUCUAAUGCAUUGUAUGAUGUUAUAGCAACUAUCCAUCUGGUCAAUGUUUCAAAAGAAUAAGACAGGGAAAAAGAGAAAGCAAGUGGCCAAUCAAGUUGCAUCAACCAAAUUGUUGUUAAACAAGUAAAACAAAGAAAGAGAGUUAAGGAAGCUGACCUUGUAGUAGGGGAGCUGAAGAAAGGCUGCCAGUGAAUGUAAGAGAAAAUAAAAUGCAAGAAAUGGUGAAGUGCAGCUUUUCAUGUCAACUUGAAAUUGAUUUUUCUGUUUGUUUUUUUUUUUUUGUAAUCUUUUGGAUUUUUCAAACAAAGAAAAUGAGGAGCAACCAGGGAGAUAAAAAGGGCGCCAAGGCAACUGUGUGUUGGGUUUAGAGCCAAAAAUAAAUAAAUAAAUAAAUAAGACAUCGUGUUCUUGUGGAGACCAGACCUAUUACGUAACGUCCCCUUCAAUACCACUUGUUCCGUAUCUGGUUUUCUCUUCGUCGUUUACAUAUUUAUCCUGUGAUUUUACAAUAACUAAAUAAUCCCCGCAUAGUUUGCAAUUUUAUUCAUUUGGGCCCUACAGAUUUCAGUAAUAGGAAUUAUUAAGGGACAAGAGCGCAAAACAGAAACUCUGUCCACUACUGAUGAUAUAAUAACGAACCUUUGUUUUUUUUUUUUAAAAAAAAAAAGAGUAACAAAAUAUCAUUAGACAAAUGAAAAUAUUAUCUAACAUCACCUAUUCACCUUACUGAUGAUAUGAAAAUAUGUAUGUAUGUAUGUAUGUAUGUACAUAUAUACAUACACCUAUGUAACAUUUACUUAUACAUUCUUUUGAGUUUAAAUCUUAAUACAACUACAUACAACCACAUCAAUGUAUAUAUUUUUUACAUAAGACAUGCCGUCCUAUUAUUCAUAAGUAAACAAUGUGCCGUAAAUAGUAUUCUGUGUUUUCUCAAAGUUGACUUUUCGUCUUUUAUUUUCAGACGCAGACGCUAUGUCAUUUUGUAAUCGUCCGAACAUAUACAGAGCAGAAUUGGUGUUAUCUGAUUUUGUGAUGCAAUAAGAUUUGCACUUCCUGUGCAUUCAAUGGAAUCAUGCCACGCUAGUAGACAAUAUGCUAGUUUGAACAAACUUGUUUGAAUGGCAAAAACGACAUGACCUGCUGUAGUAUUAAUUCUUUCCCGAACCAACGGGUGAUUUGCUACGUUGGAUCAUGAAAAUUAACCAAAAUAAAAAUUCUUAAGGAAUUAGUUAGUUAAUUGAUUGAUCGAAUUUAAUCUAAAUUUGAAAAUGAUAAGAUAAAUUUAAAUUUAUUAUUAUUAUUAUUAUUAUUAUUUUAAAGUGGGUGGGUUUAUACAAUUUGAGCGGUGGAAAUAUCACUGCUGAAUUAUUAAAUAUACAGUGUAAAAUUUUGACCUUUAAAAUAUUCCCUUUUUUUUUUUAUUUAGCACUAUAAGUUUAAAAAUUUAACAUUUUACCUCAAUAAUUAAAUACUUUUAACUUUAAUCUUCAAAUAUUUACCCUACAACAUUUGGACCUAAAUUUUUAAUCCGACUCGGCCCCUGACCCAAGUGGGAAGAAGAUCAGGCUUAUAAGUUAUAACUAUCACCAACAUAACAUCUUCUGGAAAAUAAUAAGAUUACUCACCUGCAAUUAUGUGAUCAAACUAAUGGUAAGCAAAAUAGAACAGCGUUAUUUCAGUCCCCUUUCAGUUUCUUUAUCAUUUUUCUUUUCCUAUUUAUAAGCUUAAUUCGGUUCAAAAUCGGCUAAUUCACUUUGAUUUCACUUUUCUUUCUUUCGGUUCAAAAAAAUUGAACCCAUUGGCUGUCAAUUCAAUUUUGUUGAAAACCAACUUUGCCUGAAUUUAAGUAAUAAUAGAGGAAAAAAAAAGAGUACUUAGCAGAAGAGAUUUCUCAUUUUUUUCUCAUUCAAACUUCUAAAAUAAAAGAAAAAAAAACAAGAGUAAUUGUUAAUUAUCAAAAUUUUGUUUAUACUAUUCCACCAAGAAAAUUAUACAAAAAAAAAAAUUUUAAAAAUUGGAGAAGAAAUAUGAGGUGAAAUACGUGGAUGGCUUAGACUAAUAAUGUGAACAAAUUCCUCUUGGAAGCAUGUCAUUGUUCAUCCGGACAACACGCGGCGAUGAGAUUCGAGAAUAAAAGGAUAGGAAUCAACUGUAACCUCAUAAACAAAUGGCCUUGGAGUUGUAACCAAAGCUUUUAAUUAUUGAUCAUUAAGAUCGAUAUAAAGUAUCACGAAAUGAUGUGUACGACGACAAUAUCAAUAGCGUAGUGUGAAGACCUGGCUGUAAACACAAGGCUCGGCAGAUUAAUUAAACAAGAGUAUCCGAAUUUUCUAUGAUAAUCUCUAGGAAACGAUCAGCUAUAAUGUACGAAAUUAAAAUAUUGCAUAUAUUUUUGAAUUUUUGAACUCAUGCAUUAAUUUAAAAAAUUAUAUCGUAUUAUAAUUUAUUCACAAAAGAAAGAAAAAUUCACUAAUCAAGUGAAAUCGUAUUCUUAUUGAAAUGAAUUCCAGUAAUUGGAUAAAUAUAAGUAUUUCUUCCGUUGUAAUUUUUGUUUAACAGAAAAUCUAUUUGAGAUUUUGUGAGAAGAAACUCAACAAUAAAGUUUGAUAGACUUUGUGGAUAUUAAGAGUUUGACAAGUAAUUGAAAUCUGAAGUUUACUGAAAUUUACGAGCAAACAAACUGAAAUCCGAAGUUUACUGAAGUUUACUAUCAAGAGUUUCAAAACAGUGAAAAAGAUGAUAUAGUUGAUGACAAAAACCUGAGUUAUCCAUAGCGACAAGUAACAUACUGAAGUAAGCCGUUGGGAGCUGGCCUGUUCAUGGGCUAUUUUUCUCUGAUGAUCUGCAUUUUUCUUCCUUUUAAAGUGAACCUUGACUCGUAUCAAACCUGUCAAAAGAACAGUUCAUCAACUGAGCUGAGAUUUGCUUUCCUUUUUCAAAACCCACCUGAGAUAUUGUAAUUCCCAAAUUUCUCUCUCUCAGCUACACGAGCAAGCAGCCGCUUUUUCACUUCAUCGAAGAAGGUAAGCGAUUUAUCUAUUUCGUCCGAUUGAUUUCUUGUUUCGUUUUCAGUGUUCGGGUAAAUUAUUGGCAUGCCUGACUUUUUGACCAUUACAUGAUUCAUAAAUUUCUAUUAAUUUUGAUUUUGAGUUGACUGGUUACUUUUAUAGGUUUGUUUACUUUGACUAGGUGACCAAUUUCUUGUAACUAAAUUUAUGACGUGAUGCAGGAAGCUCGGCAGGAUAUGAAAUGAGAAUCUUAUUAGUGGAAGGAUUGCCAGUAACAGAACCCAAAGAAAAUGAAACCAUUUCAAGGCAGCAGUUGGCAGUUGGGAGUGGAUGGAGGCCCCUGACAAAACUUCAGUAAACUUCAGAUUUCAGUUUGUUUGCUCGAAACUUGCAUGGUGACAAGGAUACUGGCAAGGAUAAUGAGAUAGUUUUUGUGUGAAUGAAAUUACGAUCAUCCUCAGCCUUAGUUGUUAUUUGUUACCUAAUUAAGAAGCAUAAAGUAUCCUGAAUCAUUUUCGUUGUCUGGAACAUAUGAGUGUAAUGAUUGUAAUUUCUGUUUUCUGUCUGUCAUCGAAUGUAAGACAACUUUAUUAAGAUUCUUGAACCGAGUCAUUUUUGACAAUUGAAGGACAAGUGCUGAAGAGUGGGAAUGCAAAAAGUUUUGUUGUUUCUAGCCUUGUUUUCUUUGAACCAGCGCCUGAUGAUAUAACAGAAACAAGGCUAGAAACAACAAAAACUCUGUCCACUACUGAUGAUAUAACAACGAACCUUUGUUUUUUUCUUUUUUCUUUUUUUUUUUAAAAAAAGUAACAAAAUAUCAUUAGAGAAAUGAAAAUAUUAUCUAACAUCACCCUACUGAUGAUAUGAAAAUAUGUAUGUAUGUAUGUAUGUAUAUACGUAUGUAUGUACAUAUAUACAUACACCUAUGUAACAUUUAAUUAUACAUUCUUUUGAGUUUAAAUCUUAAUACACAUUUUCAUGAAAUUUUUAUUUUAUUAAGUAUACAACUACAUACAACUACAUUAAUGUAUAUAUUUUUUACAUAAGACAUGCCGUCCUAUUAUUCAUAAGUCAACAAUGUGUUGUAAAUAGUGUUCGUGUCUCAAAGUUGACUUUUCGUCUUUUAUUUUCAGACGCAGACGAUAUGUCAUUUUAUACACAGCAGAAUUGGUGUUAUCUGAUUUUGUGAUGCAAUAAGAUUUGCACUUCCUGUGCACUCAAUGGAAUCAUUUCUUUGUAACUAAUUGGGUGCUGGAAUGGUGGUCAAAUCUCGAACGAAGACAGAUCUAUCAAACUCCAGAAUUGGUGUUAUCUGAUUAAUUGAUUGAUCGAAUUUUAUCUAAAUUUGAAAAUGAUAAGAUAAUUUUGAAUUUAUUAUUAUAAUUAUUAUUUUAAAGUGGGGUGGGUUUAUACAAUUUGAGCGGUGGAAAUAUCACUACUGAAUUAUUAAAUAUACAGUGUAAAAUUUUGACCUUUAAAAUAUUCCCUUUUUUUUUUAUUUAGCAUCUAUAAAUUUAAAAAUUUAACAUUGUACCUCAAUAAUUAAAUACAUUUAACUUUAAUCUUCAAAUAGUUACCCUACAACAUUUGGACCUAAAUUUUUAAUCCGAUUCGGCCCCUGAUCCAAGUGGGAAGAAGAUCAGGCUUAUAACUAUCACCAACGUAACAUCUUCUGGAAAAUAAUAAGAUUAUUCACCUGCAAUUAUGUGAUCAAACUAACGGUAACCAAAAUAGAACAGCGUUAUUUGAGUCCCCUUUCAGUUUCUUUAUCAUUUUUCUUUUCCUAUUUAUAAGCUUAAUUCGGUUCAAAAUUGGCUAAUUCACUUUAAUAAGUUUAUUGGUUUGAACGCUGUUAGCUUCUUUUCCUUUCGUGCAUUUUGGUAUGCAACAGUUCUUGCCUAUGACACUGCUUGCCUAGAUUGCAGAAGGUCAAGGCUCAAAAGAAGCACUGAAUUUUAAAAGGCAUGCAACAGUUCUUGUGCCAUAUGUCAAUUCAUGCAAGUUUGAAUAAGUUUUUUGGUAUGCUAUCAAGUGACAGCCGUAUGUAUGGUUUGCAUAUAGCUGCUGCUGGGAAAUGUGAGGAUUUCAUGGCUGGCCGUGUUAUUGUCUUAAAUUAGAUGUGAUAAGCUGUUGCUUGGUGAUUCUGUUGCCAAGAAUUUGCUCACAUCAGAAGCUGUGGAACCUGAACCCUUCUCUAGAUAUCAUCUUUUUCAUUGUUUUAAAACUCUCAGGAUUAAACUUGAGUAAUUUUGUUCGGUUGUCUAUAUAAUCAUGUAUUGAGUAAACUCUCAGGAUACUGAGCAGGCAAAUGCCAUAACUCGGUUUGUUCUUCAAAAACUUGUUUAAGAUUCUUGACAAAGCUGCAUGAAGUGAAUCUUGGGAGCUUUGAGGGUGAGAGAAAUUAGAGGGUGUAUAGGGAUUUGGGCUUAUUAGGAAGUUAUAUAUGUAUUUCGUCACUUAUCAUUAUCAUUUUUUUUUUCACAGAAAACCUUCUGAUGGUGCUAAAUUUUCAAACACCGGUCCGAUUCAAAACUUCAUAUUCCAAUUAUAUUCAUAAGACAAAUGGAACACUUUGAACGGCUUGUGUCCGAGCAUUGUAGUUUGAUUUAUUUUGAUGACAGUACCUUUUGACAUUGAGAUUCUUUCAUGAUUUAAACAUUCUUUUAAAAACUAAAUUAUUAAAAAAAAAGUAACUAACAUAUAUUAUUUUAUUAGUGCUUUUUAAAUCAAAUAUACAUAGGAGAACUGUAAUUCUUAGCAAUCAAUUUUCCACUAAAUACACCUGCAACAAACUAUUAAUAGCAAAGUGAUAGAAAAUACCUGAUUUUUCAUACUUUCUAAUUUCUUUUGGUCCUAAAAUAUGGGCAUUUGUGUAAUAAUUAGCCCAUGUGGAUCUCUAUGCCAUGAGUUUGAUAAGUAGCUAUCAAGGAUCACUUAUUAAGCUAAAAAUAUUUGGAGGACAAAAUUGUAAAACUAAAAGGGUGGAGCAAAUAUGGCUAUCUAGGAUUAAAUAGUAAGUCAACUAUAUUUAAAGGAUAAAAUAUUAAAACUUGAAAUGUGAUAUUAAAAAUAUCUCAACUAUUAUGUUAUUAAACCAUAUGUUGUAAUAGUUUAUUUUUUAAGCUUCAAAAUGUUCAGGAUUUUAGAUUGAAACAUUUUCAUUUGAAAUUAUUUGGUGCAGUCACAAGUUAAGAAAGAAAAAGUUGUCCCAUUGGUCAUUUCACAAAAAUGAAAGCCCUGUAUAACAUGGGCUUGAAUGGAAGCCCAAUUGUUUGUGUUUGAUUAAUUGAUUUCAAGCUUUAUCGAACCUUUGUACCUGGAUACUUUACUGCGGCCUCUAAGCGCUAUAAAUUUUUUUGGGGAUAAACGGCGCUUCAAUGAGGUCAUCUCCGAUGCUUAACACCAUUUUGGUGUAAUACCAACAUUAAAAAUAUACAUUUUUCACACUAAAUUACUAUUUCAUCUCCAACCCAUUUACACCAAAAAAAAUAUUUUUCUUUUUAUUCUUUUAAUUCUCAAGAAUUAAUUCAAUUAACACAAUAAAUACUACUAUUAACAUAGAUAAUUAAGUAAUAAGUAAUUUUAUCGAUUAACAAAAAAAUAUAGAAAAUUAUUAAAUUUGCAUUUAAUUAACUAAAUUAGUACAUUAUGAAAAUUAAACAUUACAUUAAUAUAGAAAAAUACAAUAACAAUAAUAAUAAUUUUAUAUCUAAUAUUUUGAUGAUAUUGGAGGAUCUAAUAAUGAUCUUCCAGAUUAUUAAAUAAUUGUUCUAAUUUAUACUAGUAGUAGUAGCUUUUUUAAUUUGUGUUAAUUUAAUUUUGUAAUAUGUAAUAUAGUAAUUAAUGUUACUAGCAUUUUAUUAUUAUUAUUAAUUUUUGUGUUGAAUAUUUUUUAUUUAAAAUAUUAGUAUAAUAUUCAAAAAUUAAAAAAUGAAAUAAAAAUAAUAACAAAAAUAAUAAUAAUAAUAACUUAAAAUAUUAUAUAAAAUAGGACAUAUAUGUAAAUAAGAAAAAGUAAUAAAGAUAUUUAAGAGCUUUUUUUCCUAGCACCAAAUGAAUAGUGUUACACCAUAUUUGGUGCAAUACUAUUCACAACACCAUUUUGUUGUUGGUUUUGGUGUUACAUUGGAGAAGCAUUUUACACCAAAAAUAGUGUAAAAGGUGGUUUGGUGUUAGUUUUGGUGUCACAUUGGAGAUGGCCUGGAAAAGCACUUGAAAACUUUGGAUUUUUGGUUCGUCCAGUUACGGUGUUAUGCUAACGGGGUUAAAGGUUCCGAUCCAAUGAGUUAGGAUCCGAAGGUUACUGAAGUUUACUAUCAAGAGUUUCAAAACAGUGAAAAAGAUGAUAUAGUUGAUGACAAAAACCUGAGUUAUCCAUAGCGACAAGUAACAUACUGUUUAUUACAGAGAAACAAACGACAACAUGAUACUAGUAGUAGUUAUUCUUUUCAUCCGAUAUAUUACAUGGUAAUAUCACUACUCGUUCCACUAGUUUCAUGUACACUGUCGACCAGCAACAUGAUAAUUUCGUGCCAGUUCAUUUUGGUUUGUUGGAAAAAGCAGUGUAUUUCUUAGAACUUGAAAAUAAUAAAAAUAUUUUAAAAUAUAAAUUGCAUAUUUGUUUAUUACCAUUCUUUGGUCUAUUUCUUCUGUAGACUUUUCAGAAUCUGUAGGACGUUAGUUUAUAACUUUGGGAUUUUGUAGCCCUAAUUUUUUUUUUUGGCAUUUUAUUUUGCUGCUUUAUCUAUGUGCAUGUUAACUAAAUUAAGCUAAUCUAGAAUUAAUAGAGAGGGAUAUUUAUCUAUUUUGUUUAACCUUUACCACUCUAGGCAUUGUACUACAUGUGAGCUUGUGAUGCUUGCAUUUUAUUGAUGUUGAUGAUUCGUUGAAUGUUUUAUUUUUUGAUUUUUUAAGUUUUCCAGAGUCAUGUUUGUGUCUACGAAGAAAUUGUAAAGGCUGUGCACGAAGCACUUGUCAUUCUUUAGACUUUAUUGAUUAUAUUUUUGUCAGAUUUGCGUGUAUAUUCACAUAUGUUUUAUUUUUUCAUUUUGUAGGACAUUUUUACAUGCCAUAUUAUCACGACUCUUCUGUGUCUGAAUAAGAAGAAAGCAUAAUGCGACCCUCCAACAGCUUAAUCUAUGGAAUUAUCGUGUUUUGUAAGUUCUGGUCCAAUGGCGUUUUGGCACAUCAUAUGAUAGACCACUAUAUUGCGUUGCUUUACAAAAGAUUAAUAUUUUUAAAAUUAUUAACUCAUGAUAUGAUAGUCCAGGUUUUCGAGGACCACUAUAUUGUAUGGAUUUAAAAAAAAUUAAUAUUUUUUAAUAUUAAUAUUCUAAAUUAUAUUCAGUUAAAAUAUUAAAUAUUAAAUACAUUCUUAACAUUAAUAUUCUUAGAUGAAAUUCUUUUGCUGACUUAAGAAUAAAGUAUUAAAUAAUUUUAUUUUUCUUUUAUUUUGUAACGUGGACCCAAAAAAAAAAGGAAAUGAAUUUAAUAAAACCUUCAUUCCGCCAACAUGCAUGUUAAUUGUUUCCAAAUUCCAACCUCCGUACUCUCUUGAGGAGUUUCCCAUUCAUCAAUUAUUAUUUUUUAUAAUCCAUACCAUCCUGAUAUAAUUAAACACCAUUAAUAAUGUACCAGCCUUUAAAUAGUAAUUAAUUUAUUUAUCUAAUUCACCAAAUGUUUUUUUCCGGUACAUAUCUCCAUUGGUAUCAAGAAGAAGCAGAACCCAAAGAAAUGUUUCUUGCAUCUUCAUAUUUGUGCGAAUUCAUCCUUUCAUUGAGAAUAACCAUUUCCAGGCAGCAGUUGGCAAUCAAUUCAUGCGCAUGUCGAUGCUACUCAUAGAUAUUAAAGACAAUGAUGAACCAAAGGUAAUAAAUCAUAAAUGCAUAAUUACCAAACCUCCAUCCUUCUCUCAUUAUGACUUGAUUUUAAAUGAAUUAUUGCUUGGUAACAUUAUUUCCAACCAUUGCAAGAUUUUUUUUUGGAGAAAUUUCAAUUGAAAGUAAAACCUUUAGACAUUUACCUAAUGAAGUUAGUUAAUCGGGAGGGUGGAAAAAAAAAAGUUGACGCAAGUCAAUACACAAUAAUUAAUUAAAUCCGGAGUCACUAAAACAGAGCCACGACUUUUUCAAAAAUAUCUGCAUUCAUCACUUUCUCCAGCAACUAGUCAGCUACACACGAAUCAAUUUCUCUCCUCGUUUGUCAUCCAAAAUUAUUCACCAAUACCAUGGCUGAUGCAAUCGUUUCCCCGCUCUUGGAGCAGCUGAUUUCCUUCGCUGCUGAAGAGAUAAAACAACAGGUGAUCGAAGUUACACCCCUCAUAUUACAAAUACUUCCAAUGAUUUUAAUUGGUUUUGUUUUUAUCAAAAACAUUAUAUAUUUUUGCUUUUUUUUAUUUAUCUGAUAAUUUUAUAUUUUGAAAUUUGAAUUGAAUUUAAUUAAAAGGUGAUGUAGUAACCACUUAUUUUUAUUUUAUUUCAUUUAUAUUCUCAAUAACUACUCAUAUUUUGGUAACUUACUAUAACUUCCAUAUCUAAGAAAUGAUCCAAACCCACAAUUUUAACUAUGUAUAAAUAUUCAACGUUGAGCUAAGGUUUUGCAGAACAUUCAAGUUUAUCAAAUAGUCAUUAAUUUAAUGUUUUAGUAAAACCUCAACUCAUCACUGAAUCCCAUAGCUAUUACUUAGACACUAUGAAAAAUUUCAUAGUUUUCUUACAUUCUUUCAGUUUGGUAAGUGAUUUCAUAUAAUUUCUUUUCAAGUUAAAUUUUAAUUUGGUUUCUGAUAUAGUCUCUUUGCCGAAUUGUAUCUUUUAUGAUUCUUGGAUUUUGGGCUCCAACUUUUUAGGAUUUGAUAGUCACAUUUUAUGCCAUGCUCAGAUUGAUUUUCAUGAUUUUUAGUACCCGUUAAGUGACGUACAAUUUGACAAAAGUUUGAAAGGAAAUAUGUUUCAGAAUUCUGUUUUAAUUGACCUUUUAGUGGAAUUAGGAUGCUUAUAACUUAAUGUGGAUGGUUCGUAAAAUCAUGAAAUUUGGAUAGGAUUCACUAGCAAUAUGUACAAGACUCCCCAUAAAGUUUCAUAAUUUUUCAUUCGGUCUGGGGUGGUACAGGUGAAACUUGUGGUUGGUGUUGAAAAAGAAGUGAAAAGCCUUACCAGCCAUCUUCAAGCCAUUCAAGUUGUGCUCGAUGAUGCAGAGGAAAAGCAAGUGAAGGAAAAAGCUGUUAGUCUUUGGCUGGGUAGGCUCAAGUAUGCAUCCUACGACAUUGAAGAUGUGUUGGAUGAGUGGAUAACAACAAGACGCAAAUUGCAAAUUGAGGGUGGCGUUGAUGAAAAUGCUCUUGUUGUUCCUCAUAAGAAAAAGAAGGUAUGUCUCUGCUUUCCCGGCUCUUGUUUUGGAUUCAAACAAGAAGAAUUUGGUUUCAAACAGGUCUUUCUCCGUCAUGACAUUGCCGACAAGAUCAAAGAAAUCAAUGAAGAGCUACAUGAUAUUGCCGCUCAAAAAGACAUGUUUGAUCUUGUUAAGAGUGGCAAUAAAAGUAGUGAAAGACCAAGGCGUGUACAGAGUACCUCCUUGAUUGAUGAGGAAGAGAUUUGUGGCAGAGUUGGUGAGAGGAAUGAACUCUUAAGCAAGCUGUUGUGUGAGAGUAGCGAGCAACAAAAAGGCCUUCAUAUCAUCUCAAUCGUUGGUAUGGGAGGCAUAGGGAAAACAACUCUUGCACAACUAGCUUGUAAUCAUGACGAGGUGAAGAGAAAGUUCGACAAAAUUCUGUGGGUGUGUGUAUCAGAAACUUUUGAGGAGUUUAGGGUUGCCAAAGCGAUCGUUGAAGUUUUGGAUGGUCGUGAAUCUCAUUUAGCUGAAUUCCAUUCUCUUCUUCAACAUAUUUAUGAAUCCAUUGCAGGGAAGAGCUUUCUUCUUGUCUUAGAUGACGUGUGGGAUGGAAAUUACUUGAAAUGGGAACCAUUCUACCAUUGUCUAAAGAAUGGUCUCCAUGGAAGUAAAAUUUUAGUUACCACACGUAAAGGGUCAGUCGCAUCCAUGAUGGGAUCCAUAGAUAUUAUCUCCGUUAAGGAGUUAGCUGAAGAGGAAUGUUGGUUGUUGUUUAACAAGAUAGCAUUUUUUGAUCGGUCCAUCGAGGAACGUGAAAAAUUAGAACAAAUUGGGCAAAGAAUUGCAGGCAAGUGCAAAGGUUUACCUCUUGCAGCAAAGACAAUAGGGAGUCUCAUGCGUUCUAAACAAACUGAAGAAGAGUGGAAAAGAAUUUUAAAUAGUGAUUUAUGGAAAGUAGAAGAGAUUGAGAAAGAUGUUUUGUCCUCUUUAUUGUUGAGUUAUAAUGAUUUGCCAUCUAGAGUAAAAAGAUGUUUUUCAUAUUGUGCUGUCUUUCCAAAAGACUACAAUAUAGAAAAAGACAAACUAAUCACGUUAUGGAUGGCUCAAGGUUAUCUUAGUGCAGAAGAAGAUGAAGAGAUGGAGACAGUAGGUGAAGAGUAUUUUGGCAUCUUAGCUUCUCGCUCAUUUUUUCAAGAGUUUAAGAAAAGUUAUGAUAAUCGGAUUAUAGAGUGUAAGAUGCAUGAUAUGGUACAUGAUUUUGCCCGAUUUGUAAGUCAAAAUGAAUGUUUUUCGAUGGCAAUUAAUGGUAGUGAAGAACCAAACGCCACAAACUCUCUUGAUGAGAAGGUCCGUCAUUUAAUGUUAAUCUUUAGUAUAGAGGCUUCAUUACCUGUUUCCACUUGUAGAGUUAAAAGAAUUCGUAGCCUCUUAAUUAACGAUAGUAGAUCUGAUCAUUCAUUAUUAAAUGGUGAGAUCCUAGAAGAAUUAUUUAGGGAAUUGACAAGUUUAAGGGCAUUAGAUUUUUGCAAAUCGUAUAACGCAAGCUGGUCUUCGACUCUGGAGAUUCCGAGAAACAUAGAAAAGCUGGUACAUUUAAGAUACCUUAAUUUGUCUUAUCAGGGAAUAAAGAAACUACCGGAGACAUUAUGCGAGUUGUAUAAUCUAGAAAAGUUAGAUAUUAGUUAUUGUUAUAAGCUAGAAGAAGUACCUGAAGGGAUUGGGAAGUUAAUAAACAUGAAGCAUUUACGAAAUAGAGGUACUAGUUCUUUAAGGUACAUGCCGGUAGGGAUUGGGAGAUUAACGGGUCUUAGGACCUUGGGUGAGUUCCACGUGAGUGCAGGAGGAGGUGUUGAUGGUAGGAAAGCAUGUAGGCUUGAAUCUCUUUAAAACUUGGAACACCUUCAAGUAUGUGGUAUAUGUAGACUGGGUGAUGUAUCAGAUGUGGGCGAGGCUAAGCGAUUAGAACUUGACAAAAAGAAAUACCUCUUCAGUUUGACCCUUGAGUUUGAUAAGACGGAAAGAGGAGGAGAAAGGAGGAAGAACGAGGACGAUCAACUUCUUCUUGAAGCCUUGCGACCACCCCUGGAUUUAAAGGAAUUAGAGAUACGGUACUACCGAGGCAACACUGUUUUCCCCAGCUGGAUGGCGUCAUUAACCAACUUAAAGAGUUUACAUCUCCAUAGGUGCGAAAAUUGCGAGCAGCUGCCUCCUUUGGGAAAAUUGCCGUCCCUUGAAAAUCUCUACAUAUGGCGCAUGGAGAGUGUGAAGAGAGUGGGUGAUGAAUUUUUGGGGAUAGAAAGUGAUCAUCAUGACUCAUCGUCAUCUUCAUCAGUUACUAUUGCCUUCCCCAAAUUGAAAUCACUCACAAUUUAUUCGAUGCUGGAAUUGGAGGAGUGGGAUUAUGAGAUUACAAGAACAGGAAACACCGUCAUCAACAUCAUGCCACGUCUUUCUUCCUUGACAAUUGUUGAUUGCACCAAAUUAAAGGCACUGCCCGACCACAUUCAUCAAACGACAACGUUGAAGGAAUUGAGCAUUUUUAUGUGUUGGCUUCUGAACAAACGUUACCGCAAGGGGAAAGGAGAAGACUGGCCUAAAAUAUCACACAUUCCCAACCUCCAUAUUGGGCUUUGACAAGUAAUUUCUUCUCUCACUCUGAUUUGCUUUGUUGUUGUUUUUGUUGAAAAGUUAAAAAGUUUGGUUGGAAAAGAAAAGUGAGCCACAUGCAUUGCUUUUGUUUUUCAAAGUCGGCACCAAAUUGCAAACUGUAUUUGGCAUUUGACAAUCCUGCACCAAAUGAAGAAAAAUGCAAAAGUUAGCAAAAUUUGUCAAAUUGACAGAGAUGGAGAUUGAUAAAUUGCAGAGGGAUUAGGUGGAAUAGUGCAUGCUUGAAGCCUAUAAAUUGAAGCCAUUUCUUCAUUCUAAAUAAUCCCAAAAUUGUUAAACUUAUAAGUUUCUAAGCUUUUGAGAGAAGUGAGAGAAGUGUGUCUGUGGAAUUUAUUUUUCCUGCAGAGUGUGAGAGUACUUGGUAUAUUUGGGUUUCUGGGAAGUGAGAUUCGUUACUCAAAUAUUGUAUUCUAUUAAUUGUUAAAUAAACAAUUAUUCUUUCUUACCUCCGUGGAUGUAGGUUUAAUUACCGAACCACGUAAAAUCUUGUGUCCUUUAUUUUUCAGUAAUUAUUUGGUGCGCUUGAUUCCGCAUUCCGCGCACAACAGUUUUUAAUCUAAUUAAGAAGCGAAAAUAGCAUUUUGAAUCAAACUCUAUAUCAGAAAUCUGCAAUACUUACUUUCUAAUAUUCUGAUUUUCAUAUCCUAUGAAUAUACGAUUUUUAAUUUGUGAGAUGGGUAACGUUACUGUAAAAGAUUAUUAAUGCAAUAUGAGUAAUUCUUUUGCAGGACAAGUGACCUACAUUUAGUUUGGCUUUGGAGUUGAAUAAUAACCUUUCGAGGUCCCGACAACCAAAAAACAAAGCUUAAUUUGCCACAGAUUGAACGUAUUGCCAUUAUUGACAAUUUUCUGCACAAGUGUGACUGAACUUAGGUUGAUGUCAAAAGAGGUAAAUUAUUGGCAUGCCUCACUAUUUUGACCAUUACAUGAUUCAUAAGUUUACAUUAAUUUUGAUUUUGAGUUGAGUGAUUAGUUUUCUAGGUUUGCUUACUUUAACUGGGUGACCAAUUUCUUGUAACUAAAUGUAUGAUGUGAUGCAGGAAGCAGGGCAGGAUAUGAAAAGAGAAGCUUAUUAGAGGAAGGAUUGCCAGUAACAGAAUCCAAAGAAAAAGAAACCAUUUCGAGGCAGCUGUUGGCAGUUGGCAGUGAAUGGAGCCCCUUGAAAAAAUUCCCAAGCCGUUGCACUGCAAUUACGAUCAUCCUCGGCCUCAGGUAAUUUCUUCUCCUGCAUUUUUGUUAUUUGCUAUCAAGUGACUAUUUUAAGUAUGAUUGCAUUAAGCUGCUGCUGGGAAAUUUGAGGUUUUGAUGACUGCCCAUGCUAUUGUCAGAAGCUGCGGUUCUUUUCAUCAGCCUGAACCUGGACCUGCCGCUAUGGAUAACUCAGGUUUUUUUUUUUUUUUAAUCAACUGCCAUCUUUUCCACUGUUUAGAAACUCUUAAGAUUAAACUUUAGUAAAGUUGUUUUAGUUAUCCAUGUAAUCAGGCUGAGGAUACUUAGCUGCCUAUUUAAGCAAAUGUCAGAAUUUAGUUUGUUCGCUGGGAACUGGUGUGGACUGGCAAAGGAUGAUGAGAUAGUUUUUUGAGUGAGUAAAUUUUGGGAGCUUGAGUGUAUUGGGAUUUGCAAUUACAAUCAUCGUCUGCCUCAGGUGAUUUCUUCUCCUGCUCUAUCAUUGUUUGUUCUCUAAUUCAAAAGCAUAAAAUAUUUCAAUCAAUUUUUAUGCCAGGAAUAUGCAAAAGUUUCUAAUAUUUUAUUUCCAUCUGUUACAAGAUCAAACUGAAGUAGAACUCAAACAAAAGUAUGCUACUUCUUGCGGAAAUCUUGCCUUUGUUCAGAUUAUGAAACCAUUUCCAUGCAGCAAAUUCAUCCAAAAGUUUGAAUAAGUUUCAUGGUUGGACACUGUUGGCUUCUUUUUCUUCUGGGGUGCAUUUAGGUGCUAUCAAGUGACAGCUGUAAGUAUGAUUGCACUAAGCUGCCGCUGGGAAAUUUGAGGUUUUGAUGGCUGCCCAUGUUAUUUUCAAGAAACUAUUGAUGUAAGAAGCUGUGGUUCUUUUCAUCAGCUUGAACCUGAAACUGUCGCUAUGGAUAACUCAGGUUUUUGUUAUCAACUAUAUCAUCUUUUUCACUAUUUUGAAACUCUUAAGAUUAAACUUUAGUAAAGUUGUUUCAGCUAUUCAAAUGAAAAACUCAUUGAUUUGAGACUUCCUUCAUUAUUGUUUCUAAUUACAAUGCUAACGAUCUAGAUAAAAUAAUAUUUAAUCGGCGCAGGUGUCCCUUGGAAGUACAUCCAACUUUUUCUUUUAUUAUAUAAAUUCUUGCAAUGAGCUUAGUGAAGCUGUUGUGCUAAUCAUGCCACUGCAUAAUUUGGCCCCUAAUGUGGGUACUCUGUUACAUUGUUCUGCAAAUUCUCCAGAAGUUAAAAUCAAUAAAUUUUCUAUUAGCUCUAGUGCUUUGACCUAAAUGCUAUUCUAUAUUUUGAUUACAAUGUUUUAACCUUUAAAUUAACUACCCCUAGAUGUUGGAUUUUCUAGAACUUCAAAAUGAUUAAUGGAGAAAGAUCCCAUUAUCGUUAUUGCUAUAAGAAAUUGAUUUAUGCAUCCAAAGAUACAUUAUAUAUUUCUGUGUCUCUAUUUGUAGAUGACAUUUAAGCAUCCAUAAACCGUCAGACAGAGGAAGGGUGAUGGGUGUCGAAGCCAACAAAAAUAAAUUCCUACUCUAAAUAAAUUGUGUAUAGUGAUUGAGCAGGGUCGUGUCCACAGAGAUCGGUAAUUAAUUAAAUCCUUUUGAAACGUAAAACAUAAAAUGGGGGAAUUGUUGACAAUAAUAAAAAUCAAAUUAAAAUAACAAGAAUGCAAAUUAAAGUUGUAAUUCAAAUUAGAGAAAGCUCUGGUUGAAGGAAUUAACUCAGCUUGAUUCGACUACUGAUCAUUGAUUCAAAUAUAGAUUAUUAUUACUCAUGAAUAGACCGGUUAUAGCUACUGAGACCCUCUAAUAGCCAAUCUCUCCUUAACUAGUCGAUAACCAAGGUACGACCAUUGGUUAUUUCCCUAAUCAAUAGACAACCCUAGAUACGAUCAUAGAAUUUAAUCAAUUGACAGCCUGAAAAACCAGAGAGACCCAAAUCCUAAUCAACACAUAUGAUGAUUCAUUUAAAUUAGAUUGUUUAUUCUCACAACACAACUCUCUGCUAUGUUAUUUGUCACAAACAUUAAAUUCUUCAUACGAUGAAUCCUUUAAUUGACAAUAGAUUAAGUUGAUAAUUAAAUAGUGGCCAAUUACCUAAUUAACAAACAUAAUCAUGAAAAUAAUUCAGAGAAUAAACAAAUACCCAAAAAGUAAUAAAACAAUUAAAGCACAAGAAAGAUCUCACAGUAGUGAUGAAUCAAAGCUUCAUUAACCUUCAACCAGAAAAAUAGGUUUAGCUCUUCAUAGAGAGAAGAGAAAAAUUAGAUCUAGGGUUUCUUUCUUUUUCUCCAAUCCAAAAAUCCCCCUUUUUCACAAUAGAUUCCUCCCUUAAAUACUUUCUCUCUCUUCUCUUUUAGAAUUCUAUUUAAAAUAAAAUCCUAAUAUCUGAAAUAUUAAAUUCGUAAUUACAAAAAUAACCAAAAAUACAAAACACGUUAAACUAAAAACUGCAGGUCCGCAGUUGACAGCACGCGCCCACGCCUUAUCAACAAAGUUCUUCUGACGCUCAUAAUUUCUCCAAGAGAACAAUCAUCCUUAAACAUCAUCUUAUAGCUCAAUUUUAUCAUCAAUCAAUAGAAUUGCACCUACAAAAGUAAAACACAAGUAAAUCACUAUUAUUAAGUGCAAAACAUUGAUAUUAAGGGAAGUAAAUAAUGCAAAACUAGUGCAUAAAUUGCACUCUAACAAAGGGGGUUCAGUGCAAAGAUUCUGUUGACCUAGGGUUGACUGCAUAAUGUCACUUGUUCGCAAUCUAUUAUUUAUUUUAUAUUUUGAAGAAUUUAAUGGGUAAUCCUAAUUGUUUGUUUUGGCAGGUAUGUGUUGUUAUCUCCUUCUAUCUAACAGUCGUACCUAAAUAGCAUAGUUUCAUCUGUGUUACCAUGUGAUGUACAUAAUUUCACAUUUGCCUCAGAUUAAGCUUAAUUUCCCACAAAAUAGAGCUGUCGCGACUGGACUUAGGUUGAUGUCCAAAGAGGUAAAUUAUUGGCAUGCCUAGAUAAUUUGGCCAUUUCCUAAUUCAUAAGUCUACAUUAUUUUUGAUUUUGAGUUGACUGAUUUCUUUUCAAGGUCUGCUUCCUUAACGGAGUGACCAAUGUUUUUCAACUAAAUUUAUCAUAUGAUGCAGGAAGCAGGGCAGGAUAUGAAAUGAGAUCUCAUUGGUGGAAGUAUUGCCAGUAGCAGAACCCAAUGAAAAUGAAACUAUUUCAAGGCAGCAGUUGGCAGUUGCAAGUAAAUGGAGGCCCUUGACAAAAUUCUCAAGCGGUUGCAAUGCAAUUACGAUCAUCCUCAGCCUCAGGUAAUUUCUUCUCCUGCUUUGUAUUUAUUUGUUAUCUAAUUAGGAAGCGUAAAGUAUCUUGAAUCAUUUUCUGUAUCUGGAAUAUAUGCAAGAGUUUCUAAAAUUUUGAUAUGAGUGUAAUGAUGGUAAUUUCUGUUUUCUGUCUGUCAUCAAAUGUUAGAAAACUUUCAUUGAGACCCUUGAACCGAGUCAUUUUUGACAAGUGAAGGACAAUUGCUGAAGAGUGGGAAUGGUGCUAGAUUGGGGAAUAAAGACAAAGGAGGUAAAUUAUUUGCAGUUUAUUCAGCAUUAUUUGCUUUGGACCACCGCCUGAUUCACAAGUCUCCAUAAUUUGGCUUUUGAGCAGUUGUUAAUAAAUUUUUAAUUCCAUUGGUGCUAAAUGUGCACGUGAAGCAGGCAGAGCAGGACUGUGGAAAUGAGAAGGUUUUUAGUGAAAGCUUAAACUCAGGUAAUUCUAAAAAGUACAUGUUUUUGCUGAUUUAUCUAAAUCAGGAAGUUUUAUUUCCAUCUGUUACAAGAUAAAACAGAAACAGAACACAAAGAAAAAUAUUCUACUUCUUCUGGCAAUCUUGCCUUCAUUCAGACAAUGAAACCAUUUCCUUUCACCAAUUUCUUCCAAAAGUUUGAAUAAGUUUCAUGGUUGGACAUAGUUAGCUUCUUUUUCUUUUGGUGCAUUUAGGUCCUAUCAAGUGACAGCCAUAAGUAUGAUUGCAUUAUUGGGAAAUUUUAGGUUUGGAUGGCUCCCCAUGUUAUUGCCAAGAAAGUCCUCAUGUCAGAAGCUGCGGUUCUUUUCAUCAGCCUGAACCCGAACCUGUCGUUAUGGAUAACUCAGGUUUUUGUCAUCAACUAUAUCAUCUUUUUUACUGUUUUGAAACUCUUAAGAUUAAACUUCAGUAAAGUUGUUUCAGUUAUCCAUGUAAGCAGGCUAAGGAUAUUUAGCAGCUUAUUUAGGCAACUGCCAGAAUUGAGUUUGUUUGCUCGAAACUUGUAUGGUGACAAGGAUACUGGCAAGGAUAGUGAGAUAGUUUUUUGUGUGAGUGAAAUUUGAAAGCUUGGGUGUUCUGGGAUUUGCAAUUGCAAUCAUCCUCUGAGUCAGGUGAUUUCUUCUCCUGCUCUGUCUUGAUUUUCUCUCUAAUUGAAAGCAUAAAGUAUUUCAAUCAAAUUCUGUACCAGGAAUACGUAAAAGUUACUAAUAUUUUAUUUCCAUCUGUUCGCAUUGAUAACUCGGCGGCAUAUGUGUUGUGCGCGGAAUGCGGAAUCAAGCGCGCCAAAUAAUUAUAGAAAAAUAAAGGACACAAGAAUUACGUGGUUCGGUAAUUAAACCUACAUCCACGGAGGCAAGAAAGAAUAAUUGUUUAUUUAACAACUAAUAGAGUACAAUAUUUGAGUAACGAAUCUCACUUCCCAGAAACCCAAAUAUACCAAGUACUCUCACACUCUGCAGGAAAUAUAAAUUCCCCAGACACACUUCUCUCACUUCUCUCAAAAGCUUAGAAACUUAUAAGCUUAACAAUUUUGGGAUUAUUUCAAAUGAACAAUUUCCCUUCUAUAUAUAGGAACCGUAGCUCACCUACCACUUCCAAUUUGGCUACAACUUGCCGAAUUGAUAAAUUGAAUUUAGAAUGGAAAAUCAAUUUGGUGAGCAACAAAAUCAACAAGUUUGAAAAAUCAAUUGGCUUCUAGAAAAACAUCACAUUUUUCCUCCAUACAAUUUCAACAAAAUCGUCCCACCAACCAUGUCUUUUGAAAUUUGCAUGCCAUUCUUUGACUUGUUGUGCGCGGAAUGCGGAAUCAAGCUCACCAAAAAUUACUGCAAAAAUAAAGGACACAAGAAUUUACGUGGUUCGGUAAUUAAACCUACAUCCACGGAGGCAAGAAAGAAUAAUUGUUUAUUUAACAAUUAAUAGAAUACAAUAUUUGAGUAACGAAUCUCACUUCCCAGAAACCCAAAUAUACCCAGUACUCUCACACUCUGCAGGAAAGAUAAAUUCCCCAGACACACUUCUCUCACUUCUCUCAAAAGCUUAGAAACUUAUAAGCUUAACAAUUUUGCGAUUAUUUCAAAUGAACAAUUUCCCUUCUAUAUAUAGGAACCGUAGCUCACCUACCACUUCCAAUUUGGCUACAACUUGCCGAAUUGAUAAAUUGAAUUUAGAAUGGAAAAUCAAUUUGGUGAGCAACAAAAUCAACAAGUUUGAAAAAUCAAUUGGCUUCUAGAAAAACAUCACAUUUUUCCUCCAUACAAUUUCAACAAAAUCGUCCCACCAACCAUGUCUUUUGAAAUUUGCAUGCCAUUCUUUGACUUUUCAACAAUUCUCCACCUCGGCGAAAAUUUUCCAAAUCUGAGCCGACUACCAACUAACCAUCCCCAAAGUGAUCCUUCAAUAAGGAUCCAGAAUGGCUGUGUCGAUUCGACUGCCUACGUACCCAAACUGUCUUGAUUUUCUCUCUAAUUGAAAGCAUAAAGUAUUUCAAUCAAAUUCUGUACCAGGAAUACGUAAAAGUUACUAAUAUUUUAUUUCCAUCUGUUCGCAUUGAUAACUCGGCGGCAUAUGUGUUGUGCGCGGAAUGCGGAAUCAAGCGCGCCAAAUAAUUAUAGAAAAAUAAAGGACACAAGAAUUACGUGGUUCGGGAAGCAGUUGGCAGCAAAUUCAUAUGGAGUGUAGACAAUGAUGAGCAAAAAGGUGAUUCUCAAUUUCUUUUUUUUUUAAAGUGAAAUUAUUUGUUAGAUUGAAGCUGAUAUUGUAAGAAGGCCAUUGAGCUAACCUAUGUCGCCACUUGCCUAGAUUGCAGGGGGUCAAGACUCAAAAGAAGCACUGAAAUUUAAAAAGCAUGCAAUAGUUCUUUUGCCAUGUAUCAAUUAAUGCAAGUUUGAAUAAAAUUAACAUAUAUCAAGACACAACUAGAAACAUCAUACUUUCGUGUAAGUUCAUUUCAGAAUAUUUCUUAGAGUUUGUAUAAAAUGAAAAGAUUUUAAAAUAUAAAUUUAAUAUUUGUUUAUUACCGUUGUUUGGUCUAAUUUCCUCGGGAGAAUUUUCAGAAUUUAUAGGACAUUAGUUUAUAAUUUUGAAAUUUUGUAACCUAAAUGUUUUUUUUUUUCGGUUACCAUUUUGUUUUCCUGCUUUAUCUACGUGUAUGUUGACUAAAACUAAUCUAUUUUGUUAAACCUUUACCACUUUAGACAUUGCACUAAAUAUGAGUUCGUGAUGCUUGCAUUUUAUUGAUGCUGAUGAUUCGUUGAAUGUUUUAUGUUUUUGAUUUUUAAGUAUUCCGGAUCGAAGUUUGUGUCUACGCGGAAAUUGUAAAGGCAGCAUAUAAAGUACUCGUCGUUCUUUAGAUUUUAUUGAGUACACUUUUUUCACAUUUAGCGUAUGCUAUACACUACUGAUUUGCGCAUUGACAUAUAACUUAUUUUAUCAUUUUGAAUGAAUUGCACGGCGAGGCUUAUCAACUUUGGAUGAAUCCUCCAAUUGUCACAGUCCAAGACUGGCUGCAGUGAGUGAAAAUUUACCCAUAUAUAUGCUGGCUAUUUUUAUUGGCGACGAAUUCGUUGUAGUUGGUCCAUCUUGCUAUUCUCGGACAAUAUUAGAGAAAAUAAUCAUAUUAUUUCGCGUGAUGUGACCUUCCAUAACUUAUCAAUUGAAUUACUGUAAAAUUAUUGUGUAAGUUUAGGCCCAAUGGCACUUUAGUUCAUCACAUGAUAGCCUGGAUUUAAAUGGAAAACUAUAUUGCAUUGCUUCAAAAAAAUAAAUUAAUGUUUUUAAUAUGAAUAUUUUUAACUAUAUUCAGUUAAAAUAAUAUAUUCUUAAUAUUAAUAUUCAUAGAUGAAAUUCUUUUGCGGAUUUAAGAAUAAAAUAUCAAAUAGUUUUAUUUUUCUUUUGUUGUGUAACUUGGACCGAAAAAGAAAAUGAGCUUAACAUGACCCUCCUUCCGGCACUAUGCAUGUUUUUCUUGUAUUGAUGACAGUGCUCUUGGUGCUUCUCAUCUGCUUCUUGCUUUGGUUUCAAACAAGUCUUUCUCCGUCAAGACAUUUAUUGUAAUUUCAUUUGGAGACAUCUGUCGUUCAAAUAUAUUUCAUAUUCAAGCUGUUGAUAAUUCUGCUUGAGAAAGCCUACAAAGCAGCUGUGUGAUGUAAUGGAAGACUAUAUAUGCAAGCGGUCAUCAGUUUCUCUUGAAUUCUUUCUUGAGUUUCUUUGAAUUAUUUGUGAAUGAGUUCUUAAUCGGCUGCUGCUCUUCAGGAAAAGGAAAGUUUUGCAAACUGGUGAAGCUGAUCGAUAAAAGCAAUGUACCAUCUUUGCUGGCAUGGAUCGAUGCCAGUGAGUAGCUCAUUGGUGGAAGUAUUGCCAGUAACAGAACCCAAAGCAAAUGAAACUAUUUCAAGGCAGCAGUUGGCGCUUGCAAGUGAAUGGAGGCCAUUGACAAAAUUCUCAAGUGGUUGCGAUGCAAUUACGAUCAUCCUCAGCCUCAUGUAAAUUCUUCUCCUGCUUUGUUUUUAUUUGUUAUCUAAUUAAGAAGCACAAAGUAUCUUCAAUCAUUUUCUGUAUCUGGAAUAUAUGCAACAGUUUCUAAAAUUUUGAAACGAGUGUAAGGAUGGUAAUUUCUGUUUUCUGCCUGUCAUCCAAUGUUAGACAACUUUCAUUGAGACUCUUGAACAGAGUCAUCUUUGCUGGCAUGGAUCGAUGCCAGUGAGUUUUUUUAUUUGUCAACCUUUUUAAUAAUGCAUAUGUGUUUCUUCAACUUGAAGCGGCAUAUAAGACGAAAGAAGUGAUCUUUAUCCAAUUGCUCCAAAUUAUUUGCAAAUUACUGAACACGAAUGCUGAUGAAUAAACUGAUGGCUCUAUGUAUGUAUGCACAUGCAUGGAGAAAUUUUAAGUCAGACAUUGACUCGUGGUACCAAAUCAUUAAAUAAUCUUGAAAUCAAAGUAAUAAUUAAAUACAAAUAAAUUGCUCGAAUUGUACAUAUAUCUGAAUCAUGUAGUGAAGAAAAUACAACAACAACAGCCAAUGGCUCAAAUUCCCUAUCAACUUCUAGUCUCAACACUUUUGAGUGUCAGAAGCAUUACUCUGCUACUAGUUAACAAACAUAUAAUUAGUAAUUUGCCAUUCACUUCCCUUUUAGGCCUAACACAUUUUCUAUAAAAGAGCCACAGAGUGAACUCAGCAGGAAACACUCAAUUUCAACCUACGUAGGACCAGGAAUUUCAACCAAAAAAAAAGUGUGCAAUUGCUUAUCCUAUCCUAUUGCUACUAGAAAGAAAGUGAACAAUUAAUUUCAGUGAAUAAAUUAAAAAAAAAAUUACUUCUGCAGAUACUCAAGCUAAGAACACAUUAACCCAUUAAAGACUCCAAAUUGCAUCAAACAAAUUGUUGUUAAACAAGUAAAACAAAGAAAGAGAGUUAAGGAAGCUGACCAAGUAGUAGGGGAGCUGAAGAAAGACUGCCAGUGAAUGUAAGAGAAAAUAAAAUGCAAGAAAUGGUGAAGUGCAGCUUUUCAUGUCAACUUGAAAUUGAGUUUUCUGUUUUUUUUUUUUUUUUUAAUCUUUUGGAUUUUUCAAACAAAGAAAAUGAGGAGCAACCAGGGAGAUAAAAAGGGCGCCAAGGCAACUGUGUGUUGGGUUUAGAGCCAAAAAAAAAAAGAAUAAGACAUCGUGUUCUUGUGGAGACCAGACCUAUUACGUAACGUCCCCUUCAAUACCACUAGUUCCGUAUCUGGUUUUUUCUUCGUCUUUUACAUAGUUUGCAAUUUUAUUCAUUUGAGCCCUACAGAUGAUAUAAGGGACAAGAGCGCAAAACAGAAACUCUGUCCACUACUGAUGAUAUAACAACGAACCGGGGUUUUUAAUUAAAUACCCUUUAAUAGUUUCAAAAUUAUUUAAAUACCUCCUCCCUUUUUAGUUUUCAUGGAUACCCUAACAAAAUUAUUUAAAAAUGGUUCAAUUUUAUUCUACUCUCAGGAAUUAAGUGUUGGAUAGACUAGAAAAUUCUGAGUACAAAGCAUCGCUUGUUUUCGUUGGUUUUUUUUUUGCAUUCCAGUAGAAAGGUUGUGUACAAUUGAAUCUGAUAACUAUGGCAGGAGGUAAGUUUUCUAACUUGCGCAUGAUGAAUAUAGUCUUUUAUUUCUUCCAUUGUAAUUUUUGUUUAAUAGAAAAUCUAUUUGAGAUUUUGUGAGAAGAAACUCAACAAUAAAGUUUGAUAGACUUUGUGGAUAUUAAGAGUUUGACAAGUAAUUGAAAUCUGAAGUUUACUGAAGUUUACGAGCAAACAAACUGAAAUCCGAAGUUUACUGAAGUUUACUAUCAAGAGUUUCAAAACAGUGAAAAAGAUGAUAUGGUUGAUGACAAAAACCUGAGUUAUCCAUAGCGACAAGUAACAUACUGAAGUAAGCCGUGGGGAGCUGGCCUGUUCAUGGGCUAUUUUUCUCUGAUGAUCUGCAUUUUUCUUCCUUUUAAGUGAACCUUGACUCGUAUCAAACCUGUCAAAAGAACAGUUCAUCAACUGAGCUGAGAUUUGCUUUCCUUUUUCAAAACCCACCUGAGAUAUUGUAAUUCCCAAAUUUCUCUCUCUCAGCUACACGAGCAAGCAGCCGCUUUUUCACUUCAUCGACGAAGGUAAGCGAUAAUAUCUAUUUCGUCCGAUUGAUUUCUUGUUUCCUUUUCAGUGUUCGGGUAAAUUAUUGGCAUGCCUGACUUUUUGACCAUUACAUGAUUCAUAAAUUUAUAUUAAUUUUGAUUUUGAGUUGACCGGUUACUUUUAUUGGUUUGCUUACUUUGACUAGGUGACCGAUUUCUUGUAACUAAAUUUAUGACGUGAUGCAGGAAGCUGGGCAGGAUAUGAAAUGAGAAUCUUAUUAGUGGAAGGAUUGCCAGUAACAGAACCCAAAGAAAAUGAAACCAUUUCAAGGCAGCAGUUGGCAGUUGGGAGUGAAUGGAGGCCCCUGACAAAACUUCAGUAAACUUCAGAUUUCAGUUUGUUUGCUCGAAACUUGCAUGGUGACAAGGAUACUGGCAAGGAUAAUGAGAUAGUUUUUGUGUGAAUGAAAUUACGAUCAUCCUCAGACUCAGGUAAUUUCUUCUCCUGCUUAGUUGUUAUUUGUUACCUAAUUAAGAAGCAUAAAGUAUCUUGAAUCAUUUUCGUUGUCUGGAAUAUAUGCAACAGUUUUUAAAAUUUUGAUAUCAGUGUAAUGAUUGUAAUUUCUGUUUUCUGUCUGUCAUCGAAUGUAAGACAACUUUAUUAAGAUUCUUGAACCGAGUCAUUUUUGACAAUUGAAGAACAAGUGCUGAAGAGUGGGAAUGCAAAAAGUUUUGUUGUUUUUAGCCUUGUUUUCUUUGAACCAGCGCCUGAUUCACAAGAGUUCAUUAAUUUGGCUUUUGAUCAGCUGAUUGAUAAAUGUUCAAUUUCUUUGGUGAUAAAUGUAUAUGUGAAGCAGGCAGCAGGGCAUGACUGUGGAAAAGAGAAGAUUUUAGUGAAAGCUGAGACUCAGAUAAUUCUACGCGUUUUGGCUGAUUUAUAUAAUUCGUGAAAUUUUAUUUCCAUCUGUUACAAGAUCAAACUGCAAUUAGCAAUUUAACAUUCCCUUAAAACCACUAGCUACAUUUCAUCUUUGCACAAUUACACUUAAAAUUCCACUAAAAGAAACUCUUGAGUUGCUCGCAAGCUAUAUGUCAUUAUCCAUUGAAUUCUUACCACAUACAUCUCACCUUUCAAUCAAUCACAUAAUAAUCAAUAUACAUAUUGUAAGAAUUCAACAAAUGGAGAACAUAAUAUACUAUAAAAGCAUCCAAAAUUUUUCCAUCUCAAAUUAUUACUAAACUUCUUGAACAAGUUGAAGAUUGGGGGGAAAAAGUGCAAGAAGGAAAAGCAUUAUUCUACUAGUUUCUAGGUUUCUCAUUUGAACAGAAAGAUUAAAUAAGAUAUUUGUGUAUGGCUGUAGUACUACACGGUAUCUGCUAGAAAGCAAAAUACCUUCUGCUGAUUGCACAUUGGAAUGGGAAUAAGUUGGUAAAUAUAUAAGUUACAUAAAUUAUUUUGGAUAAUUCUGCUGGUGAAUUAAUUAUCUUAAAAUCACCCUUUUAUUUUUUAAAAAAUCUUAAGUUAUUUUUCAUAUAUCUUAGGAAGACAAACAAACUUUCAUCAACUCUCCUUUUUUAGCUUUUCCCUUCAAUAAUGUUAGAAAUUCUAACAUUUGAGUCCUGCUUGAGCUUAAUACUAUUUAUCACUCAUUUAUUAGAUGAUGAAUUUUUUAAAUUAUAAAGUUAUUUGACUACCAUUCAAUGAAUGAAUGUCACAUCAUUUAAAACUCAAAGAAAAGUAUUCUACUUCUUGCGGCAAUCAUGCCUUCAUUCAGACUAUGAACCAUUUCCUUUCACCAAAUUCUUCAUAAACAUUGAAUAAGUUUCAUGGUUGGACAUAGUUAGCUUCUGUUUCUUUUGGUGCAUUUAGGUGCUAUCAAGUGACGGCCGUAAGUAUGAUUGCAUUAUUGGGAAUUUUACGAUUUGAUGGUUCCCCACGUUAUUGCCAAGAAAGUUCUCAUGUCGGAAGCAGCGGUUCUUUUCAUCAGCCUGAACCCGAACCUGUCGCUAUGGAUAACUCAGGUUUUUGUCAUCAACUAUAUCAUCUUUUUCACUGUUUUGAAACUCUUAAUAUUAAACUUACAGUAAACUUCAGAUUUCAGUUUGUUUGCUCGAAACUUGUAUGGUGACAAGGAUACUGGCAAGGAUAAUAAGGUAGUUUUUUGUGUGAGUGGAUUUUGAGAGCUUGUGUGUAUAGGGAUUUGCAAUUACAAUCAUCCUCUGCCUCAGGUGAUUUCUUCUCCUGCUCUGUCUUUAUUUGCUCUCUAAUUGAAAAGCAUAAAGUAUUUCAAUCAAAUUCUGUACCAGGAAUAUGUAAAAGUUCCUAAUAUUUUAUUUUCAUUUGUUUGCAUUGAUAACUUGACGGCAUAUGUACUAGUUAAAGAACAAACAGAAUCAGAGCUCAAGAAAAAGUUUUUUCUGCCAUCAUAUUUGAAAAUGAAGUCAUUUGCAGGAAGCGGUUGGCAGCAAAUUCAUACAAAGUGUAGACAAUGAUGAGCAAAAAAGGUGAUUCACAGUUUGAUUUUUUUUUAAUAAUGAAAAUAAUUUGGUAGGUUGAAGCUGAUAUUGUAAGAGGGCCAUUGAGCUAACCUAUGUCGCUACUUGCCAAGAUUGCAGGGCGUUAAGACUCAAAAGAAGCACUGAAUUUUAAAAGGCAUGCAAUAGUUCUUGUGCCAUAUGUCAAUUCAUGCAAGUUGGAAUAAGUUUAUUGGUUUGAACGCUGUUAGCUCCUUUUCCUUUCGUGCAUUUUGGUAUGCUAUCAAGUGACAGCCGUAUGUAUGGUUUGCAUAUAGCUGCUGCUGGGAAAUGUGAGGAUUUCAUGGCUGGCCGUGUUAUUGUUUUAAAUUAGAUGUGAUAAGCUGUUGCUUGGAGAUUCUGUUGCCAAGACUUUGCUCACAUCAGAAGCUGUGGAACCUCAACCCUUCUCUAGAUAUCAUCUUUUUCAUUGUUUUAAAACUCUCAGGAUUAAACUUGAGUAAAUUUGUUCGGUUGUCUAUAUAAUCAUGUAUUGAGUAAACUCUCAGGAUACCGAGCAGGCAAAUGCCAUAACUCGGUUUGUUCUUCAAAAACUUGUUUAAGAUUCUUGACAAAGCUGCAUGAAGUGAAUCUUGGGAGCUUUGAGGGUGAGAGAAAUUAGAGGGUGUAUAGGGAUUUGGGUUUAUUAGUAAGUUAUAUAUGUAUUUCGUCACUUAUCAUUAUCAUUUUUAUUUUCACAGAAAACCUUCUGAUGGUGCUAAAUUUUCAAACACCGGUCCGAUUCAAAACUUCAUAUUCCAAUUAUAUUCAUAAGACAAAUGGAACACUUUGAACGGCUAGUGUCCGAGCAUUGUAGUUUGAUUUAUUUUGAUGAAAGUACCUUUUGACAUUGAGAUUCUUUCAUGAUUUAAACAUUCUUUUUUAAACCAAAUUAUUAAAAAAAGUAACUAACAUAUAUUAUUUUAUUAGUGCUUUUUAAAUCAAAUAUACAUAGGAGAACUGUAAUUCUUAGCAAUCAAUUUUUCACUAAAUACACCUGCAAUAAACUAUUAAUAACAAAGUGAUAGAAAAUACCUGAUUUUUCAUACUUUCUAAUUUCUUGUGGUCCUAAAAUAUGGGCAUUUGUGUAAUAAUUAGCCCAUGUGGAUCUCUAUGCCAUGAGUUUGAUAAAUAGCUAUCAAGGAUCACUUAUUAAGCUGAAAAUAUUUGGAGGACAAAAUUGUAAAACUAAAAGGGUAGAGCAAAUAUGGCUAUCUAGGAUUAAAUAGUAAGUCAACUAUAUUUAAAGGAUAAAAUGUUAAAACUUGAACUGUGAUAUUAAAAAUAUCUCAACUAUUACAUUAUUAAACCAUAUGUUCUAAUAGUUUUUUUUUAAGCUUCAAAAUGUUCAGGAUUUUAGAUUGAAACAUUUUCAUUUGAAAUUAUUUGGUGCAGUCACAAGUUAAGAAAGAAAAAGUUGUCCCAUUGGUCAUUUCACAAAAAUGAAAGCCCUGUAUAACAUGGACUUGAAUGGAAGCCCAAUUGUUUGUGUUUGAUUAAUUGAUUUCAAGCUUUAUCGGAUCUUUGGACCUGGAUACUUUACCGCGGCCUCUAAGCGCUAUAAUUUUUUUUUUUUUGGGAUAAACGGCGCUUCAAUGAGGGCAUUUCCAAUACUUAACACUAUUUUGGUGUAACACCAACACUAAAAAUGUACAUUUUUCACACUAAAUUACUAUUUAAUCUCCAACCCAUUUGAUCUACCAUGAUUGUGACUCCCACUGGGGCCACGUUCUGUUGAUCACCCUCUCGUCACCGAUAGCGCCUCCGCUUGUGGCGAACUUGCUUGUCUAUUUUCCCUAUUUUUCCGCUUACUCUCCUCAUUUAAUACGGAGGCUGCAACAUCAUCGAAAACUAGACUGUCCACUGAAUUGUAGUUUGUCAGGUUGACGAUGAGUUGUUCAUACGAAUCUUAUAGACUUUGAAGUAGAAGCUCUGCAUGUACAUUAUCCUCUAUAUUAUGACCCAACGUUGUGAGUUGUGAAAAUAGAGUCUUCAAGGUGUUGAUGUGGUCGGUCACCAUUGUAGAUUCCACCAUUCGAAGAGUAUAAAGUCUCCUCUUCAAAAAGAUUUUGUUGUGUAGUGACUUGGCCUCGUACAAUUUUGUAAGAGUAUCUCAUAUUUCCUUUGCUGUAUUUUUCUCUGCCACACUGGAUAAUACUCCAUCCGCAAGUGCCAAGUGUAGAUCAGAAAUAGCGUUGCCAUCUAUCUCAUUCCACUUGUCAUCAGUUAUCUCCAUGGGCCUUUCUCCAAUUGCUGCCAAACAAUUAUUUUUCCUCAAUACAACUUUCAUCUUCAUUUUCCACAAUGAAAAAUUAUUUCCGUUAAACUUCUCAAUUUCAUAUUUUGCUGCCAUUUUUUUGAUAAAUACCGCACACAAGUUAGUGUAUCACCUUGAAUAGUUGUCGGUAUGUGUGAGAAUGCACACCAGGAAAGUUCCCAGGAAAGACUGGAGGGGUCACACUGGUCCACUUAAAACUCAGACUCCUUAAGCACUUAUCGCGUUUGUAACAGAACUUUCCUAGACAUGUACAAAACCACACAGUUGCUUUUACUUACACCACUAUUUCCUACUUUGCAGUGCAAAAGUUCUUGGAUCGCUCCCAUCGUUUCUCGUGAACAGUACCAUAUACGUGAACAGUGCCACAUACAUGAAUAGUACCGUAUACGUGAACAGUACCGUAUACGUGAAUACUACCCUUUACGUGAACAGUACUUGACUCCAAAAAAUUCAACCAAUAGCUUUGAUACCACUGUUAGGAAAUUGGUAGGUGAAGCAGACACGCAGCUAAAAUAAAAUUGGAAGAAAAUAAAGAACAAGUACAAAGUGGACACCAAGAAAUUACGUGGUUCGGCUUUUAGCCUACGUUCACGGGCGAAGAUAGAAGGAAAAUAUUAUACUAGUGAUAUGAAGAUUACAAGUAUUGUAAUAUUUUGGCUCACUAUCCAAAACCCCAAUACACUCAAUCUCUCACUCAAUAAACUCUCAGGAGCUUUAUUAUUUUAAGCUCUUAAAAUCUCUCAAGCUUUCUCCUUAUUAUUCUCUCACAAAUUGUAUGCUAAAAUUAGGGUGGGAAGCCCUCUUUAUAUAUCCAAGAUUUUGGCUCUUUUUUUUUUAUAUAACAAGUCAACACGGCACCAUUAAGAAUGGCGAGCCAUGUUGAAUGGCAUGGCACCGCCCAUCUAGAUGGCCGGUGCCAACCAUGACUUUAACAUUCUAUCACUUGGAGAUUUGAUUGAGAAUCAAUCAAUCUCCACAUCAUCCUUUCUACUUCGCCAUAAUCAUGUUGCCUACGUUUUUACUAGGCCACAAGAGGAUCUACUCCAGUUAAACUUAUCAAUAUUGAUUGGCUUAGUCAAAACAUCUGCUAGGUUCUCCUUCGUAUGGAUUUUUGCAAAUUGACACUUCCAUCUUCCACUACUUCUCGAACGAAGUGAUACUGAACUCCUAUGUGCUUUGUCUUGGAAUGAAAGGCUGGAUUCCUUGCAAUGUGCAAGGCACUCUGACUGUCACAAAACACAGGAAUUUUCUGUUGUUUGUGCCCGAGCUCCUCCAAUAAUCUUUGUAUCCAAAUAGCUUCCUUGCAAGCUUGUAUAGCUGCCAUGUAUUCUGCUUCUGUUGUAGAUAAAGCCAGAACGGUCUGCAGUUUCCAAACCCAACUUACAACUCCUCAUGCAAAUGUAAACACAUAACUAGUAGUGGAUUUCCUUUUAUCAAGGUCUCCUGCAAAAUCUGAAUCCACAUAGCCCCUGACAGUAAACUCUGAUCCUCAAUAACAUAAUACAACAUCUGAGGUUCCUCUUAUGUAUCUCAGAAUCCUCUUCACAGCUAUCCAAUGCUGUCCACCAGGAUUCACCAUGUAUCGACUGAUUGCUCCCACUGCUUGUGCAAUGUCUGAUCUUGUACAUAUCAUAGCGAACAUCAAACUUCCCACUGCUGAUGCAUACGGUACUUGAGACAUCUCCUUCCUCUCUGCUUCAUUGCUAGGACACAUACUUGAGGAUAAUUUGAAAUUAACAGGAAGUGGGGUAGAAAUUGACUUACAAUCUUGCAUGUUGAAGCGCCACAAGAUUUUCUUCAAGUAGUUAUUCUCAGAAAGCCAAAUCUUUCUGUUAUUUCUGUCUCAGUGAAUUUGCAUCCCUAGAAUCUUGUUUGCUGGUCCCAAGUCCUUCAUUUCAAACUCCCUAGCCAACAGUGCCUUCACUUCUUGGAUUCGAUCUUUGUCGGGGCCUGCUACCAACAUGUCAUCCACAUAUAACAACAAAAUAAUGAAAUCAUUAUCUUCAAACCUUUUGUAAUAUGCACAAUGGUCUGAACUGAGUCUGUUAUAUCCAAGACUCAUGAUGAAGGAAUCAAAUCUCUUAUACCAACACCUCGGCGCCUGUUUGACACCGUAUAGAGAUUUGUUCAACCUACAAACCAAGUUUUCCUUUUCUGUUUCUGCAAAACCUUCUGGUUUGAGCAUAUAAAUUUUCUCUUCAAGUUCUCCAUGAAGAAAUACAGUUUUCACAUCUAACUGCUCUAGAUGUAGGUCAAAUAUAGCACACAUUGCCAAGACUACUCUGACUGUUGUGAGUCGAACCACCGGAGAAAAUAUCUCGUUGAAGUCAAUACCUUCUUUCUGAGCAUAUCCUUUCACCACCAAUCUUGCACGAUACCGCUCCACUUGAUCAUUGCCAUCACGUUUGAUCUUGUAGACCCAUUUGUUUCCAAUGACUUUUCUUCCAUGUGGUAGUGGUACAAGUUCCCAUGUCUUAUUUUUAUGUAGAGCUUCAAUUUCUUCCUGCAUUGCUGUCAUCCACAAAGCAACAUUUGAACUUUCUAAAGCUUCAUGGAAAGUUGAUGGCUCUCCAUCCUCUGUUAGAAGACAGUAUGCAACAUGGAUCUCUGUGACAUACUCCGAGUGCCACGCUGGCGAUCGUCUCUCACCAAUUGACCAAAGAACUUCUGGAGUCUCAGACUCGACUGGUUCUUGUUCCUCGUGCUCUGGUGCUGCUUUAGAAGAAUCUGAAUCUUCUAGAUUAUUUCCACAUAUACCGGCACAGUUUCUGACUUUUCUUUUACAGUGUCAUCAUCUCCAUCUUUCCUUUACAGUUGAUCUUCUACAAAAAUAACAUCUCUGUUGAUGACGAUCUUGUGGGCAGUGGGGUCCCACAAACGAUACCCCUUUACUCCAUUAGCAUAUCCCAAGAAGAUACAUCUUCUAGAUUUUGGAUCCAGCUUUGUUCUUUCUUACGGAUUGUACAUCACAUACACAGGACAUCCAAAUGCAUGUAAGUAGGAAUAAUCAGCUGGCUUUCCAGUCCACAUCUCCACGUUGUCUUCAGCCCAAUAGCUGUAGAUGACGACUGAUUUACUAUAUAACAAGCAGUUUUGGCUGCUUCUUCCCAAAAUGAAUUGGGUAGACCAGCAGUCCUCAACAUAGCUCUUAUUCUUUUGUAAGAGUUUUGUUCAUCUACUCCGCCACUCCAUUUUGUUGAGGAGUGUAUGCUACCGUGAACUGUCUAUGAAUACCUUCUUACUUACAGAAAGCAAGAAACUCACCGUCUGUAUACUCUCCACCAUUAUCUGUCCUCAAGCACUUGACCCUUUUACCAGAUUCAAGUUCCACCCGCGCUUUGUAUUCUUUAAAUACUGGAAAUAUAAUUGACUUUUUCAUAAUUGGAUACACCCAACAUCUCCUGGAAUAAUCAUCAAUGAAAGUCACCAUAUACUUUGCACCUCCCAUGGAUAUAUCCAGUGAUUCCCAAACAUCAGAAUGAAUCAAGUCUAAAAUGCAUUUACUUCUAGCAAUAGAUUUACUGAAUUUUAAUCUAUGCUGCUUACUUGUAACACAAUGCUCGCAAAAUGGUAAACUUACCGAUUUAAGCCCCGGAAGUAAUUUUCACUCAGAGAGAAUCUUCAAACAUUCUGACAUGUGACCAAAUUUGAGAUGCCACAUCAUCGUUGACUCUUCUCCAUUUGAUACGAGACACGCAUUAGCCUCCUAUAGUGUUUCUCCUUUAAGCAUGAAUAGAUUAGCACCGAUCUUUUCUGCCUUCAUCAAUACAAGCGCUCUUUUAACAAUUUUCGUAAUUUCAUUCUCCAUAUGAGUUUUAUACCCAUGACUAUCCAUUUGUCCCAAAGACAAUAGAUUUUUAUUCAGGUCAUUGACAUGUCGUACCUCCCCAAUUGUGCGAAUUGUACCAUCAAAAUUUUUAUUUUGAUAGUGUCAAUACCAGCGAUCUCCAAGGUAUGAUCAUUACCCAUAUAUAUAGAUCCUCCUGAGAUAUGUUCAUAUGUGUGGAACCAUUCUCUCCGAGAGGUCAUGUGCCAGGUAGCUCCUGAGUCUAUAAUCCAGACAUCAGAUAGUCGUUUUCUACCUUCUAAAACAGUUGUUGCCUCGCUUUAGAGAAUUUCACCAUUAUCUGAAGUACUUGCUACACACCCUUGAGCAUUUGAUGACUCAGGUUAUUUGCCCUCUCUUCUCUUCUGGUUACUCCAACACUUUUUCUUGACGUGCCCUUUCUUGCCACAGUUGUAGCAUUUAACAUUCUUCUUACUUCUGGAUUUUGAUCUACCAUGAUUAUGACUUCUACUGGGGUCACGUUCUGUUGAUCUCCCUCUCGUCACCAAUAGCGUCUCCGCUUGCUGCGAACUUGCUUGUCUGCUUUCAUUAUUUUUCCGCUUACUCUCCUCAUUUAAUACGGAGGUUGCAACAUCGUCGAAAACUAGACCGUCCGCUGGAUUGUUGUUUGUUAGGUUGAUGAUGAGUUGAUCAUACGAAUCUGGUAGACUUUGAAGUAGAAGCUCUGCAUGUACAUUAUCCUCUAUAUUAUGAUCCAACGUUGUGAGUUGCGAAAAUAGAGUCUUCAAGGUGUUGAUGUGGUCGGUCACCAUUGUAGAUUCCACCAUUCGAAGAGUAUAAAGUCUCUUCUUCAAGAAGAUUUUGUUGUGUAGUGACUUGGCCUCGUACAAUUUUGUAAGAGUAUCUCAUAUUUCCUUCGCUGUAUUUUUUUCUGCCAUACUGGAUAAUACUCCAUCCGCAAGUGCCAAGUGUAGAUAAAAAAUAGCGUUGCCAUCUAUCUCAUUCCAUUUGUCAUCAGUUAUCUCCAUGGGCUUUUCUCCAAUUGCUGCAAAACAAUUAUUUUUCCUCAAUACAGCUUUCAUCUUCAUUUUCCACAACAAAAAAUUAUUUCCGUUAAACUUUUCAAUUCCAUACUUUGCCGUCAUUUUGUUCAUAAAUACCGCACACAAGUUAGUGUACCACCUUGAAUAGUUGUCAGUAUGUGUGAGAAUGCACACUAGGAAAGUUCUCAGGAAAGACUGGAGGGGUCACACUGGUCCCACUUAAAACCCAAACUCCUUAAGCUCUUAUCGCCUUUGUGACAGAACUUUCCUAGACAUGUACAGAAUCACACAGUUGCUUUACUCACACCACUAUUCCCUGCUUUGCACCGCAAAAUUCUUGGAUCGCUUCCACCGUUUCUCGUGAACAGUAUCGUAUACGUGAACAAUGUCGUACAUGUGAAUAGUAUCAUACAUGUGAAUAGUAUCGUAUACGUGAACAGUACCGUAUACAUGAAUACUACCCUUUACGUUAAGAAAUUGGUGGGUGAAGCAGACACGCAGCUAAAAUAAAAUUGGAAGAAAAUAAAGAACAAGCACAAAGUGGACACCAAGAAAUUACGUGGUUCGACUUUUAACCUACGUCCACGGGCGAAGACGGAAGAAAAAUAUGAUACUAGUGAUAUGAAUAUUACAAGUAUUGUAAUAUUUUAAUUUACUACCCAGAACCCCAAUACACUCAAUCUCUCACUCACUAGACUCUCAGGAGCUUUAUUAUUUUAAGCUCUUAAAAUCUCUCAAGCUCUCCUUAUUAUUCUCUCACAAAUUGGAUGCUAAAAUGAGGUGGGAAGCCCUCUUUAUAUAGCCAAAAUUUUGGCUCCUUUUUUUUUUUUAUAACAAGUCAACACGGCACCACCAAGAAUGGUGGGCCGUGUUGAAUGGCAUGGCACCGCCCAUCUAGAUGGCCGGUGCCAACCAUGACUUUAACAUUAUAGUCCAAGUUUUCGAGGACCACUAUAUUGUAUUGAUUUAAAAAAAACUAAUAUUUUUAAUAUUAAUAUUCUAAAUUAUAUUCAGUUAAAAUAUUAAAUAUUAAAAACAUUCUUAAUAUUAAUAUUCUUAGAUGAAAUUAUUUUGCUGACUUAAGAAUAAAAUAUUAAAUAAUUUUAUUUUUCUUUUAUUGUGUAACGUGGACCAAAAAAAAGGAAAUGAAUUUAAUAAAACCUUCAUUCAAAACCUUCAUUCCGCCACCAUGCAUGCAUGUUAAUUGUUUCCAAAUUCCAACCUCCGUACUCUCUUGAGGAGUUUCCCAUUCAUCAAUUAUUAUUUUUUAUAAUCCAUACCAUCCUGAUAUAAUUAAACACCAUUAAUAAUGUACCAGCCUUUAAAUAGUAAUUAAUUUAUUUAGUUGGCCACCUAAAAGAAUCCUGCAGGAAAUAGAGGUUAAAAAUUUUAUUAAAUUUGCUUACCGCUGUAUCAUUAUAUAUAUAAAGAGUGAAAUCUAAAUGAAAUUUUUUAUCAUCCAUUCAGCAAACACUUAUAAUUCACAAAUAGUGAAUCUAUGCAUUGACAAUGUGGAUUAAGAAUUAUAACACAUGAAUUCAAACAUACCCUUGUGAAGUUAAGAAUAAGUUCAUACUUCAAAUGAUUUUUUAGCUAAUAAAGCAAUCAGUUUCAUUAAACGACAGCGUUGAAGGAAUUGUGCAAUUUUUUACGUUCUUUUCUAGACAGACGUUACAGAAAUGGGGUAAGUAGAGGGCUGGCCUCAGAUAUCUCACAAUUGUUAGUGAGAUAAAAUGUUAUUGUAAAAGGCGUUUAAUAGAAUAAUAUUAAUUCUUUUGCAUUGUUAUAAAAAUAUUUUUUUCUUUUGACAGUUCUGCAGGACAAGUGAUCAGAGCUCAAUGAAUAUAGCCGUGGAGGCACAGCAGAGCAGGAUUAUGAAAAAGAGAAGCUUAUUACAGGUCAUUCAAGUUUACUUGCUUUUAUAUAAUAAGUGUUUUGGCCGAUUUAUCUAAUUCACCAAAUGUUUUUUCCGGUACAUAUCUCCAUUGGUAUCAAGAAGAGGCAGAACCCAAAGAAACGUUUCUUGCAUCUUCAUAUUUGUGCGCAUUCAUCCUUUCAUUGAGAAUAACCAUUUCCAGGCAGCAGUUGCCAAUCAAUUCGCACGUCGAUGCUAUUCAUAGAUAUUAAAGACAAUGAUGAACCAAAGGUGAUAAAUCAUAAAUGCAUAAUUACCAAACCUCCAUCCUUCUCUCAUUAUGAUUUGAUUUUAAAUGAAUUAUUGCUUGGUAACAUUAUUUCCAACCAUUGCAAGACCUUUUUUUUUUUUUGGGAGAAAUUUCAAUUGAAAGUGAAACCUUUAGACAUUUACCUAAUGAAGUUAGUUAAUCGGGAGGGUGGAAAAAAAAAAGUUGACGCAAGUCAAUACACAAUAAUGAUUAAUUAAAUCCGGAGUGACUAAAACAGAGCCACUACUUUUUCAAAAAUAUCUGCAUUCAUCACUUUCUCCAGCAGCUAGUCAGCUACACACGAAUCAAUUUCUCUCCUCGUUUGUCAUCCAAAAUUAUUCACCAAUACCAUGGCUGAUGCAAUCGUUUCCACUAUCUUGGAGCAGCUGAUUUCCUUCGCUGCUGAAGAGAUAAAACAACAGGUGAUCGAAGUUACACCCCUCAUAUUACAAAUACUUCCAAUGAUUUUAAUUGGUUUUGUUUUUAUCAAAAACAUUAUAUAUUUUUGCUUUUUUUUAUUUAUCUGAUAAUUUUAUAUUUUGAAAUUUGAAUUGAAUUUAAUUAAAAGGUGAUGUAGUAACCACUCAUUUUUAUUUUAUUUCAUUUAUAUUCUCGAUAACUAACCAUAUUUUGGUAACUUAAUAUAACUCUCGUACAUAAGAAAUGAUCCAAACCCACAAUUUUAACUCUGUAUAAAUAUUCAACGUUGAGUCAUUAAUUCUCAACUCAGCACUGAAUCCCAUAGCUAUUACUUAGACUCUAUGAAAAAUUUCAUAGUUUUCUUACAUUCUUUGAGUUUGGUAAGUGAUUUCGUAUAAUUUCUUUUCAAGUUAAAUUUUAAUUUGGUUUAUGAUAUAGUCUCUGUGCCGAAUUGUAUCUUUUAUGAUUCUUGGAUUUUGGGCUCCAACUUUUUAGGAUUUGAUAGUCACAUUUUAUGCCAUGCUCAGAUUGAUUUUCAUGAUUUUAACUACCCGUUAAGUGGCUUACAAUUUGACAAAAGUUUGAAAGGAAAUAUGUUUCAGGAUUCUGUUUUAAUUGACCUUUAAGUAGAAAUAGGAUGCUUAUAACUUAAUGUGGAUGGUUUGUAAAAUCAUGAAAUUCGGAUAGGAUUCACUAGAAAUAUGUACAAGACUCUCCAUAAAGUUUCAUAAUUUUUCAUUCGGUAUGGGGUGGUACAGGUGAAACUUGUGGUUGGUGUUGAAAAAGAAGUGAAAAGCAAGUUGUGCUCGAUGAUGCAGAGGAAAAGCAAGUGAAGGACAAAGCUGUUAGUCUUUGGCUGGGUAGACUCAAGUACGCAUCCUACGACAUUGAAGAUGUGUUGGAUGAGUGGAUCACAGCAAGACGCAAAUUGCAAAUUGAGGGUGGCGUUGAUGAAAAUGCUCUUGUUGUUCCUCAUAAGAAAAAGAAGGUAUGUCUCUACUUUCCCGGCUCUUGUUUUGGAUUCAAACAAGAAGAAUUUGGUUUCAAACAAGUCUUUCUCCGUCAUGACAUUGCCGACAAGAUCAAAGAAAUCAAUGAAGAGCUACAUGAUAUUGCCGCUCAAAAAGACAUGUUUGAUCUUGUUAAGAGUGGCAAUAAAAGUAGUGAAAGACCAAGGCGUGUACAGAGUACCUCCUUGAUUGAUGAAGAAGAGAUUUGUGGCAGAGUUGGUGAGAGGAAUGAACUCUUAAGCAAGCUGUUGUGUGAGAGUAGCGAGCAACAAAAAGGCCUUCAUAUCAUCUCAAUCGUUGGUAUGGGAGGCAUAGGGAAAACAACUCUUGCACAACUAGCUUGUAAUCAUGACGAGGUGAAGAGAAAGUUCGACAAAAUUCUGUGGGUGUGUGUAUCAGAAACUUUUGAGGAGUUUAGGGUUGCCAAAGCGAUCGUUGAAGUUUUGGAUGGUCGUGAAUCUCAUUUAGCUGAAUUCCAUUCUCUUCUUAUAAGUAUUGAUAAAUCUAUUGCGGGAAAGAGAUUUCUUCUUGUCUUAGAUGACGUAUGGGACGGAGAUUACAUUAAGUGGGAACCGUUCUACCGUUCCCUAAAGAAUGGUCUCCAAGGAAGUAAAAUUUUGGUUACUACACGUAAGGAGUCAAUUGCGUUUAUGAUGGGAUCCAUUGAUAUUAUCUCUAUCAAGGGAUUGGCCGAAGAAGAAUGUUGGUCGUUGUUUAAGCGGUUAGCAUUUUUCGGUCGAUCCAUUGAGGAAUGUGGAAGAUUGGAACAAAUUGGACAAAGAAUUGCAGGAAAGUGUAAAGGCUUACCUCUUGCAGCAAAGGUAAUAGGGAGUCUCAUGCGUUCUAAAAAAACUGAAGAAGAGUGGCAAAGAAUCUUAAAUAGUGAGCUAUGGAAAAUAGAAGAGAUCGAGAAAGGUGUUCUAACUCCUUUGUGGUUGAGUUAUAACGAUUUGUCAUCUCGAGUAAAAAGAUGUUUUUUAUAUUGUGCUGUCUUUCCAAAAGACUACAAUAUAAAAAAAGACAAACUAAUUACAUUAUGGAUGGCUCAAGGUUAUCUUAAUGCAGAACAAAAUGAAGAGAUGAAGACAAUAGGUGAAGAGUAUUUUGGCAUCUUAGCUUCUCGCUCUUUCUUUCAGGAGUUUACGAAAAGUUAUGAUAAUCGUAUUAUAUGGUGCAAGAUGCAUGAUAUGGUGCAUGAUUUUGCCCGAUUUGUAAGUCAAAAUGAAUGUUUUUCGAUGGAAAUUAACGGCAGUGAGGAACCAAACGCCACAAACUCUCCUCAUGGGAAGCUUCGUCAUUUAAUGUUAAUCAUUGGUGAAGGGGCUUCAUUUCCUGUCUCCACUUGUAGAGUCAAAAGAAUGCGAAGCCUCUUAAUUGAUAGUAGCAGAUUUGAUUAUCAGUCGUUAAAUGGUGAGAUCCUAGAAGAAUUAUUGAGGGAAUUGACAAGUUUAAGGGCAUUCGAUUUUUGCAGAUCGGACCACACACGAUUGGGUUUCACUCUAGAGAUUCCAAGAAAUAUAAAAAAGCUGAUACAUUUAAGAUACCUUAAUUUGUCUGGUCAGAAAAUAGAGAAGCUACCGGAGGCAUUGUGCGAGCUAUAUAAUCUAGAGAAGUUAGAUAUUUGUGGUUGUUGGUGUCUUAAAGAAUUACCUGAAGGGAUUGGGAAGUUAAUAAACAUGAAGCAUUUACUAAAUAGAAAUACCGAUUCUGUAAGGUACAUGCCAGUAGGGAUUGCGAGAUUAAAGAGUCUUCAGACAUUGGAAGAGGUCAGUGUGAGUGGAAGAGGAUGUCUUGAUGGUAGGAAAGCAUGUAGGCUCGAAUCUCUUAAAAACUUGGAACACCUUCAAAUAUGCGGUAUACGUGGACUGGGUGAUGUAUCAGACGUGGGCGAGGCUAAGCGAUUAGAACUUGACAAAAAUAAAUACCUCUUCAGUUUGACCCUUUGGUUUGAUAAGAAGGAGGAAGAAGGAGAAAGGAGGAAGAACGAGGACGAUCAACUUCUUCUUGAAGCCCUGCAACCACCUCUGGAUUUAAAGAAAUUAACGAUAUGGUCAUACAGAGGCAACACUGUUUUCCCCAGCUGGAUGAUGUCAUUAACCAAUUUAAGGAGUUUAGGUCUCUGUUACUGCAAAAAUUGUGAGCAGCUGCCUCCUUUGGGAAAAUUGCCAUCCCUUGAAACGCUCCACAUAUUGGGCAUGAAUAGUGUGAAAAGAGCGGGUAAUGAAUUUUGGGGUAUAGAAAGUAAUCACCAUGACUCAUCUUCAUCUUCAUUUUCAUCAGUUAUUAUUGCCUACCCCAAAUUAAUAUCACUUUCAAUUCAUUGUCUGACGGAAUUGGAGGAGUGGGAUUAUGGGAUUACUAGAACGGGAAACACGUUCAUCAACAUCAUGCCACGUCUUUCUUCCUUGCGAAUUACUAUGUGCCCCAAACUAAAGGCACUGCCCGACCACAUUCAUCAAACGACAACACUGAAGGACUUGACCGUUGGGUGGAACUCUGAUCUUCUGCAAGAACGUUACAGCGAGGGUAUAGGAGAAGACUGGCCUAAGAUAUCUCACAUUCCCAACGUCAGGAUUUGGCAAGACGUAAUUUCUUCUCCUACUCUGAUUUGCUUUGUUGUUGUUUUUAAUCUAAUUAAGACGCAUAAAUAGCAUUUUGAUUUUGAGUUGACAAUUUUCUGGACCAGUGAUCAAGGGUGAGAAUGGCGCUAGGAUAUUGAAUAAGGCACUGAACUUAGGCUGAUGUCAAAAGAGGUAAAUUAUUGACAUGUGUAGCUAAUUUGACCGUUUCCUGAUUCAUAAGUCUACAUUAAUUUUGAUUUUGAGUUGAGUGAUUACAUUUUAAGGUUUGCUUACUUAACAGGGCCAGGACAUGAAAUGAGAAGCUUAUUAGUGGCAGUUGGCAGUGAAUGGAGGACCUUGACUAAAUUCUCAAGCGGUUGCACUGCAGUUACGCUCAUCCUAAGCCUCCUGUAAUUUCUUCUCCUGCAUUUUUGUAAUUUGCUAUCUAAUUAAGGAGCGUAAACUAUUUUGAAUCGACUUCUAUAUCAGGAAUAUAUGCAACAUUUUCUAAAAGUUUGAUAUGAGUGUAAUGAUGGUAAUUUCUCUUUUUUGUCUGUCAUCGAAAUGUAAGAUAACAUUCAUUAAGACUCUUGAGAGUCGUUUUUGGCAAUUGCAGGACAAGUGAUGAAGAGUGAGAAUGGUGCUAGAUUGGGGAUUAAAGCAAAAGGAGGUAAAUUAUUGGCAGAGAAUUGUGAGAGCUUGAGUGUACUGGGAUUUGCAAUUACAAUCAUCCUCUGCUUCAGGUGAUUUCUUCUCCUGCUCUGUCGUUGUUUGUAUCUCAAUCAAAUUCUAUAACUGGAAUAUGCAAAAGUUUCGAAUUUUUUAUUUCUAUCUGCUUGCAUUGAUAACAUCACGGCAUAUGCACUAGUUAAAGAACAAACAGAAACAGAGCUCCGGAAAAAGUUUCUUCUGCCAUCACAUUUGAAAAUUCAUGUAAAAUGUAGACAGUAAUCAGCAAAAAGGUGAUUCACAAUUUCAUUUUUUUUAUGAAAUUGAUUGUUAGGUUGGAGUUGCUAAAAGGCCAUUGGGCUAACCUAUGUCGUUACUUACCUAGAUCAAGACUCAAAACAAGCAUUGAAUUUUAAAAGGCAUGCAAUAAUUUUUGUGGCCAUAUGUCAAGUCAGGUAAGUUUGAAUAUAAUUAUUGUUGAAGGGGUUUUAUUUUCGGUGUCCAAAUAGAGAUACUGAUUCUUUAAGGUAAUGCCAGUAGGAAUUGCAAGAUUAACAAGUCUUCGGACAUUGCGAGAGUUCCAUUGAGUGGUGGAUGAGGUGUUGAUGGUAGCAAAGCAUGUGGUAUGCGUAGACUGGAAAACAUGUAAGAUGUGGGCGAGGCUAAGAGAUUAGAGAUUGACCAAAUGAAAUACCUCUUUAGUUUGAGGCUUAAAUUUGAUGGUGAAGAAGAAGGAAGGAGGAAGAAUGAGGAUGAUCAACAUCAGCUUGUUCUUGAAACCUUGCAACCACCUCUGACUUUGAAGGAAUUAGAGAUAUGGUCAUACAGAGGCAACACUGUUUCUGCAAGUAGUCCUCUCUUUUCUUUUUAUUAUAUUUUAUUUAGUUAUUAUUUAUUAUUUAUUUUUUGGUUUACUCUGCUUCUUCUUUUUACGUUUCUCAAAUUUUGAAUUUCAUUACUUUUGAACAUACGACAGUCUGUUAUGUGGCGACCCUGGUUUUUAAUUAAGGUUGUAAAAUAUUAUUGUAAAAGAUGAUUUAUUCAAUUUGAGUAAUUCGUUUGCUUUGAUAAUGAUAGCAAUUUUUUAUUUUGACAAUUUGCAAGGUGAGAAUGGUGCUGAUUGGUGAUUCAGGAUAUGGUUCAAACACCAUUGAAUAAAGCUAUGGACAUGGUGGCUCAACUUAGCUAGAUUGGUAUCAAAAUUGGUAAGUUGGCUUGUCAAUGUACCGAUGCUUUUGUUUUCUCUCAACCCUAAUUACCUUAACUUCAUUUAGUUUGGCUUUGGAGUUGAGUAAUAACUUAUUGUUCAAAUGUUAUUUCCUUAUUGUUCUAAUUCAUCAAAUGUUAUUUCCUUAUUGUUCCAUUGAUAUAUUUGUUGCAUAUCAAGCAGAAACAGAACCCAAAGAAAAUGAAACCAUUUCCAGGCAGCAGUUGGCAGUGAAUUCAUGCAAAUGUUGAUGCCAUUCAUAGAUGUUGAAGACAAUGUUGAGCCAAAGGCGAUAAAUCAUUAAUGCAUAAUUCCCAAAACCUCCAUCCUUCUCUCAUUGUAAUUUGAUUUGAAAUGAAUAAUUGCUAGGUAAUUGAAGCCAAUGUUGUUAAAGACCGUGUUGAGCUACCCAAGCUAAGAAGUUACUUGCCAAAAAAUGCAGGGGAUCAAAAGAAGCAUUGCAUUUGAAAAGGCAUGAGAUUCUGGUGGCUACAUGUCAACUCAUAUAUGUUUGAAUAAGUUUGAUCGUUCAAGAUUGUUAGCUUCUGUUUAAAUUUGUGCUACUGCGGUGCUACAAUGCUGCUACUGGGAAAUUUGAAUCCCAUAUUAGACUUUCCUCACAUCAGAAGCUGUGGAUCUUCGGACAUCAGGUUUUUUCACAGUUCUGAAACACUCAGGAUUAAACUCUAUUAAAGUGUUGUAGUUAUCUUGUUGUCAGAAUUCCCAUAUUAUUAUCUUUUUCAUGUAAAAUUAUCUUGUUGUCUUCGCCCAUGAAUCUAAGCUAAAAUUUGAACCAAUUGUUUGCCAUUAUAAAUUUCAUUGUUAAAUGUUAAUUAUGAUGUUGGCGUUGAGUUUCUUUUAAAGUCAUAGAAGCCUGACGAUUGAGUUCCAUGGGAUUCUGAGAAGCAGUAAUAUUUGAACAAGUGAAGGUUCUUCUCUUUUAAUUAUGUUCUGCACUUUUACAGUUUGGCUUUGGAGUUGAGUAAUAACCUUUCGAGGUCGCGGCUAUAAAAAGGCGAUGCUCAAUUUGCCACAGAUUACAUGUAUUGCCAUCAUUGACAAUUUUCUGGAUAAGUGAUGAAGGGUGAGAGUGGUGCUAGACUUCAGCCCUCCAGAAUAUUGAAUAAAGCUGUCAAAAGAGGUAAAUUAUUGGCAUGCCUGUUAGUGAAUUGGAUAAAGCUGGAGCAGAGCAUGAUGUUGCUGUAUAGCUGGAGCAGAGCAUGUUGUUGCUGUGUAGCUGGUUGUAGCAGAUCAACUCACUGAGCUGACCUGUCAAAGCUGGAGCAGAGCAGAGCAGAGCGGAUAAAGCUGGAGCAGAGCAGAGCGGAUAAAGCUGGAGCAGAGCAGAGCAUGAUGUUGCUGUAUAGCUGGAGCAGAGCAUGCUGUUGCUGUGUAGCUGGAGCAGAGCAUGCUGUUGCUGUGUAGCUGGUUGUAGCAGAUCAACUCACUGAGCUGACCUGUCAAAGUUAGUUAGCUGGUUGAGCUGAUGUGUAAAGUUAGUUAUGCAGCAAAUGGUUAUGUGAUGUAACAAACUCGUGUGUGUAGUGAAGAUUGUAGCUUAGUAUAAAUGUCAAUCAGUAUUCAUUAAGUUGAAAUAUCUGAGGAUAAUAAAAAGGUUCUUUAGAGUUCUCUUUCAUUUUCUUUUACUUUCUUGCUUGCCAAACAAUAUAGAACUAAGUUUCUUUCAUGGUAUCAGAGCCAUAAAUGGCAAAUACAGUUCAAAACAACAACUCUUUUAGUUUUGUUACGCCUGUAAAGCUAGAUCAAAACAACUAUAUUUUGUGGCGCACACAAAUUCUAGCUUCGAUCAAAGGAAAUGGUUUGGAAGGUUUUAUCAAUGGUGAUCGAGAAUGUCCUGAGCAGUUUCUUUCUUCUGGCAACAACAAUGGAGCUGAAAUCUUAACUGAAUCUGGAUCCAGAUCUGUUACUGAAUCUGGAUCCAGAUCUGUUACUGAAUCUGGAUCCAGAUCUGUUAAUCCAGAGUUCGUAGCUUGGAUGAAGGCUGAUCAACUUCUGCUGAGUUGGAUGAUGUCAUCGAUACAACAAAAUCUGCUUGCUACUAUGAUUGACUCAACAACCUCAAAACAGCUUUGGGAGACUCUUGCUAGUAUGUUUAUCUCUCAAUCACAGGCUAGAAUUCAAACACUUAGAAUGCAGAUUCAAACUAUUAAGAAAGGUGCAAUGCAUAUGUCUGAUUACUUUGUAAAAGUAAAACGUAUAGCUGAUACUUUAGCUCUAGCUGGAAAACCUGUUGAGUUAAAUGAUCUUGUGAUGCAUGUAUUAACUGGUCUUGAUUCAUCAGAUUAUGAAUCUUUAGUCACUGCUGUGUUAGCUCGAGGUGAAAAGAUAACAUUAGAUGAACUAUAUUCUUUGCUGUUAAAUCAUGAAAAUAGAGUUGAGCAAAAGAAAGGAAAAAUUGCUGGUGAUGUGAUGCAUAACAUGACAGCAAAUAUUGUUCAGAAGAACUCAUAUGCUAGAAAGAAUAAUGGAAAUUUUCAGAAACAGUAUGGAAAUAACUCUGGAGGUGGUAAUAAUUCUGGAUAUGGAUAUGGUCAGUUUAAUAAUAAUAGUAAUUUCUCUGAAGUUGUUUGCCAAAUUUGCUUCAUACCUGGUCAUGCAGCCUAUAAAUGCAGAAAUAGGUACAACUCAUCUUUUGUUCCACAUAGGAACCAUGGUAGAGGUAAUAUGAAUGGUGGCGGAGGUUUUAAUCAAGGGCAAUAUGGUCGAGGAAGAGCCUUUAAUGGUAAUAGUGGAAGAGGUUUUGGAGGUUUUGGUUCAAAUGCUGGUUUUGGACAAAAUGUUGGUUUUGGUAAUGCCCCCAGGGGUUUUGGCUAUCAAGGAAAUAUAGUAUAUCCAGAGAGCAACCCAUCUGCUUAUUUCUCAUUCAACCCUGGAUCAUCUAAUUUUGUUUCUGGUCUAGGACAUAAUAAUCUGGAACAGUCAAGUGCUUCCUCCUCCUCUGCUAUGUCUUCUUCACUUCCACCUGAACACAUUGAAGAUCCUUCCUGGUAUAUUGAUAGUGGAGCAACAAAUCAUAUUACCAACGAUCUAGGUAAGCUUCUGGAUUCAAAAGUUUACACUGGUACUGAAAGGUUAUUUGUUGGAGAUGGAAAUGCAUUAGCUAUUACACAUGUAGGGUCAGUUGUGCUAAAUACUUCAGCUUCUCAAUCCUUAUUUCUUAACCAUGUUCUUCAUGUCCCUUUUAUUACUAAGAAUUUGCUUAGCAUCUCAAAAUUGUUGGCUGACAAUCCAGUUACUGUUGAAUUUCUUGGUGAUUUGUGUUUUAUAAAGGCCAAGAACACAGGGAAAAUUUUACUUGAAGGUGUUGCUAAAGGUGGGCUUGUAUAGAGUCUCUUCUCAUGCUGCUGUUCAUUCAGUCUUUCUCAGUUCAGUUGGUCAAAACAAAAUUCAGUCUCUUUUUGCUUGUUCUCCUGUUUUUAAUUCUGCUCAGCUCUCUACUGUUAGCUCUUAUGAGUUGAAUAAAACGUCAUGUCUGUCAGUUGUUGCAAAGGGUUCUAUUGAUGUAAAUCUUCUUCAUAGAAGAUUAGGACACCCAGCAUCUUAUACUCUCAAAACCAUUCUCAAAGCUUGUAACAACUCUACUGCUUUUAAUAAAGUUGACAGUUUGAAAUUUUGUUCAGCAUGCCAAUAUGGUAAAAAUCACAUGCUGCAUUUUGAUUCAGUAGAAACAAAAACUUCAGCACCUUUACAACUGAUAUAUGCAGAUCUUUGGGACCCUUCUCAUGUUUGUUCUACCCAAGGAUAUAAUUACUACUUGUCAAUCCUAGAUGAUUACAGUAGGUUUACCUGGAUUUUUCCCUUAUCAGCAAAAUCUGAUGCUCUUGAAGUUUUUACCAAUUUCAAAAUAUUCAUUGAGAAGCAUCUUCAACUUUCCAUCAAAACUGUACAAACUGACUGGGGAGGGGAGUUCAGAACAUUUUCAUCGUUACUCACUACUUCUGGCAUCCAUUUUCGACAUCCUUGCCCCCACAUUCAUCAUCAAAAUGGAAAAAUUGAGAGGAAACAUAGACACAUAGUUGAUGUAGGACUGACUUUAUUAGCUCAAGCACAUUUACCACUCAAAUUUUGGUGGAAUACAUUCCAUACAGCUGUCUACUUGAUAAACAGACUUCCAACUCCAGUUCUAAACAGCAUUUCUCCUUUUCAAAAGUUGUUUAAUUCCCAACCAGAUUAUUCAACACUUAAAAUUUUCGGCUGUGCUUGUUAUCCAACACUCAGACCAUACAAUAGACAUAAGUUUGAUUUCAGAACAGCUAGAUGUAUAUUCAUUGGCUACAGUUCACGACACAAGGGAUAUCAGUGUCUUCACUCUUCUGGGAGGGUCUAUAUUUCAAAUCAUGUAACCUUUGAUGAAAGUUCUUUUCCUUAUGAGUCAGGAACAGAUUUUUCUUCAGUUUCUUCAAACUGUCAGUCAUCAACUCAUUCUGAGUCUUCUUUUAAUUCUUCUACUCCUUUUGUUACUCAGUUACAAGCACCUUUAGCAGCAUCAUCAGAAUAUCAUCUUAAUGAUUCUCAGUCACAUGCUUCUAUUUCCUUCCCAAAUUCUACUCCAGUUUACUUUUCUGAUAAUUUCAAUUCCACUUCUUCUUCUCCUUCUUCACCAUCCCAUCAUUCACCUCCACAUACCUUGUCACAACCUGCAUCAUCUGGUCAUCCAAUGAUAACCAGGUCAAAAGCAGGUAUCUUCAAGCCCAAGAUCUACUUGUCAGCUUUACUAGCUCAGAAAUCAGAACCAACCUCUGUUUCCAAAGCACUUUCUGAUCCUAUGUGGUAUAAAGCUAUGCAAGAAGAGUAUCUAGCUCUUAAAACCAAUCACACCUGGGAUUUAGUCUUACCUGCUACUCCAGUGAAGAUAGUUGGCAACAAGUGGGUAUUUCGAGUAAAGUAUAACUCAGAUGGUUCAGUUUCAAGGUAUAAAGCCAGGCUUGUGGCUAAAGGGUUUCAUCAGACACAUGGGAUUGACUACACAGAAACCUUCAGUCCAGUGGUUAAGUCCUCCACUGUUAGAGUUAUUCUUAGCUUAGCAGUAUUGAGUCACUGGGUUGUAAGGCAGGUGGAUGUUAACAAUGCCUUUCUAAAUGGCAUUUUAAUUGAAGAUGUGUACAUGGCUCAACCUCAAGGUUUUGUUGAUUCAACUAAACCUAAUCAUAUCUGCAAGCUAAAUAAGGCUUUGUAUGGCUUAAAACAGGCUCCUAGAGCCUGGUUUGAUAGGUUUAAGGAUGCAAUGAUCUCCAAGUGGCAUUUUUAGCAUUCCAGGUCUGAUAACUCUCUCUUUUAUGCCUGGAACAGUGGUCAUCUAACUGUUGUUUUGGUCUAUGUUGAUGAUAUUAUCAUCACUGGUUCCAGUCCAUCCAUAAUUCAACAAGUUAUCCAGAAUAUGCAUCAAGCUUUUGCUUUAAAAGACCUGGGGGAACUUCACUAUUUUCUGGGGAUUGAAGUCAGCAAAUCUUCACAAGGGGUUUCCUUGACACAAGCAAAGUACAUUGCUGAUAUUCUGGAUAAACAUGGCAUGACAGACUGCAGUCCUGUGCCAACUCCAAUGUCUACAGGCUUUUAUCUCACCAAAGACUCAGGAGAGCCACUUGAUAAUGUUUCUCAAUAUCGAAGUGUUAUAGGAGCUCUUCAAUAUGUUACUCUUACCAGACCUGACAUUGCCUUCUCUGUAAACAAGUUAAGUCAGUUCCUUUCCAGUCCUAGAACUCAACAUUGGGAAGCAUGUAAAAGGUUAUUGAGGUACUUAAAAGGCAUUAUCCAUCUGGGGCUGCAUUUCUACAAUCAAGGAGCUCUGCAAUUACAUUGUUUUUCAGAUUCUGAUUGGGCUUGUGAUCAUGAUGAUAGGAAGUCAGUGGCUGGCUUUGCUGUUUAUCUAGGUCCUAAUCUUGUUUCCUGGUCGUCAAAGAAACAAGCUGUUGUUUCCAGAUCCAGCACAGAAGCUGAGUAUAGAUCUCUUGCUCAUGCUGCUUCAGAAGUUACCUGGAUUAAAUCCUUACUUGGUGAACUUAGUAUCACAUUAAGCUCCACUCCUAUGAUGUGGUGUGAUAAUCAAGGAGCAAUUGCUUUAGCUUAUAAUCCAGUUUAUCAUGCUAAGACUAAGCAUGUUGAAUUGGAUAUACAUUUUAUCCGAGAUAAGGUCACUGCUAAAGAGGUUGCAGUAUGCUAUGUGCCUAGUCCAGAUCAAACAGCAGAUGUGUUGACUAAGGCUCUUACUUUCAAACAAUUCAGUUACUUCAGAAGCAAGCUGAAUGUUCAUCCUAAACAUUUCAGCUUGAGGGGGGAUGUUAGUGAAUUGGAUAAAGCUGGAGCAGAGCAUGAUGUUGCUGUAUAGCUGGAGCAGAGCAUGUUGUUGCUGUGUAGCUGGUUGUAGCCAAAGCUGGAGCAGAGCAGAGCAGAGCGGAUAAAGCUGGAGCAGAGCAGAGCGGAUAAAGCUGGAGCAGAGCAGAGCAUGAUGUUGCUGUAUAGCUGGAGCAGAGCAUGCUGUUGCUGUGUAGCUGGUUGUAGCAGAUCAACUCACUGAGCUGACCUGUCAAAGUUAGUUAGCUGGUUGAGCUGAUGUGUAAAGUUAGUUAUGCAGCAAAUGGUUAUGUGAUGUAACAAACUCGUGUGUGUAGUGAAGAUUGUAGCUUAGUAUAAAUGUCAAUCAGUAUUCAUUAAGUUGAAAUAUCUGAGGAUAAUAAAAAGGUUCUUUAGAGUUCUCUUUCAUUUUCUUUUACUUUCUUGCUUGCCAAACAAUAUAGAACUAAGUUUCUUUCAAUGCCUAGCUAAUUUGACCACUACCUGAUUCAUAAGCCUACAUCAAUUUUGAUUUUGAGUUAAGUGAUUAAUUUUCAAGGUUUGCUUACUUAACCGGCGACUAAUUUCUUGUAACUAAAUGUAUCAUAUGAUGCAGGAAGCAGGGCAAGAUAUGAAAUGAGAAGCUUAUUAGUGGAAGGAUUGCCAGAAACAGAACCCAAAGAAAAUGAAAACAUUUCAAGGCAGCAGUUGGCAGCUGGCAAUGAAUGGAGGCCCUUGAAAAAAUUCCCAAGCCGUUGCACUGCAAUUACGAUCAUCCUCGGCCUCAGGUAAUUUCUUCUCCUGCAUUUUUGUUAUUUGCUAUCAAGUGACAUUCGUAAGUAUGAUUGCAUUAAGCUGCUGCUGGGAAAUUUGAGGUUUUGAUGGCUGCCCAUGCUAUUGUCAGAAGCUGCAGUUCUUUUCAUCAGCCUGAACCUGGACCUGUCGCCAUGGAUAACUCAGGUUUUUUUUUUUUUUAAUCAACUACGGCAUCUUUUCCACUGUUUUGAAACUCUUAAGAUUAAACUUUAGUAAUGUUGUUUUAGUUAUCCAUGUAAUCAGGCUGAGGAUACUUAGCAGCCUAUUUAGGCAAAUGUCAGAAUUUAGUUUGUUCGCUGGGAAUUGGUGUGGACUGGCAAAGGAUGAUGAGAUAGUUUUUUGAGUGAGUAAAUUUUGGGAGCUUGAGUGUAUUGGGAUUUGCAAUUACAAUCAUCGUCUGCCUCAGGUGAUUUCUUCUCCUGCUCUGUCAUUGUUUGUUCUCUAAUUCAAAAGCAUAAAAUAUUUCAAUCAAAUUGUAUGCCAGGAAUAUGCAAAAGUUUCUAAUAUUUUAUUUCCAUCUGUUUGCCUUGAUAACUUUGCUGCAUAUGUACUAGUUAAAGAACAAAUCGAAACAGAGCUCAGUUAAAAGUUUCUUCUGCCGUCAUAUUUGAAAAAUGAAACCAUUUCCAGGAAGCAAUGGGCAGCAAAUUCAUAUAAAGCAUAGACAAUGAUGAGCAAAAAGGUGAUUCACAAUUUCACUUUUUUUAAUGAAAUUAAUUGUUUGGUUGGAGCGGAUAUUGUUAGAAGGCCAUUGAGCUAACCUAUGUCACUACUUGCCUAGAUUACAGGGGGUCAAAUAAGGCAUCCAAUAAUUCUUGUGGCCAUAUAUCAAUUCAUGUAAGUUCGAAUGUAAUUAUUGGUGAAGGGGUUUCACUUCCCGUCUCUAAAUAAAAAUACUGAUUCUUUAAGGUACAUGCCACUAGGGAUUGCGAGAUUAACGAGUCUUUGGACAUUGGAAGAGCUCCUUGUAGUGGAGGAGGAGGUGUUGAUGGUAGCAAAGCAUGUGGGCAGUGGGCUUGAAUCUCUUAAAAACUUGGAACUCCUCCAAGCGUAAGUAUACGUAUACUGGGAAAUGUGUUAGAUGUGGAUGAGGCUAAGAGAUUAGAGCUUGACAAAAUGAAAUAACUCUUUCAUUGAGACUUAAAUUUGAUGGGGAAGAAGAAAAAGAAGAGGGAAGGAGGAAGAAUGAGGAUAAUCAACUUGUUCUUGAAGCCUUGCAACCACCUCUGAAUUUGAAGGAAUUAGAGAUUUGGUCAUACGGAGGCAACAUUGUUUCCCCCCGGAUGAUGCAAAAAUUGAAGGAAUUUACCAAUCUAAGGAGUUUGACACUCUUUAAAACUGCAAAAAUUGAGAAAAGUUGCCUCCUUUGGGAAAAUUGUGAUCCUUUGAAAAUCUCAGCAUAUUGUACAUGGAGAGUGUGAAAACAGUGGGUAAUGAAUUUCUGGGAAUAGAAAGUGAUCUUCAUGACUCAUCUUCAUCUUCAUCAGUGAUUAUUGCCUUCCCCAAAUUGAAAUCACUUUCAGUUGAGGGAUUGAUGGAAUUGGAGGAGUGGGAUUAUGGGAUUAAAAGAACAGGAAACACCUCCACCAACAUUAUGCCACGUCUUUCUUCCUUGGAAAUUAGUGUGGGGUUAUGGGAUCGCACAACGACGUUGAAGGUAUUGCAGAUUGUGGCAUGUGGUACUCUAAGAAGACGUUACAGACAGGGGAGAGCAGAAGACUGGCCUAAGAUCUCUCACAUUCCAGACAUCAUGAUUGUGUGAAAAGAUGCCCGUGACAAAAUUCUCUAGGCGGCUACAUGGAGUACAAUCAUAAAAUGCUAAUGUGGCCACCCUGGUUCUUAAUUAAGGUUGUGAAAUAUUAUUGUAAAAGAUGAUUAAUUCAAUUUGAGUUAUUCGUUUGCUUUGAUAAUGAUAGUAAUUUUAUAUUUUGACAAUUUGCAGGGUGAGAAUGGUGCUGAUUGGUGAUACAGGAUAUGGUUCAAACACCAUUGAAUAAAGCUACGGACAUGGUGGCUCAACUUAGCUAGAUUGCUGUCAAAAUUGGUAAGUUGGCUUGUCAAUGUAUUGAUGCUUUUGUUUUCUCUCAACCCUAAUUACCUUAACUUCAUUUAGUUUGGCUUUGGAGUUGAGUAAAUUCUGGCCUCUUCCGAAAAAAAAAGCUUAAUUUGCUACUGAUCACGUGUUACCAAUUAUUUAAGGUAAUUCUCGCUUACUUGCUUCUGCACUAUAGAGUACGUGUUCUGGCUGGUUUAUCUAAUUCAUCAAAUGUUAUUUCCUUAUUGUUCCAUUGAUAUAUUUGUUAGAAAGUGAAACCAUUUCCAGGCAGCAGUUGGCAGUGAAUUCAUGCAAAUGUUGGUGCCAUUCAUAGAUAUUGAAGACAAUGAUGAGCCAAAGGUGAUAAAUCAUUAAUGCAUAGUUACCAAAACCUCCAUCCUUCUCUCAUUGUAAUUUGAUUUUAAAUGAAUAAUUGCUAGGUAAUUGAAGCCAAUAUUGUUAGAAACGGUGUUGAGCUACCCAAGCUAAGAAGUUAGCUGCCAAAAAAUGCAGGGGAUUAAAAGAAGCAUUGCAUUUGAAAAGGAAUGAGAUUCUGGUUGCUACAUGUCAAUUCGUAGAAGUUUCAAUAAAUUUAAUGGUUCAAGAUUGUUAGUUUCUGUUUAAAUUUGUGCUACUGCAGUGCUACAACGCUGCUACUGGGAAAUUUGAAUCCCAUAUUAGACUUUCCUCACAUCAGAAGCUGUGGAUCUUGAGACAUCAGGUUUUUUCACAGUUCUGAAACUCUCAGGAUUAAACUCUAUUAAAGUUGUUGUAGUUGUCUACGUUCUCAGGUCAAGGAUUCUAAGCUGCCGAUUAAGCAUUGCGCAUUUUCAUUUGUCCGAUUCAAGAGGAACGUCACAGAAAGGGGUAAAGAAAAGAGUAGCCUAAGAUAUUAAAGACAAUGUUGAGCCAAAGGAAACAUAAAUCCCAACCAUUGCAUGUGAACAUGAUCACAAUAAGGUCAAGAACCUACCAAACCAUUUUUUUGAGAAUUUUCAAUUGAAAGUGAAACCUUUUGAUAUUUACCUAAUAAAGUUAGUUAAACGAGAGAAAUAAAGGGGGAAAGAAAAGUUGACUCUAAGUCAAUACAGAAUAAUUAGUUCAAUACAGAAUAAUUGCUGUAAAAUAUUAAAUAGUUUUAUUUUUCUUUUAUCGUUUAACUUGGACCAAAAAAGGAAAUGAGUUUAACACGACCCUCAUUCUGCUUCUUGCUUUGGUUUCAAACAAGUCUUUCUCCUUUAUGACAUUUAUUGUAAUUUCAUUUGGAGACAUAUGUCUGUCGUUCAAAUAUAUUUCAUACGCAAGCUGUUAAUAAUUCUGCUUGCAGAAAGCCUACAAAGCAGCUGUGUGAUGUAAUAGAAGACCAUAGAUAGUCUCGUCAAUUUUUCAACAUUAGAUAUUCAGGUCAUCAGCUUCUCAUGAAUUCUUUCCUGAGUUUCUUUGAAUUAUUUGUGAUGUAAUAACUUGUGCAUUUGAGAAACUGUUCUCUUGAAUUCUUUCUUGAGUUUCUUUGAAUUAUUUGUGAAUAAGUUGUUAAUCGGCUGCUUCUCUUCAGGAUAAGGAAAGUGUUGCAAACUGGUGAAGCAGCUGAUAGAUAAAAGCAAUGGGUACAUCUUUGCUGGCAUGGAUCGAUGCCAGUGCGGCUGAAUUCAGCAAGACUGCCGUUCGUGAUGUUGUUGAUUGGGAUUACAUUAAGGAUGAUGACAACAUUGAUUAAAAUGGGACGUGAAGAUAUAUGGUGUGCAAAUUAACCCAACCCAACCAAACCCGUACAUUUUAUCAACCCAACCCAACCUGUAAAAAAUCACACGGGUUAGGUUAGUUUCACGGAUUGGGAGGUUGGUGCCCACCCCUAAAUAUAACCUCCAUUUCAGCACAAUGCAUGUUAAUUGUUCCCCAAGGACUUCUCCUGAUUCCCAUUCCCAACCUCCAUGCUCUUGAGAGGAAUUUAGCACCCAUCAAUUUUUAUUUUUGAAAACUCGUAAUGGUCUGAUAAAAUUAAACAACAUCAAUAAUGUUACCAGUCUUUAAAUAGUAAUUAAUUUAUUUAAUUUGCCACCUAAAAGAAUCCUGCUGGAAAUAGAGGUUAAAAAUUUUAUUAGAUCUGCUUACCUUUGUUCAUUCAGCAAAAACACUUACAAUUCACAGCUAGAGAAUCUAUCCAUUGACAAUUGUGGAUUAAAAUUAUAACACCUGAAUUCCAACAUAUCCUUAUGAAGUUAUGAAUUUGUUCAUACUUCAAAUGAUUUUUUUUUCCCAAGCUAAUAAAGCUACCACUUUGAUCAAACGACGACGUUGAAGGAAUUGCGUAUUUUCAAUGUCCUUUUCCAGACAGACGUUCGAGAGAGAGAAAGGAGAAGACUGGCCUAAUUAAGAUAUCUCACAAAGAUUAUUAUUGAGUUAAAAUGUUAUUGUAAAAGAUGUAUAAUACAAUAAUAGUAAUUCUUUUGCAUUGUUAUAAUGAGGCUGGUGGGUUUCCUCAGAGGAUGGAUCUUGCUCGCUAGUAUGCAUUUGGGAAGCUGCUAAUUAUUGGCCAUAAAAAGUCAGGGGGUUGUGGCUCUUCCGUCGCCCAGAAAUUCCUCAACUCAUAUCUCAAACUUCAGAUGAACUUGGGCAUUAUGUAAAUAUGUAUUUUGAGAAUUAAACUAGUGCCUUAGAAAAAAUUUGAGCCAUUGUAAUCAUUUUAUUUUGCUAAGGGAAAAUUUUACUUUGUGUUUCGCUUUGACUUUUUUUUUUUUGCCUUGUGAUAAUAAGAUUCAUACGAAAGUGAUUACACGCCUAUCAUGCAUCUAUUUUCAUUUGCUUGUCAUGAGAGAUCAACAUGCUCGAAAUAAUUACUUAGGUUGGAAAUAUUUGAAUCCACUAAAAUACUAUACAAACCCAUUUUAAAAUUAAAAAAAUGAUUAUCAUAAUACUUGUGAAGAUAACACGAUAUCAUACAUAAAAUAAAAUAUUUCGCAAAAAAGAUACGAUACAAAUCUUGAGUAAACAGGUACAAAAAAUAUUUUUUUUUGGUUAAACCACGAGGUACAAAAAAUAUUUUAGUGGGUUAAGUAGCACUAAUGCCCCCUUAUCAAAAAAUAUAGAAAAAUAACUAGUUUGAUUGGGUAUACCGUUUAUAUAUAUGUACAUAUUCUUGAUAAUGUGUAAUGUAUAUUAUAGACAAAGAUUUUGAAAGCAAUAUUUUUUGGUAUUAUUAUAUAAUAUUUUUUAAAAAGUUGAGAGAAUAGGCAAAGUCCAAAUCAACUUUCUAAUCCCUACCUCCUUUAUGAUUUAAACUUUAGCGUUUAGUGUCGCGAGCCACUCAAAUUUUCUAAUCAAAGAGACUAAAUUGCACGAAAUUGUGCUAGCUUAUUUGAUUCUAGAAAUUUCCAGUACACUGUAACACACUCUCAGGCUUGUACAUACCUCGAAAUUCUCUAGAAUUAAUUUACUAGAGUAGUGUUGCAUGUAGCUUGUACAUAGGUUUUUCUGGAACACUUCAGGUAUUACUAAGCAUGAGAGCUUUGAGAACUCUCUAGCCAUAAAACAUUCUAGGGUAUGUCUACCCUAAAAAUUGGGCAUGAUGCUUGCCACUUGAGCAUACAACAAGUAAGAACAAAUCAAGCAUACUUGUAAGCUCUCAAACUCUCUUAUACACACUUUUAUGAAUAAUAUACUUUCUCUUUGGCUAUAUUGCUCUCUCUUCUCUCUAGUUUUUUCGCAAGCAUCAUACCUUAGUUAGUCGAAAAGUUCAAGGCUUACUUUAUAGCUAUCUCACAAAAGUUGUUUAAGUACCACAUGGAUUUGCUGUGUAAAAUACUCAUCACAUGACAUUAGCUAAAUAGAUUUGUUUGAAAGCCACUUACCCAAACUAUUAAACGAAUAUUAACUUUUGUCUUAAUUUUCUAUCACCUAUGAUAAAAUUUAUAAUUAAAAAUUGAAAAAAUUAAUAACUAUUAGAUAGAGCAUUCUUUACUGUUAAAAGAAAUCUAUAUAGAUAGAUAGAUGGUAAUAUAAAAACUUACUUAUUGUAGUAUAAUGUUUUUAGUUUUUUGAAACAUAGAUUCUUACUUUUUUAAGAUAAAAUUCAAAGAAAACAAGUUAAAUGUUGUGGAAAAUCUUCCAGCCAUACAAGAAAUUGUGAUAGCUAAAUGCAAACCUAACUAAAGUAUUAGUUGUUUUAUUACAAUCUCCAAAAAGAUGAGCAAUUCCAAAAUAUUUUUUUGUAACAAUAAACACUAUAGGUCAGCAAUUAUCCAAGUCAAAAGCAAGCUACUCUAUUAAAAAAAAAAAAAACUUGUAGUGAAUCUGAAGAUAAACCAAUUUUACUAGCAAGUUGGAUACCAAAGAGUAGGGCUUCAGCCUCAAUUACUCAAUGUACCAACAACACAGUCUCGGUGAGUUAAAAUCAACUUCUACCACUCUUUUACUUGCUGAUAGAUCGAUUAAGGUACCAAAAGGAAUAAUCGAAGAUGUAUUAGUUCGAGUUGAUAAAUUCAUAUAUCCUGUGGAUUUUAUUGUUUUGGAAACUGAACCAAUUGCUAAUGAAUGCAAACAAAUUCCUGUUACAUUGGGUCGUCCAUUUUUAGCUACUGCUAAUGCAUUGAUUAAUUGCUGGAAUGGAGUAAUGAGUUUAUCUUUCGGCAACAUGACAUUGGAACUCAAUGUGUUCAACAUAUGUAAACAACCUCACCACCAGGAAGAUGAUGAUAAUGAGAAUGAGGAGAUUGAUUUCAUCGAGCCAAUCAUUGAUGAACACAUUCAGAAUAAGAAUUUUACAAACUCAGUGGAAAUUUAUUCUGCUCGUUCUUUUGAAUCGAGUAAGAAAUUAGAUUACGAUACUGAUAACAUAUACCCUACACUUGAUUCUAUGCAGGUACUUGCUGACGGUGACCAAUCAAACUUUAAAAAUACAGAACAAUCUAAAGAACCAAACGAAGAGGAAGUACCAGAGCUCGAAUUAAAGCCCUUACCGGAAGAAUUGAAGUAUGCCUAUCUUGGAGAAUAACAAACUUAUCCGGUGGUAAUUUCUUCCCAACUCACGCAUGAUCAAGAAGGUAAGUUGUUGUCUGUACUAAAAAGGCAUAAAACUGCAUUUGGUUGGACCUUAAAAGACAUAAAAAGUAUUAAUCCUUUAAUCUGCACACACCGAAUACACUUAAAGGAAAAUACCAGAACAACCCGUUAACAUCGACAUUAUCAGUGUAAACAUUAAAUACCAAAAUCAACCCCAAAAACUAUAACUAAACUAUCAUGACUAAAAUAAAGUUUUUUUUUUUUAGAUAUUCGUUGUAGUAUCUCUUUAGAUGACAAACAAGAGAUAAAAUACAUAAAUAUUUGCUGUGUAAAUAAAAAUAAAUAAUUUUUUUGAACUGAAAAAUAUUCUCAAAAACUAAAUAGUUCAAACUUUUUUUAACAUUAUCGGUUCUGGACCUGAACCGAACCGUGAACCGUAAACUGCCCACCCUUACGUAGUUGUUUCCGUUAACCGAUGUUGUAUUGCUGGUAUAAAAUUGUUCAAAUGUUCAAAUCACAGUCUCCCGCUCUCAGCUCAGUCAGAGUUUCAGGUCCAGAGACUUCCCGCUGACUGAGAGCUUUUUUGUAGCAGUUCUACAAAUAAUGGAGUAGAGCUGAUUUUAUGAUUAAUUUAUUUCCUUUUUCAAUUUCUUAUGAUUGCGAUUUAAUCUGGAAAGUUAAACGUGAAUUGUUUAGUGCGGAUUAAAUGUUCGACGAAUUUCCCGCAAGAGUAUUAAGUUAAAGAGAAAAAAGAAAACAAUUGAGCGUGAGCGUGAGCGUGAGCGAGAAUGGUGUUUGGGCAAGUGGUGAUUGGUCCGCCCGGCUCGGGAAAGACCACUUACUGCAAUGGCAUAACUCAGUUUCUCAGCCUUGUUGGCAGGUAACUUCGUUUCUUGAUUUCAAGCAGCUUUAUCUUUGAUGACCAAAAAAAUUGAUUUGGGCUUUGCCCAUUAAAUGAAUGUAAGAGCGGUAGGGAAUAACUGAGUUAUAGGAUUAGCUUUAAGUGAACAUUGAUGGUAACAUGCGCGUGAAGGUUGUAUGUGUUCAGUGGCAAGCUGUAUGCCAAUUUGGUCUAUAUGGUUGCUUAGGUAGUAACUUAUUAAUUUUUACGCAGGAAGGUUGCAGUCAUCAAUUUAGAUCCUGCUAAUGAUAGUUUGCCGCAUACUUUGUCAUUGAACUUUCUUACAAAUGCUGUGGUUUGUUGUAGUAUAAUUAGUUCAAUUGGAAACUUCCUUGAUGUUAAUAUAGAAAUGAGUGUGCUGUGAAUAUUGAGGACCUCAUUAGACUAAGUGAUGUGAUGAUGGAGUAUUCACUUGGUCCCAAUGGAGGUUAGUCAGCCUAUUGUUGUUUACUCUUUCUUGCUUUAUCACGCAAUGAUAUUCCUUUGCUUUACAACAAAUUUCGUGAAAUUAACUUCAAUCAAGUGGCAAUGUUCAUAUGCUGUUGAGAUUUUAUGGACAAUGAUUGGUAGACUUUAUAUGCCGUCUUCUUUCUUUUUGCAGUGAUAUGCUUGUAUUCAAUGAGCAUGUACUUAUUCUAUGGUUUCUAAAGUAGGUGUUUUUAUGAUAAACUAGGUCUUGUGUAUUGUAUGGACUAUCUAGAGAAGAAUAUUGACUGGCUGCAGUCGAAAUUAGAACCACUUUUGAAAGGUAAGAAGAGGCCAUUUUCCUUCAUUCUAAUGCCAAUAAUGCUGUCAUGAGACUCAUAAAAAUGUUAAAACGUUAAUGUUUUUGGUAUUUUGCAGAUCAUUAUCUUCUGUUUGAUUUUCCUGGCCAAGUUGAAUUAUUUUUUCUUCAUUCCAAUGCCAAGACUGUUAUAAUGAGACUCAUAAAGAAGUUAAAUCUCAGGGUAUUGUUACAUCUUACAUCUAUGAAGGGACUCAAAGAGUUGAGAUGAAUUCAUCUUUGUUAUUUUGAUGCCAGAAUUGUGCAAUUCUCAGUUGGUUCCUUGCACAUGCAGUUGACUGCAGUGCAUCUAGUUGAUGUGCAUCUUUGCAGUGACCCCGGGAAGUAUGUUAGUGCUUUGCUUCUCUCAUUGUCUACGAUGCUACAUCUGGAACUUCCCCAUGUCAAUGUCUUGUCUAAUCGAUCUGAUUGAGAAUCAUGGAAAGCUAGGUGUGGUUUUAAGUGUAUCUCUCCUACUUGUUUGUUUAGUUUGAAAUAUCAGAUAUUGUCACAAGCUCCUAUUUGCUACAUUUCCUCACCAAUCAAUUACUUUGGGUAUGUUGCAGCUUUUAAUCUCGAGUACUAUACAGAUGUGCAAGAUUUGUCAUAUUUACAGCAUGCUCUCGGUCAGGACCCUCAUUCUGCUAAGUACAGGUUUGAAUUCUAGCUGAAUCAAUGAUGCAAAUUAUGUUCAUUGCUAUUUCUGCUGUUGUUUCUAUCAUUUUCAAUUGUUACCUCCCCUUGCCAUCUACUGCCACACUGCAAUGCCUACACAAAUGUUAUGAAAUUUGUCAAUGGCAAUGCCAUCCUGUUUGUCCAGAGACAGCUCUUAGAUGCAAGUGAACAAUUUUUGGCUUUGGCCGUAGUACAGCCUUAGAUUUCAACUUGCCAUAUCUUGUCUCGGAAGUCAAAAGAAAGCGUAUAUGUUAGCCAAAUUUUAUUUGAAUUUAUUAAGUAACAAUGAAUGGGUCAGAAAAACAGUUCCUCUUUUGUUUUGAUCAGACUCAAUGAAUAAGUGUUUAAAAUGUGCCUGUCCUAAAAAUAUAGAUGUGUGGUUUCACAAAAUUUUCUUGAUCUUAAGAAAGAGUUAUCUUGAAAAGAAGAUAACAUGGAGAAUUCAGCAACUAUACAGUCAUAUUGAUGUCUGUCAACUUGGGUCAGAUGGUGUCGUUUGGAUGGAGAUGUUAGGUCCCAGAUGGUAUGCUUGUUAUCAAAUUCCAGUCUAAUUCAUUCAUGCUUUGAUGACAUAUGCGGUGCAGCUUCUUAUCUAAGACCUGUAUAUGUUCAGUCAUCAUUCAGUUCUGUAUUUGGCUGUCAUUCUUUCAAUGAAUUCAAACCACUUUCUGAAUACUUGCAAGGGAAAUUAUCAUUCGUAUACCCUAUAUUUACUCUGUUAUCAAAAAUACUACAACACUUUGAGGGUGUAUCAAUCGUCCACCAUAAGUUGACAAAAUGUAUCAACCGACCACCAAACCGUUAAUUGUCGUUUGAAAGUUAACGGAAUUACAGUGAAUUGACGAUUUUACCCUUGAAAAUUAUCACUUGUAUACCCAUAAAAUUCUCUUUUUAGCACUUGUAUACCCUUAAAUUAUCACUUGUAUCAUAUGAAAAGACCAAAUUACCCUUCUGAUGUUAUCAUAUUUAAACGGCAACUAACGGUUUGGUGGUCGGCUGAUACAUUUUGUCAACUUAGGGUGGACGAUUGAUACACCCUCAAAGUGUUGUAGUAUUUUUGAUAAUUGAGUAAACUAAGGGUAUACAAGUGAUAAUUUCCCUACUUGCAAAUUCAUCCAGUGUUGUCAUUGAGAUGCCAAUAUGUAAAGGAGCAAUAGUUGCCCUUGAUAGUAUGCUUAUUGAUUGCCUCUUGCCUCACUCAGCCUAAGGAAUCUGGUUGUAUGGUGUUCUUGUAAUUUCAUUUGGAGAUAAGUAAUAUCUGUUGUUCAAAUGUAUUUUAUAUACAACCAGUUCAUAAUUCUGCUUGCAGAAAGCUUACAAAGGAGCUGUGUGAUGUAAUAGAAGACUACAGUCUGGUCAAUUUUUCAACUUUAGAUAUUCAGGUCAUCAGUUUCUCUUGAAUUCUUUCUUGAGUUUCUUUGAAUUAUUUGUGAAUAAGAUCUUAGUUGGCUGCUCCUCUUCAGGAUAAGGAAAGUGUGGCAAAACUCGUGAAGCUGAUAGAUGAAAGCAAUGGGUACAUCUAUGCUGGCAUGGAUGCCAGGGCAGUUGAAUUCAGCAAGAUUGCCGUUCGCGAUGUUGAUUGGGAUUAUUUCGGAUAUCCUUCUUUUCACCUAUUUUCAAUCUUGUUAUUCUCAUAUUCAUAAAACAUUUUGGUUAUUUAAUUAUGGUUCAUCAUAUGCAUCUGCAUCUUCUAACUUGUUCGUUUGAGAAACUAAUUUUGCCGUUAGGUAGGCUUCAAGCUUGAUUCAUGCUUUUUUCAAAAAUGUACCAAAAUCAUGGAAACUUCUUUUUCCCAGAUAUUGUAUCCACACUUUUCCCAUAUAAUUGGGUCAGACAAGUUUUGCUUAACAAAGAUAUCUACAGUAGCCGAAGUGCAGGAGAAGUACAUUAAGGAUGAUGACGAUGUUAACUAAAAUGGGACGUGAAGAUAUGUGGUGUGCAAACCGUAAGCCUGCCUCUUAUUUUUGUGCAUGUUUACUUGCUUGUGAUUCACGUUUGUUAAUCUAUUUUGCUCUCUUGCAGGAGUUAUAAAGUUUUCAAUCAAUCAAACAUUUAACUCAAGUCCUUAGCUCUUCACGGCUUGAAUGGGUCAGAUAGGACAAGCGCCGAAGAGGUGGUUUUAAUCAAACCCCUCCUAAUUAUGAUGUAUGGUCCAAAUCUCGGACUUUCUGUACAAUAUCGAGCGAUUCGGACCUUUCAAGUCGAAUAUUGAUUUUUCUCCAGUAUUGUUUGUAAUUACAAGAAACGAAGUAAUGAAAUUUAUCACUGCGUUCAUAGUUAUGCUUAAGCUCAAAGAUUACCGUCAAGAUCAUUUUGGGCCCUCAAAGAAACAUGAUGUUGACACAUGUAAAAUUAUGAAGCUUGUGAUUAAAAUACUUUUGACAUAUAUAUGUUAAGUACUAUUAAUAAUUAAACAUAUGAAUAAAUAUGGUCAAUGAGGAGAGGAUAAAAUAAAAUGGUUUCAUUUUUUGAAUUACUCAACCGCUUCAAACUUCUAAGAAGUAGAUAUACAAUGAGUGGAAUACUGAAUUGAGUGCGAGCUGCGGAUAACUUAUAAAAUUGGGAUGCAAGCUUCAAGGAAAGUGUAUUGCUAUUCAAAUGUAGAUUUCAAAUUAGGAAGAUAUGCCAGCAAAUUGUAUAAAAAUGUAUAAAUUGAUCAGUAACAUUAAUUCCAAAUGAUGAAAUGAGUUAUCUUGAUCAAAAGGUCAAGAACCUACCUUACUUCUCUUAGAGAUAACUUGCAUCAACCGUUGUGGUAUUCAUACUUGUCUUCAGCUAGUAAAAGUGAAAGUUUCACAAUUGAAAUAAAGCUAAGGGAAGAUGCUAUGCUGCAUUUAUUAUUAUUAUUAUUGAUGUGGUCGAGAAGUAAAGCCAUGCAUAUGAUGAAGUAUAAAUAAGAAUGCAAUAGCCCGGAAUUCAUUUUCACAAACACUUCAAUAUCCUUUUGAUCACUUUUGCAAACAUCAAUUUGUCUCCUCUUGUAUUCACCAUGGUUGAUGCCGUCAUUUCCCCUCUCGUGGAGCAGCUGACUUCCUUCGCUGCUAAAGAGAUAAUACAACAGGUGAUCGAAGUUAAACCCCCCAUAUUAUAAAUACUUCUAAUGAUUUUAAUUGGUUUUGUUUUUAUCGAAAACAUUAACUUUGCUUUAUUUUACUUAUUUAGGCAUUUUAAAUUUUGAAAUUUGAAUUGAAUUUAAUUAAAAUGUGAUGUAGUUAGUAACCACUUUUUUUUAUUUCAUUUAAAUUCUCAAUAACUACCUAUAUUUUGGUAACUUACUGUAACCCCCGUAUCUAAGAAAUGAUCAAAACCCACAAUUUUAACUCCACAUAAAUAUUCCAUGUUGAGCUAAGUUCGAUGUUGAGGUAAGUUUUUGCAUAACAUUCAAGUUUGUCAAAUAGUCAUUAAUUAAAUGUUUAGUAAAAACUUAUCUCUGAAAAAUUUCAUAAUUUUCUUACAUUCUUUGAGUUUGGUAAGUGACUUCAUAUAAUUUCCUUUCAAUUUAAAUUUUAAUUUGGUUUCUGAUAUAGUCUCUUUACUGAAUUUAUAUCUUUUAUGAUUCUUGGAUUUGGGGCUCCAACUUUUUAGGAUUUGAUAGUCACAUUUUAUGGCAUGCUUAGAUUGAUUUUCAUGAUUUUUAGUACUCGUUAAGUGACUGAGAAUUUGACAAAAGUUUGAAAGGAAAUCCGUUUCACGAUUCUUAUGUGGAAGGUUCAUAAAAUCAUUAAAUUUGGAUAGGAUUCAUUAGCAAUAUGUACAAGACUCUCCAUGAAGUUUCGUAAUUUUUCAUUCGGUCUGGGGUGGUACAGGUAAAGCUUGUGGUUGGUGUUGAAAAAGAAGUGAAAAGCCUUACCAGCCACCUUCAAGCCAUUCAAGCUGUUAGCGAUGAUGCAGAGGAAAAGCAAGUGAAGGACAAAGCUAUUAGACUUUGGCUGGGUAGGCUCAAGUACGCAUCCUACGACAUUGAAGAUGUGUUGGAUGAAUGGAUCACGGCAAGAGGCAAAUUGCAAAUUAAGGGUGGCGCUGAUAAGAAAAAGAAGGUUUGUUUCUGCUUUCCCGCCUCUUGUUUUGGAUUCAAACAAGUCUUUCUACGUCAUGACAUUGCCAACAAGAUCAAAGAAGUCAGUGAAGAGCUACAUGAUAUUGCCACCCAAAAAGACAUGUUUAAAUUUGAGAGUAGCAGUAAAAGUAGUGAAAGACCAAGGCGUGUGCAGAGUACCUCCUUGAUUGAUGAGGAAGAGAUUUGUGGUAGAGUUGGUGAGAGGAAUGCACUCUUAAGCAUGCUGUUGUGUGAGAGCAGUGAGCAACAAAAAGGCCUUCAUAUCAUCUCAAUUGUUGGUAUGGGAGGCAUCGGGAAAACAACUCUUGCACAACUAGCAUGUAAUCAUGUUGAGGUAAAGAGAGAGUUUGACAAAAUUUUAUGGGUGUGUGUAUCAGAAACUUUUGACGAGUUUAGGAUUGCCAAAGCGAUGCUUGAAGCUUUGACUGGUUCAACUUCUAAUUUAGAUGCAUUGCAAUCUCUUCUUAUAAGUAUUGAUGAAUCUAUUGCGGGAAAGAGAUUUCUUCUUGUCUUAGAUGACGUGUGGGACGGAGAUUACAUUAAAUGGGAACCAUUCUACCGUUGCCUAAAGAAAGGUCUCCAUGGAAGUAAAAUUUUAAUUACGACACGUAAGGAGUCAAUUGUGAGCAUGAUGAGAUCCACAGAUAUUAUCUCUAUCAAGGAAUUGGCUGAAGAAGAAUGUUGGGCAUUGUUUAAGCGGUUAGCAUUUUUCGGUCGUUCCACUGAGGAGUGUGAAAAAUUGGAACAAACUGGUCAAAGAAUUGCAAGAAAGUGUAAAGGUUUACCUCUUGCUGCAAAGACAAUGGGAAGUCUCAUGAGCUCUAAAAAAAUUGAAGAAGAGUGGAAAAGAAUUUUAAAUAGUGAUUUAUGGAAGGUAGAAGAGAUCGAGAAAGGUGUUCUAACCCCUUUGUGGUUGAGUUAUAACGAUUUGCCAUCUAGAGUAAAAAGAUGUUUCUCGUAUUGUGCUGUCUUUCCAAAAGACUACAAUAUAGAAAAAGACAAACUAAUUACUUUGUGGAUGGCUCAAGGUUAUCUUAGUGCAGAAGCAGCAGAACAAGAUGAGGAGUUGGAGACUAUAGGUGAAGAGUAUUUUGGCAUCUUAGCUUCUCGCUCUUUCUUUCAAGAGUUUGAGAAACGUUAUGAUAAUCGUAUUAUAGCGUGCAAGAUGCAUGAUAUGGUACAUGAUUUUGCCCAAUUUGUUAGUCAAAAUGAAUGUUUUUCGUUGGAAGUUAAUGGUAGUGAGGAACUAAACGUCACAAACUCUACAAACUCUCUUGAUGAGAAGGUCCGUCAUUUAAUGUUAAUCUUUAGUAAAGGGGCUUCAUUACCGGUUUCCACUCUUAGAGUUAAAAGAAUGCGUACCCUCUUAAUUAACGAUAGUAGAUCUGAUCAUUCAUUAUUAAAUGGUGAGAUCCUAGAAGAAUUAUUUAGGGAGUUGACAAGUUUAAGGGCAUUAGAUUUUGGCAAAUCGUAUAACUCAAGUUGGUAUUCGACUCUGGAGAUUCCGAGAAACAUAGAAAAGCUGGUACAUUUAAGAUACCUUAAUUUGUUUUAUCAGGGAAUAAAGAAACUACCGGAGACAUUAUGCGAGUUGUAUAAUCUAGAAAAGUUAGAUAUUAGUUUAUGUUUUAAUCUUAAAGAAUUACCUGAAGGGAUUGGGAAGUUAAUAAACAUGAAGCAUUUACGAAAUAGAGGUACUAGUUCUUUAAGGUACAUGCCAGUAGGGAUUGGGAGAUUAACGGGUCUCAGGACCUUGGAUGAGUUCCACGUGAGUGGAGGAGGAGGUGUUGAUUGUAGGAAAGCAUGUAGGCUUGAAUCUCUCAAAAACUUGGAAAACCUUCGAGUGUGUGGUAUAUGUAGACUGGGUGAUGUAUCAGAAGUGGGCGAGGCUAAGCGAUUAGAACUUGACAAAAAGAAAUACCUCUCUUGUUUGAGACUUCGGUUUGAUAAGAAGAAAGAAGAAGGAGAAAGGAGGAAGAACGAGUACGAUCAACUUCUUCUUGAAGCCCUACAACCACCUCUCAAUUUAAAGGAAUUAGAGAUAGAGUACUACCGAGGCAACACUGUUUUCCCCAGCUGGAUGACGUCAUUAACCAACUUAAAGAGUUUAGAUCUCUCUUCCUGUGAAAAUUGCGAGCAGCUGCCUCCUUUGGGAAAAUUGCCAUCCCUUGAAAAUCUCCACAUAUAUCGCAUGGAGAGUGUGAAAAGAGUGGGUGAUGAAUUUUUGGGGAUAGAAAGUGAUCAUCAUGGCUCAUCUUCAUCGGUUAUUAUUGCCUUCCCCAAAUUGAAAUCACUCACAAUUUCUUUGAUGCUGGAAUUGGAGGAGUGGGAUUAUGGGAUUACAAGAACGGGAAACACCGUCAUCAUCAUCAUGCCACGUCUUUCUUCCUUGACAAUUGGGAAUAGUCCCAAAUUAAAGGCACUGCCCAACCACAUUCAUCAAACGACAACAUUGAAGACAUUGCGCAUUUGGAGGUGUGACCUUCUGGAAGAACGUUACCGCAAGGGGGAAGGAGAAGACUGGCCUAAGAUAUCACACAUUCCCAAUCUCCAUUUUGGGCUUUGACAAGUAAUUUCUUCUCUUACUCUGAUUUGCUUUGUUGUUGUUUUUAAUCUAAUUAAGAAGCGUAAAUAGCAUUUUGAAUCAAACUCUAUAUCAGAAAUCUGCAAUACUUACUUUCUAAUAUUCUGAUUUUCAUAUCCUAUGAAUAUACGAUUUUUAAUUUGUGGGAUGGGUAACGUUACUGUAAAAGAUUAUUAAUGCAAUAUGAGUAAUUCUUUUGCAGGACAAGUGGCCUACAUUUAGUUUGGCUUUGGAGUUGAAUAAUAACCUUUCGAGGUCCCGACAACCAAAAAACGAAACUUAAUUUGCCACAGAUUGCACGUAUUGCCAUUAUUGACAAUUUUCUGCACAAGCUUAGGUUGAUGUCAAAAGAGGUAAAUUAUUGGCAUGCCUGACUAUUUUGACCAUUACAUGAUUCAUAAGUUUACAUUAAUUUUGAUUUUGAGUUGAGUGAUUAAUUUUCUAGGUUUGCUUACUUUAACUGGGUGACCAAUUUCUUGUAACCAAAUGUAUGAUGUGAUGCAGGAAGCAGGGCAGGACAUGAAAAGAGAAGCUUAUUAGAGGAAGGAUUGCCAGUAACAGAAUCCAAAGAAAAAGAAACCAUUUCGAGGCAGCAGUUGGCAGUUGGCAGUGAAUGGAGCCCCUUGAAAAAACCCCCAAGCGGUUGCACUGCAAUUACGAUCAUCCUCGGCCUCAGGUAAUUUCUUCUCCUGCAUUUUUGUUAUUUGCUAUCAAGUGACUAUUUUAAGUAUGAUUGCAUUAAGCUGCUGCUGGGAAAUUUGAGGUUUUGAUGACUGCCCAUGCUAUUGUAAGAAGCUGCGGUUCUUUUCAUCAGCCUGAACCUGGACCUGCCGCUAUGGAUAACUCAGUUUUUCUUUUUUUUAAUCAACUGCCAUCUUUUCCACUGUUUAGAAACUCUUUAAGAUUAAACUUUAGUAAAGUUGUUUUAGUUAUUCAUGUAAUCAGGCUGAGGAUACUUAGCUGCCUAUUUAGGCAAAUGUCAGAAUUUAGUUUGUUCGCUGGGUACUGGUGGGGACUGGCAAAGGAUGAUGAGAUAGUUUUUUGAGUGAGUAAAUUUUGGGAGCUUGAGUGUAUUGGGAUUUGCAAUUACAAUCAUCGUCUGCCUCAGGUGAUUCUUUUUCCUGCUCUGUCAUUGUUUGUUCUCUAAUUCAAAAGCAUAAAAUAUUUCAAUCAAUUUUUAUGCCAGGAAUAUGCAAAAGUUUCUAAUAUUUUAUUUCCAUCUGUUACAAGAUCAAACUGAAGCAGAACUCAAACAAAAGUAUGCUACUUCUUGCGGAAAUCUUGCCUUUGUUCAGAUUAUGAAACCAUUUCCAUGCAGCAAAUUCAUCCAAAAGUUUGAAUAAGUUUCACGGUUGGACACUGUUGGCUUCUUUUUCUUCUGGGGUGCAUUUAGGUGCUAUCAAGUGACAGCUGUAAGUAUGAUUGCACUAAGCUGCUGCUGGGAAAUUUGAGGUUUUGAUGGCUGCCCAUGUUAUUUUCAAUAAACUAUUGAUGUAAGAAGCUGUGGUUCUUUUCAUCAGCUUGAACCUGAAACUGUCGCUAUGGAUAACUCAGGUUUUUGUUAUCAACUAUAUCAUCUUUUUCACUAUUUUGAAACUCUUAAGAUUAAACUUUAGUAAAGUUGUUUCAGCUAUUCAAAUGAAAAACUCAUUGAUUUGAGAAUUCCUUCAUUAUUGUUUCUAAUUACAAUGCUAACGAUCCAGAUAAAAUAAUAUUUAAUCGGCGAAGGUGUCCCUUGGAAGUACAUCCUUCUUUUUCUUUUAUUAUAUCAAUUCUUGCAAUGAGCUUAGUGAAGCUGUUGUGCUAAUCAUGCCACUGCAUAAUUUGGCCCCUAAUGUGGGUACUCUGUUACAUUGUUCUGCAAAUUCUCCAGAAGUUAAAAUCAAUAAAUUUUCUAUUAGCUCUAGUGCUUUGACCUAAAUGCUAUUCUAUAUUCUGAUUACAAUGUUUUAACCUUUAAAUUAACUACCCCUAGAUGUUGGAUUUUCUAGAACUUCAAAAUGAUUAAUGGAGAAAGAUCCCAUUAUCGUUAUUGCUAUAAGAAAUUGAUUUAUGCAUCCAAAGAUACAUUAUAUAUUUCUGUGUCUCUAUUUAUAGAUGACAUUUAAGCAUCCAUAAACCGUCAGACAGAGGAAGGGGGUUCAGUGCAAAGAUUCUGUUGACCUAGGGUUGACUGCAUAUGUCACUUGUUCGCAAUCUAUUAUUUAUUUUAUAUUUUGAAGAAUUUAAUGGGUAAUCCUAAUUGUUUGUUUUGGCAGGUAUGUGUUGUUAUCUCCUUCUAUCUAACAGUCGUACCUAAAUAGCAUAGUUUCAUCUGUGUUACCAUGUGAUGUACAUAAUUUCACAUUUGCCUCAGAUUAAGCUUAAUUUCCCACAGAAUAGAGCUGUCGCGACUGGACUUAGGUUGAUGUCCAAAGAGGUAAAUUAUUGGUAUGCCUAGAUAAUUUGGCCAUUUCCUAAUUCAUAAGUCUACAUUAAUUUUGAUUUUGAGUUGACUGAUUUCUUUUCAAGGUCUGCUUCCUUAACGGAGUGACCAAUGUUUUUCAACUAAAUUUAUCAUAUGAUGCAGGAAGCAGGGCAGGAUAUGCAAU